UUUCUUAAUCUCGUGGCUUCUCUGAAAGCUCGCCUACUGCUCACUAGCCAUCUCGAAGGUAGGGAAGGUCAACUCACAUUACGAACCGAGACCGUCUGCCGGGACCCAAAAUAGGCAAUCCCUUGGGACCCAAAAUAGGCAAUCCCACGUGACCAACUCCGGAGCGCACUUCUUGUGUGGGGCUUCCAUCACAAGUUAAAAACAGACCGUGAGCAUGAUCCAAUUCUCUCCACUCUAGGGUAUCCUAUCCUCUAGGGUUACUACCAUCAUGUAGUCCACAGGCGUCGUAUACACGAAGUUUAACAUGUAUCACUUGUUUUCUUAUACACUAUCAACUAGAUUGCCGCUCGUCCAUUAUUUACUAUCGACUAGAUGCCACUCGUUCUUUGUUUAACAUCAGACCAACCAUUGAGCCCAUCUCUUUCUCUGCACUAUAGGAUUCAUAAGUCUCGACCCAAUCCUAAUCGAUCCACUAUGCCAAGUAUCCAAUACAUGCUACGAUAUCAUCAAAGAAAGCAUAAGGAAAGGCACUGCACAAUCAUCCUAUAAUAUAAUAAUACAAGAUGCAAGAAUCGAAAUGUACUAAGACAUAGAAGGGGGCCCAGUUGCUUUGGGAUGGUCACCACCCACCUCUUGGUGAUGCCGCGAUGAUAGAAAACUCGACGUUGCGGUUCUUGCACGUCGCCCUAACUCCUCGGGGCGAAGUGAGCCCUUAAGUACCCGAUUCGGCGAUUUCUCCGCACCCGCUCGUUGGAUCGAGAAACCGACUUCACCGACGCGUUCCGAGGCCUAGCAAUUUAGUUUACGACCUAUUAAGAUAGAUCAAAACCCUAGAUUUCCAAAAAUCCCAAAUCCGUGCCCUAGAAUGGCAACGAGGGAGAAAUCCGUGGUGCGAGCUUCGAUUUCGAGCUCGAACCAUCUAUUUAUCUCCAAUAGGUUCUAUUCGAACCAAUCCUAAACAAUAAAACUCAAUCCUAGGAAAUCUACCAUGGAUGGAUUUGGAGCUUACCUCUAAGCCAAGCUCCAAGCUUGCCCUAGCUUGAAGGAGAGAGGGAAGAAGACCUUCUUCUUCUCCUUCUUCUUCUUCUUGGACCUCUCCUUCCACUUCUUCUUCUUUUCCUUUCUUUCUUUCUUCUCCUUCUUCUUUUCUUUCUAGAGAGAGAGAAGGAAAGAGUGUGAGAGGGAGAGACGGCAAACGAGAGGGAGAGAGAGGUCCCCCAGCCUCUAAUAAAGGAUAUUUUGCAGAUAGCCCCCUCAACUUUUCAUCCUUUAAACCAACCCUCUCUGGGCAUUUUCGCAGUGAGGGACCGGUCCCAGCUCGGGGAGACCGGUCCCCGAGCGCUGCCAUCUCAAGCAGAGGGGUUUUCGCGUUCGGGAACCGGUCUUUGCCUGAGAGACCGGUCCCCGGGAGACCGGUCCUUGUCCGAGAGACCGGUUCCCGAAAGCUGAGUUUUCGGGACUUAGCCAAAUUUCGGCUAUUUUCGCUCGGCCAACGUUCGGGAACCGGUCCCUCACUGCCAGGGACCGGUCUCAUCAGAGACCCCCGCAGCCCAGCCUGAUGGGACCGGUCCCUCACUGCCAGGGACCGGUCCCCUAGAGCAUUUUUGUUCUAGUGCAGGUUUUGCACUGGUGCUCUCGCGGACCUUUCCUUAAUGCACUUUAUACAUUAUAAUCACCUUCGGACUUUCCGAAGCCUACGCACUCGACAACUAGUCGAUUCUAACCGAAGUCUAAUCCUCGAAUUUCGAGAAUUCACUUCCUAACAUCCUCCCCACCUUAAAAGAGUUUCGUCCUCGAAACGAACUCAAUACUACAAAACUUAUUUAGAACUUUAAAUUCUAAACUCAUACCUUGGCUUAAUCCUCGAACAAGUGAGGAUGAUUCGCCUUCAUCUCCUCCUCAAGCUCCCAGGUGGCUUCGCGAUCAUCAUGAUUGCUCCACCAGACUCGAACAUAAGGAAUUUCCCGAUUCCUUAACACUUCACGAGCGGUAAUUGCCACCGAAAACUCCUCGUAGCUCAGGUCUUCCUGAAGUUCGGACGAUUCGUAUAACAUUGCAUGCUCGGGAUCGGGUAUGUAUUUGCGAAGAUUGGAGACGUGGAAUACAUUAUGCACAUCUGCAAGCUUUGGCGGCAACGCGAGCCGAUAAGCCACCGUCCCAGUCCGUUCCAAGAUCUCAUAGGGGCUAAUAUAUCGGGGACUUAACUUGCCCCGAACACCAAAUCGUUUAACGCCCCUCAUAGGAGAUACCUUCAAGAAAACGCGGUCGCCCACCGCAAACUCCAAAUCUCGUCGGCGCCUAUCCGCAUAACUCUGUUGUCGAGAUUGCGCCGUGAGUAGCUGUCUGCGAGCAAGGCGGACCUUUUCUUCCGCCUCCCGCAACACAUCAGGGUCAAAUUCCGUCCGCUCGCCCACGUCACUCCAAUAAAUGGGAGAGCGGCACUUCCGCCCAUAAAGAGCUUCGAACGGUGCCAUCUCCACACUAGCGUGAUAACUGUUGUUGUAGGCGAACUCGGCCAUUGGCAAGUACUUACACCAGCCCCCUUUGUAAUCGAUGACACACGCUCGCAACAUAUCCUCCAGAGUCUGAAUAGUUCUCUCGGUUUGCCCAUCUGUCUGGGGAUGGAAUGCAGUGCUAAAAUCGAGCCGUGUGCCAAGGGCCUCUUGCAGGUUUUUCCAGAAAUGCGAAGUGAACUUGGGGUCUCUAUCCGACAUAAUUGAUUUCGGCACCCCGUGUAACCUCACUACUUCGUCAAGAUAUACCUGCGCCAACUUAUCUCCCGCCCAGGUGGUGUGGACCGGCAAAAAGUGCGCUGACUUCGUCAAGCGAUCCACAAUCACCCAGAUUGCGUCGUGGCCCCCUAUCGAACGAGGUAAGCCAACGAUAAAAUCCAUAGAUACGUCCUCCCAUUUCCAAACGAGGAUAGGUAGACUCUGAAGCUUUCCCGCUGGAAACCGGCGCUCUGCCUUUACUUGCUGACAAGUCAAACACUUCGCCACGAAGCGCCCAAUAUCAGCCUUCAUCCCCGGCCACCAAUAGAGUGCUCUCAACUCAUGAUACAUUUUGGUGCCGCCCGGGUGAUCCGCGUAUGGAGACCGGUGGGCUUCCUGCAAAAUCAGCUCGCGGAGCUCUUCAUUCUCGGGUACGCGCCACCGGUUUCGAAAUCGGAGCACGCCACCGGCGUCCACACUGAAAUCGCCAUUUCGUCCUUCCUCAAUGUUACGCCGCACCCUUUGGAGGCUCGGAUCUGCAGGUUGCAAAUUUCUGAUCCUCUCCAAUAAGGUCGGUUGAAUAACGAGCGCCAUCAACUGAGCCGGGACCUCGGGAGCGACCACUUCGAGGUCCAGUCGCUCCAUUUCCAGCCCUAGGGGUGUUUGCCGGGUAACAUCAAAAGCGAGGUUCCUCGCCGACUUCCUGCUAAGCGCAUCCGCGACCACAUUUGCUUUGCCGGGGUGGUAGAGAAUGUCGACAUCAUAAUCCUUUAAUAGUUCUAGCCACCGCCUUUGUCGCAUGUUUAGCUCCUUCUGGAUAAAUAGAUACUUCAGACUUUUGUGGUCAGUGUAGAUCUUGUAGUGUGCACCAUACAGGUAGUGCCUCCACAGUUUCAGCACAAAGAUCACCGCCGCCAACUCCAAGUCAUGUGUGGGGUAAUUCUUCUCGUGGUCUUUUAGCUGACGGGAUGCAUAAGCUAUCACCCUCCCGCCUUGCAUCAGGACACACCCCAAGCCCAGAUAGGAUGCAUCACUAUAGACUGCAAAGUCCUCGCCCUGUACCGGUAAGCCGAGUAUUGGAGCCGACGUCAAUCUUUUCUUCAACUCGUUGAAGCUUUGAUCACAUUCGUCGCUCCAAAUAAACUUGACGCCCUUUUGUGUUAGACCGGUAAGCGGAGUCACAAUCUUCGAAAAGCCCUCCACAAACCGUCGAUAGUAGCCCGCUAAGCCUAUGAAGCUCCGGACCUCCGUGACAUUCGUCGGGCGUGGCCAAUUCUCUACUGCUUCGACUUUCCUCGGGUCAACUGAAACACCGCCCUCGGAAAUCACAUGCCCCAAGAAAGCAAUCUCUCGAAGCCAGAAAUCACAUUUCUUCAGCUUUGCGAAUAGCUUCUCCUCCCGAAGGAUUUGAAGCACUAUCCGCAGAUGCUCCACGUGCUCCUCGUCGUUCCUCGAGUAGACCAAGAUGUCGUCUAUGAAGACCACGACAAAUCGGUCCAAGCACGCUUUGAACACAUGGUUCAUUAGAUCCAUGAAUGCUGCGGGGCAUUAGUGAGCCCGAAAGGCAUAACCGUGUACUCAUAGUGUCCAUAACGCGUACGAAACGCGGUCUUCUGAAUAUCCUCCGACUUAAUCUUUAACUGAUGGUAGCCGGAUUGUAGGUCUAUCUUCGAGUACACUCGUGACCCUUGUAACUGAUCAAAUAAGUCGUCGAUUCGGGGCAACGGGUACUUAUUCUUUAUUGUGACCCUAUUCAACUCUCGAUAAUCCACGCAGAGUCGAAACGAGCCAUCCUUCUUGCGCACGAACAACACCGGCGCUCCCCACGGUGAUACGCUCGGCCGGAUAAACCCCUUGUCGAGGAGAUCUUGCAACUGAUCCCUCAGUUCCCUCAGCUCCGCCGACGCCAUGCGGUAUGGGGCCUUGGAGAUCGGCGCCGUCUCGGGAGUCAAGUCUAUAACAAACUUGAUCUCCCGAUCCAGCGGCAUCCCCAGUAACUUCGUGGGAAAUACAUCUGGAAAUUCCCGCACCACCGAUAAAUCUUCUAAUUUCGGCACCACCUGGUCCACCUCCACGACGGUCGCCAAAAAUGCCGCGCAACCGCCGUUGACCAACUUCCUAGCUCUCGUCGCCGAUACUGUCGCGACGAAGCAAGAACUCCGACAGGCUCGGUAAACAAACUCCUUCUGUCCUAGCUCCCGAAAGGUGAUCGAUUUAUUCUUACAAUCGAUCGUGGCGUAAUACUUCGAGAGCCAAUCCAUGCCCAAAAUGACGUCAUACGCCUCCAAUUUAGUGAGUUCCAACAUCCGGAUGGGCAUUAUCCAGUCACCCACUUGUACUGGGCAUGACGAGCAUUCCGUGUAGGUAUUGAACGACGAUUCAGGACCCUCGACUCGCCACUUGCCACUUGCCACUUGCCACUUGCUUCUAUGGGUAUGUCAUGCAUGCGUGCAAAUGCUCUACUAAUAAACGAAUGCGUGGCACCUGUAUCAAACAUGGCCCUGGAGCGAAUUCCAUUGAUUAGAACCAUACCUGCCACAACAACAGGCUCCUCGGCUUGGGCAGGCUCCUCGGCACGGGCCUGAGCGGUGAAUACCCAUCCGCUCGGCGCUGAUCAAGUCACCUCCGGCUGGCGUGGCGCCAGUGCACGCCCUGCUGACACGGGAACAUAUGGGGCCCCUCCCUGAUAAGGCGGGGGUGCUGGAGUCGAUGCGACUGACGGAGUAGACGAGGCCCUUGCCGAACAGUCACGGCUGAUGUGUCCUUCUUGUCCACAAUUAAAGCACCUUCCCUGUCGUUGUCUACACUGCGGUGCCCGAUGGCCUCGAUCUCCACAGAUAGGGCACCGCUGCGGCCCACGGCCCCACGACUGCGACCGCGGAUACUUCGGGGGUCUCUUAGAGCUCGACUGGCACCCCGAACUACCGCCCGGUCGCUUCUUCCCCUUGUCUUGGGAUCCGGCCAACAACUCACGUUCCUCUCGCACGUGGGCAUCUCCAUGCUCUGCCCAUAGUGCCUUAUUGAAAACCUCGGCGAAAGUUCUGAGUUGGAACAAUUGCACUGCCCGAUAUAUCCAUGGCCGAAGUCCCCGCAAGAACCAUUCGGCCCGAUCCGCGUCGUCCUUGACCACGUCCGGGACGCAGUCUAUAAUGUGGGAGAACUCCUGCUCGUAGUCCGCCACGGAACGAUCCCCCUGCCUCAAUUUGCGAAACUUCUUCUUUAGCUUCCGCUUCUCGGUGUCGGGGAAAUAAUUUCCAAACAUUUUCCUCUUAAACUCCUCCCAGAGCAUCGGUGGAAGAUCAGAGGGUCGAUCACGCUUCAAUCGCUUCCACCACACCUUCGCCGCCUUGUCGAGGCAAUGGGUGGCGAAAGGCACCUUAUCCUUCUCCGGGGUGUAUAGGUCCUCGAAGAGAGUCUCCAUAGAGUCUACCCAAGACUUCACCGCCGACGGCUCCACCUUCCCCUUUUCAAAGGUUGGUGGCUUAAACUUCAUGAACUUCAUCAGAGCCGUUAGCGCACGCUCCCGCUCCACUUCGUCGGCCGUCGUAUCGAGUGUUGCCGAACCCGAAGCGGUCGGGGGCGCACUAGUCGGCGGGGGAACUGCCGCCACCGAAACCGCCACUACGCCCUCACCCUCAGCGGCUUCAGGCGCGCGCGCCGAGGGUGCGAGUGGAUCACGGCUCUCCGUCGCCGCCGCGGCCACCGCCGCCGCCUGUCGCUCUACAAAUCCCUGGAGCUGCUCGAGCCGAGCCUCCUGGCGCUGCAUCACGCCCAACAUCGUAGUGACCUGCUCUCGCAGUUCCUGCAUCUCCUCCAAUCUUGCCUGCUCGGGCUCCACAGAAGGCGGUACCGGAACAGACCUACGCACGUAUCGCCUUGGGGACAUUUGCUCCUGAAAAGCAACAACUCGAUUAGUUAUCUUAAUCCGAUAACUUCUCAACGUUCGCCAAAGUAAACGACUCGACAAUAAAAUCGGGCAGAAGCUCACAAGUGUUCUAGUUCUGGACCCUUAGCGUCGCGUCGUCGGCCGCCGACACAACCACUACGAGCCGAGAAACUAGUAUCACUUGGAUCCGUCUCUAUUCAUGGCUAGAGACAUAACAUCAACUCCGACCCAAUCGAUCUACUUCCGCCGCCGUCAUGGGUUCACGUUCACUCACGUCCCUAUAACCUUAGGGUUCACCAACCUAGGGUCUCCUAGGUCAUCCUAGACUCUCUCUUUACUUGCUCUGGUGCUCUGAUACCACUUUAUCUGUCACGCCCCGAAACCGAUACCAAUUUGGUUCGGUCCGGGCGCGUCGAACAGACGCCGAACGAACAGGACCUCCCCUGUCCGCCCAAGGCUAGCCAACCGAUCAUGUAUAGGGAAUUGCCCAAGAAAUCAAUUCGUGAAUACAUGACCACAGGGAGCACCACCAGUGCUAACAAAACGAGAGCAAGAUACAAGUAUGAGGCAUACAAGUAGGUAAAGAGAGAAACUCUAUCUAUUACAUUCAUUCAUUCAACUUAAUACAUUUAAAUCCAUCUCUUACAACUUCCAAAAUAUAAAUACAAUCACUUAAAUCUCACCCUAUACAACAUCUACUCUCAAGCAUAAUAUAGGGUAAAGCUAGUGCAAAAGGUAGGUAGCUAAUGCAACUAGGGCGCUAGGCCCUUACCGCGAUCCUCGCCAUGCGAACUUGCGCUCGGCCCUGCAAUAAAAUGAGGGUGAGAACUAACUUCCUUAGUUCCCAGUGGGUUCGGCCACCGACUCCGCCGGUCUCCCCACUAGGUCCAAGUGGGCACAAGUAGAUAACCGGGUUGAUAAAUAGGUAAUAAGCAAAGCGGUAAAGACAGGAUAGUAAAGCUACACUACUAUGCCCGAAUCAUAAACAUAUGGAUGCAUGUGCAAUGAAAUGGUAAGUAACUAACCCGUCAACAUGUACAAAAAGUAAAGCUAUGCACUUAUUCAUCAAUCUCAUUUACUUGUUUCUUAAUCUCGUGGCUUCUCUGAAAGCUCGCCUACUACUCACUAGCCAUCUCGAAGGUAGGGAGGGUCAACUCGCACUGCGAACCGAGAUCGUCUGCCGGGACCCAAAAUAGGCAAUCCCUUGGGACCCAAAAUAGGCAAUUCCACGUGACCAACUCCGGAGCGCACUUCUUGUGUGGGGCUUCCAUCACAAGUUAAAAUCAGACCGUGAGCAUGAUCCAAUUCUCUCCACUCUAGGGUACCCUAUCCUCUAGGGUUACUACCAUCAUGUAGUCCAUAGGCGUCGUAUACACCAAGUUUAACAUGUAUCACUUGUUUUCUUAUACACUAUCAACUAGAUUGCCACUCGUCCAUUAUUUACUAUCGACUAGAUGCCACUCGUUCUUUGUUUAACAUCAGACCAACCAUUGAGCCCAUCUCUUUCUCUGCACUAUAGGAUUCAUAAGUCUCGACCCAAUCCUAAUCGAUCCACUAUGCCAAGUAUCCAAUACAUGCUACGAUAUCAUCAAAGAAAGCAUAAAGAAAGGCAAUGCACAAUCAUCCUAUAAUGCAAUAAUACAAGAUGUAAGAAUCGAAAUGUACUAAGACAUAGAAGGGGGCCCAGUUGCUUCAGGAUGGUCACCACCCACCACUCUUGGUGAUGCCGCAAUGAUAGAAAAACUCGACGUUGCGGUUCUUGCACGUUGCCCUACUCCUCGGGGCGAAGCGAGCCUUAAGUACCCGAUUCGGCGUUUUCUCCGCACCGCUCUUGGAUCGAGAAACACUUCACCGACGCGUUCGAGGCCUAGCAAUUAGUUUACGACCUAUUAAGAUAGAUCAAAACCUAUAUUCCAAAAAUCCCAAAUCGUGCCCUAGAAUGGCAACGAGGGGAAAUCCGUGUGCAGCUCAUUCACGAGCUCGAACCAUCUAUUUAUCUCCAAUAGUUCUAUUCGAACCAAUCCUAAACAAUAAAAUCAAUCCUAGGAAAUCUACCAUGGAUGGGUUUGGAGCUUACUCUAAGCCAAGCUCCAAGCUUGCCCUAGCUUGAAGGAGAGAGGGAAGAAGACCUUCUUCUUCUCCUUCUUCUUCUUCGUGGACCUCUCCUUCCACUUCUUCUUCUUUUCCUUCCUUUCUUUCUUUCUUCUCCUUCCUUUCUUUCUUCUCCUUCUUCUUUUCUUUCUAGAGAGAGAGAAGGAAAGAGUGUGAGGGGCAGAGAGGGCAAACGAGAGGGAGAGAGAGGUCCCCCAGCCUCUAAUAAAGGCCAUUUUGCAGAUAGCCCCCUCAACUUUUCAUCCUUUAAACCAACCCUCUCUGGGCAUUUUCGCAGUGAGGGACCGGUCCCAGCUCGGGGAGACCGGUCCCCGAGCGCUGCCAUCUCAAGUAGAGGGGUUUUCGCGUUCGGGAACCGGUCUUUGCCUGAGAGACCGGUCCCCGGGAGACCGGUCCUUGUCCGAGAGAUCGGUUCCCGAAAGCUGAGUUUUCGGGACUUAGCCAAAUUUCGGCUAUUUUCGCUGGGCCAACGUUCGGGAACCGGUCCCUCACUGCCAGGGACCGGUCUCAUCAGAGACCCCCGCAGCCCAGCCUGAUGGGACCGGUCCCUCACUGCCAGGGACCGGUCCCCUAGAGCAUUUUUGUUCUAGUGCAGGUUUUGCACUGGUGCUCUCGCGGACCUUUCCUUAAUGCACUUUAUACAUUAUAAUCACCUUCGGACUUUCCGAAGCCUACGCACUCGACAACUAGUCGAUUCUAAUCUAAGUCUAAUCCUCGAAUUUCGAGAAUUCACUUCCUAACAUGCCUCCUGACAUCAAACAUUACUUGCUCCAAGGAUGAAGCAAAACGAGCACGAGAAACCCUUCUCGAAGGUGCCUGCUUGACCGAAGGGGAUAGCGAAGGUGAUCUAACUGAAGAAUGAGAAGAAGAAUUAAUUGGAAUGGACUGAGGAGUUACCUUUGCAGAUACUGGGUCGAUAGGAGUCGAUUGAACAGAAUCCACCUCCUCGGCUAAAGUGUCAGCUGGUGGAAUUUUCGCUCGAGAUGCAUCUUCGGCCGGCACAGGAGGAGGGAUAGAACGGAUCUUGAUGGCAACAAUUUUACACCGCUUCUGCUGCGGCAGUUGGGCUAGUUGGUCAGACUCUAUCGACCGCUUAUCAGAACGUUGGGCCGAUAAAUUAAAAGCAGGAACUGGCUGAAAAUUAAGGAUAUGUUAGCCGAAUAAAUCUUUUAUAAAAGAAUACACACUGAGAGACAGGAUUUACCGUUGAUUGGUGAGAUGAAUUCUCAGGAUCUUCGUCUGAAUUUUAUCCCGAAAAAUCUUCUGGGAGAAUGCGCAAAGGUUCUUUAACUAUAAGACUAAUUAACUAUUCACAAAAGAAAGAGAAAAGAACGAAAUCGAAUUGAUUGAAAGAUAGCUUACCUUCUAUAUGAAAAAUUUUACGAAAGACAGAAUGCACGACGGUGGAAAAAUGUUGUUCACAAAAAGCUUCCCUCGCUCUGGUAAAACGAAAAUCCAAUACCAUGCAUGAUUUGGCCGAAAGCUCACAAGUUUGAAGAAACAUCAAAUACGAUUCCCCAUUUAAUAUUUAAUGACUUUUACAAAGCAUCAAUUACUUUAGAAUAGGCAAUGAAUUUUCUAUUAUAUUUUUCCUUUAUUACUUUUCGCGUUGUAUUUUGAUUUUUAUUACUACUGGUUCUUGCUCAAUUUGUUAAAUUUUCUACAAGGUUUAUACAGCUUCUCCUAUUUAAUUUGUUAAACUUUUUAUAAAGUUCAAUAUUACCCGUAGUUAGUUAAUUCGGAUUCGGCAAAAAUUCGGUACGGAUAUAAUUCGGAUAAAAUUCGUCUUCUAUUUUUUAAAUUUGUUGAAAAAUACGGCUAAAAAUCGGAUUCGGUAAUUAUUCGGAUACAUGAUUUAUACGGAUAUUAUACGUUCACCAAUUAAAAAUUCGGGAUCAAAAAUUUGGCUAUUAAAUUAAAUUUUUUUUCUCUCAAGAUUUAUGCUAUUAGCAUAAAUACUCAUAUUUCUUAAGAAUAUAAGAAUAAAAAGCUACAAAAUUAAGCUAAUUAAGUAAAAAAAAUAGCAAACUAUAUUAUCCUUGAAAUAAAAUAUUAUAUAAUAAUAUUUUUAUAUAAAAAUAGAAUACUAUAUAUAAUAAAUAAAUAUAUAUUUAUAAAUAAAAUUAUAUAUACAUAUAUAGAGUCCGGCUACGGUGCUUGUAAAAGCACCAAGUAUUUGGUGCUUGUAAAUUUUUUACCGUUAGAUCUACUUCUCUAAUCAUUUUUAACCAUUAGAUUAUACUAUUCAACCAACCACCCACUCAACCCUAGGGGGCCCACAUGAUCCUAAACGCACAUCCCUUAAUUCAAGGGCUAAAAAUCUACCAGCACCAAUAACUUUGUCACGCCCCAAUCCCCGCCAAUUUGGUCGGGUUCGGGUCACGUCAACAGAUGCUGAACGGACAGCAUUUUUCCUGUACGCCCAAGGCUCCAACAACAUGUAUAAUUAAACAAUCAACAAAGAGAUAUGCAAUUAUACAAGGCUUGCACGAGGGCAAGCAACACGGAAGCGAAAGCUCUAAGCUAGUAUAUACAAACAUACAUAAUACUUGAUUACUUUUGAACCAAAUAAAAGUAAACUACCACUAUUACAUUCUUUUCCAUUCAACAUAAUUCUUUACAUUUAGCCAUUCACCCAAUUACAUAUUUGUUUUCAACUAUACAACUUUAUCAACAAAGAAAGUUGAUACAUGUAAACUAAAAGGGAAAUGACUACAAAAUGUGAAAUGGUCCCGGUGGCCGCUAUCUACGGCGCUAAACCCUUGCCUCGGUCCUCCACCGCCCCACUCGUGCUAGGACCUGUAGGGUUAGUGGUGUGAGAACUACAACGAAGUUUUCAGUGGGUUCGACAACCGACCUCGCCGACUGUUACGCCUCGGGACCCAACGGAAGCCCGCCCGGCGCGUGCCCAAACCCGCCGUACGUCUAAAACAUACAAGGCAUCUAAAAUAAAGCGAUAAAUAAAGCAAUAGAAGAAAGCAUCUAGGAGUAUCAGAGCAAAGUACUACGAAGUGCUACAACAAGGAGAAGAUCAUAAAACUGAUAAUCCACUAAGUAAAACUCAAGAUAAUACAAACAGAGUCCCAUAACAAGUACUAAUCUGAAUACAAGGUGGUCUCUCUAUACAUGGUGCAAAAUCUCUCCCUCUCUCUAACACAACAAAGAAGGAGUAACCACCUAUAGCAAAACGGACUCUUUCCGAGCUAGCUACGCGACACCCUUGCCGCGAUCCCGUGCCUCCGCCGGUGCCGAAGGCUCUGAAAAGGAAACAUAGAAACAGGGGCGUGAGAACUAUUAAAUAAUAGUUUCCAGUGGGUAAUUACUGACUUAAGUGAAGUGCGCCACUAGGCCCAAAAGCUACAAAAAGGGGGUCAGUGUAUAAGCAUAAGCAAAAGCGAUAAAUACAACGGGUAAGUAAAGAUAAAUACUGCUCAACCAUGACAUCACUACUUAGCAUGAUUUGCAUAAGUAAUAAAGCAACUACCAGAGGUAUGUACAUGAGAGUAACCAAUAUGUAAAUGCAUGAGUAUGCAACUACCCCAAUGUCCACAAUGUGAAUAGCAAUAAUGUCAUUGUUCACUAUUGUCACGCCCCGGGACCCAGCGGGAGCCCGCCCGGCGCGUGCCCAGACCCGCCAUAUGUCUACAACAUAUAAGGCGUCUAAAAACAACAAUAAUAACAGCAAUAAUAAAAGACAUCUAGAAGUAUCAGAGCAUAAUAAAUGUCUAAAUGCUACCACAAGAGAUAAGGAUAAAACAGUAAAUCCACUAAAUAAAACAUAGAGUAAGAACAAUAGGAAAUCCCAAAUACAAGAGCUAUAAGUAGGUACAUAGGUGGUCUCUAUACAUGGAUACAAAAUCUCUCACUCUCUCUCAACUACAAAAAGAAAGAGUAAACCACCUAGGCAAAGUACCGCUCCUCGCUAGCUAGCUAAGCGAUCCCCUUGCCGCGAUCCCGUGCCUCCGCCGGUGCCGAAGGCUCUGAAAAGUAAACCAUAAAACAGGGGCGUGAGAACUAUUAAAAAUAGUUCCCAGUGGGCAAUUACUGACUUCAGUGAAUGCACCACAAGGCCCAAAGCUACAAAAGAUGUCAGUGACUAUAAAAGUAGAAAAGCGAAAGGUAAGUAAAAAUGUAACUUACUACAACAUGAUAUCUCUACUUAGCAUAAUUAGCAUAAGUAUGAAGCAACUAUGCAUGAAGUAAAAGUCUCCAACUAUCAUAAUGUUCACAAUGCGAAAUAGUAAAGUUCCGUUGUUUACUAUUCUAGUCAAUGUCCAAAUAAUACUCUAAGUCAUCAUCUAUCCACAUGUCGUAACGGAUAUAUAAAGUCCAAUCUGAAGAGACCCACCCGAAGGCUGUCUAUGGCCCUGAGACCCACCCGUAGGCUGUCUGGCCGGUGCCGAGCCUAAUGGCCCCGUGGUAGUCAUCAUCCCCACCCUAGGAAUGAGCCUGGCCCACGGCAAUCCACUUCGGCGCCCAAUCCCGCACGGCGAAUAUGUAUCGCGAUGGCCAUCUCCGGAGUGCCGGCUUGUAGGGAGCGACCCUCACAAGCAUGUGCGAAUGAGCACAAUGGCAAGUAGUCAAACGAUCAGUCGCAAGUAUCAAGUCCUCAUGUCCAAUAACAUGGUAUAUAUAGUAAAUGUCCUCGUGGCCAAGUCACUAUUUCAUCAUAUCUCAAAUAUGGAAUAUAGUUGAUGUCAAUGUGGCCUAUUCUCAAGUCUCUAUGUUGCAGUUUAAUAAUUCUCUAGUCCAAGUGCCUCUUUAUGACACUAUGGCUCAUUUUGUCCCAACAUGGAUACUAAGUUCAAGAACUUACAAUUCUAGUCAAACCGAAGCAUGAAACUUGAUUUCCUAUCAUCUCAUAGAAUAUUUGUCGCAUGCAUAUUAACAAAGCACAUUGUCUCUCUCUCUCUACUAUAUAGAGUAAAUUUUCUUGAUGCACAACAAAUGAGUUCUAAGCAUUCAAAACUCUCAUAAAUGCUACUAAACAUGAAUUUAAGGAGCAUGAAAGCAUUUAACCACUUAGGAGGAAUUUCCUCCAAUUUUCAAGGAAGCCAAACCCACCGAUGGCAACGAAACUCCUCGUGCGCUCCAACGAGGGUGUCCUCUAGUCUCCUAGUAUCCUAGAGGUACAAGAACAUGUGUCAUACGGGCCAAACAAACAAAACCUAGCUCAAACAUUAAGCUAAUCAAUCAUAGGUGAGGAAAACUCACCUCUAGUGCAAAAAUCUCCUCUAAAGCUCCAAAAUGAAGCUAGGGCUCAUCCAAUCCAACCUAAUGGAAGCCUCUAAUCCAAACAAUCUAGCUUCAAAAGCCCUAGAUCCAAAAUGCCCAAUAUAAACCCUAAUAUUCCAAUUCUAGGGUUUAAUCUCACAAAAACCUCAAAUCAAGGAUCAAAGGGAGAAAUCAAGUCUCUAACCUCUCAAGAAGCUCCAAACUUAGCUCCAAUCCAAGUGGGGUGGGAGAUCUCCUCAGCCACAAGCUCCUCUCCAAGCUCUAAGCCAUCAACAAUGGUGGAGAAGCCACCAAGAUGCAAAAAGAGAAGAGAAAACCCAAAUAAAAACCAAGCAAAGGGGUAAAAAUGCAAAGAAAGGGAGAGAGAGCUCCUCUCACCUUCUCCUCCUCAGGUCCCAGCACAAAAGAAGCCCUAAGGGGCGUGGGUGCUGUUAUAGAUAGGCUACAAUCGCGAAAAACCCCCUGCAGUUCAAACUGCACGAAAUCUGCCUCCUUGUACCGGUACACGGGCUCUUGUACCGGUACAAGGCCGACGAAAUUGCAAACCCGAGGCUCGGGUCGCGCGGUCUGCGGCUCUGUACCGGUACAAGCCCGAUGGCUGUACCGGUACAACCAUCAACCCUUGUACCGGUACAAGGCCAGUCUUGUUCCGGUACAAGCCCUGCUGCGGGCUACCCGAGAGCUGUCCAAAAAUUCCAAUUUUGGAAUUUUGGUGCCAAGUCCCACUCCAACAUCCUCGGGAUGCGUGCCAGGGGUCGGGACACUAUCAACGACCCUCCAAAAACUGUGGAAAGGCUCCACACACAGAUCAAACACUCGAAUCUUGCGAUUUGCUGAGAUCCAGUGCAUUACAACUAUUCUAGUCAAUGUCCACUUGUCACUUUAACUGUUUAAAGUUCAACUCUGAUAAGACCCACCCGAAGGCUGUCUGGCUUAAGACCCACCCAAAGGCUGUCUGGCUUUACCGUGCCUAAUGGCCCCGUGGUAGUCAACAUCCCCACCCUAGGAAUGAGCCUUUCCCACGGCAAUCCACUUCGACGCCCAAUCCCACACGGCGAAUAUGUAUCGCGAUGGCUAACUCCGGAGCGCCGGCUUGUAGGGAGCGACCUUCGCAAGCAUGUGUGAAUGAGCACAAUGGCAAGCAUGCGUAUAAGUCUGUCUCAAGUCUCAAGUCCUCAUGUCUAUGAACAUGGAAUAUAUCAAAUAUCACAAAGGCCUAUCACUAUGUCAUCAUGUCUCUAACAUGGAAUAUAGUCGAUGUCCAAUGGCCUAUCACUAUGUCUCUAUGUUGCAUUUUUAUAGUUCACUAGUUUCAAGUGCCCCUUUAUGACACUUUUGUUCAACGAGUCCAAGCAUGAUAAUUAGGUUCUCGAAUGCAUAAUAUGAGUCAUUUUAAACAUAGAAGACAAGUUUUUCACUCGGUAAUGCGAUUACUUUUCUCAUACAUGCAGCAUAUCCAUAAAGCUCUACUAUAUAGAGUGAAAUUUUCAUCAUUCAUAAUGCAUGCAUUUUAAGUGAUCUAAAAUUUACAUAAUUCAUAUUUAGCAUGGAUUUGCAUUCAAAAAUACUUUACGACAAGUAUAGGAAACAUAGGGGCCAUUUUGCCCCAUGUUCAUGAAGCCAAACCCACCGUUGAUACCGAAACCCUUCGUAAGCUCCGACGAAGGUGUCGACUAGUCUCCUAGCACCCUAAAGAUGUAGGAACAAGGGUCAAGCAAAUCUUACGGUCAACCCUAAGCUCAAUCAAUAAGCAACAUAAGCUAAGGUGAAGAAAAACUCACCUAGAUGAAGAAAUCCUCUCUCAAACUCCAAAUAGGAGUUAGAGUUCUUCAAAUCCAACCUAAAUAAAGGUUCUAAACCCAUCAAUUAGGUUUCAAAACCCUCAAAUCAAAAAUUCCCAAAAUAAACCCUAAGUCCCAAAAUCUAGGGUUUCAUAAGGUAAAAUCUAGAAAAACUUGUAUUAAAUAAAAAAUACAAGCUACCAACUCAAGAGAAGCUCCAAUCCAAGCUCUAAACCAAGUAGGGUUGGAGUUUGAUCCUCCACAAGGCUCCAACCGCAAGCUCCAAGCCACCAAGGGUGAGGGAUGAGGGGAAGAAGAUGAUCCAAAGCCUCAAAAUCUAGCUCUCCUCCAACUCUUCGUCUUCUCCUCCUUCUUCUUCUCUCUCUAAAAGUGUAGGGAGAGUGUGAGGGAAAGAAAAUGAGGAUGAGAGGGAGGGGAGAGGCUCUAUAAGCCUUCAAAUGUAACAAAAUCCACUUAGGUCCCUUAAAAAUCCACUCUGUGCACUGCCCGGUCUGGGCAGUUUUCGCGCUGAGGGACCGGUCUCCCCGACACCUGGGACCGGUCUCUCAGUUCGUCCCGCAAAACCAACGUUCGGGAACCGGUCUCUCCCCGCCAGGGACCGAUCUCUCAGACCAUUCUCGCAAAAUACGCGUUCGGAAACCGAUCUCUUCCAGCCAGGGACUGGUUGCCUCAAGCCCUGCCGCAGCAUUGUUCUGAGGGGACCGGUCUCUCCUAUCAAGGACCGGUCCCCGAGAGUGAAAACUCUCAGGACAAAGUCAAAACUCUAGAGAUCGAACUUUUAUGCCGGAAUACCAUCUACGGCCUUCCACCAAGUAUGAAAAAGUUCAGAGUACAUAUCAAAUAUUCGAACAUCGCAAUUUGCAAAGGUCCAGUGUGCUACACCGACUUACCCACUAGGUCUAUUUCAGACAUAAGCAUUUCAACGGAAAGAAAAUAGUAGCCAAACUAAUGCUAAUACUAUGCCUGCAAGAAAGAUGUCAGCGGAUAUAGAUAUGAAAGCAAUAAAUAUGCAUGCAUGCUUGUUCGAUACUUUUUUUUGGCUUUUUACCCAAUCUUAUUGGUUAACUUUGUUAACCCCAAUGACUCACAACCCAAAAUCCCUUUUGAUCGAGGAGGCUUCAAGCACUUCCACUCAAGAGACCGUCCUUCGGGGCCACUAUCCCCGUGGUGACCUACUCCGGAGCGCACCGCUUGAGGAGGAGCUACCGCCCUCAAGCCAAGACUUAUCGUGAGUAUUGAUCCAAUUUCCAACUCGGGAACUUAUAGCCACUAGUCACAAUGCCACUAUCAUAAAAGGUUUUCUACGUAUUUGUUCAUGCCACUCUUGGUUAAACUAUGUUUAACAAUCACUAUCUCAAAGCCAAUUUUGUCUCUAUAGUCAAUGUCACCUUUGUUUACUAAGAUCAAUGUCCAAGUCUCCUAUUCAUACAUCUCUAGGGUUCUAGCAUACAUGUCCAUUACGGUUCUAUCAUUCUUUAUGUCCAACUACAUUAUAAGCAUAUAAAUAAAGUUACACCAAAGUUCACAUGUAAGGAACCCUAAUAUGUAUGAACGACUACAUACAGUAUGCUCAAAUAAAAGUGACAUAGACAUAAAAGGGAAUCCAACGAUCCCGGAAUGCACCCCCACCUCGCAUGGUCGUGUAGGUGUAGAAUAUGACGACUCCCGAACUUUACGAAAAUCGAUUCCGCGUCCUAUAACCAAAAUAGUGCCAUAUUAGGCCCUUUGUACAUGAACCAUACUUAAACAUUUUCGUAACGUCGAACGGAGUUGUCCAACGCGUCGAGGACACCCCCAAUUAGGUUUCUACGAGGUCAAUUCGCCCUCGAAAAAUCCUAGGGCAAAAGCCCCAAAUUUGAGCCCUAACAAUGCCCUAUAGCAAUAGCUCCUAGAUUGAUCUCUUCCCUAAGCAAAAGAUAGCUUAGAAUCAUCUAAGAAGCAUUCUAAUAAAGUUUCCAAGCCUCUUGGACCAACCUUAGGGCAUCUACUUUGAGCCCUAGUGAUCCACCAUGAGAGCUCUACAAGAAAACCAUGGAUUUCAUGGUUUCUUAGCUCAACAAGGGUUCUAAAGCUAGAAAUAAACUCAAAACCCUACAAGUUUGGGUUAAAAUCCAAACCCUAGACUCUUAUGAACCAAAACCUCACCUUUGCCCAAGUUCCACCAAGCUCCUUCUUGUAGGUGAGCUCCUUGGACCACCAAAACCCUAAACUCCCUCUUCUCCAAGUUCUUCUUCUUCUUCUUCUCCUUCAAGCCCUAGGUGAGUUCUAGAGAGAGAGAGAAGAGGAAAUGAGAGGAAGGUGAAAAAUGGCUGAGGAAAGGGAGAAGGGUUGAGUAUAUAAGGUGUUGUAACAAUUACAACAAGGUCCUCCCACUAUUUCCCUUGUGCACUGCCCAGACUGGGCAUUUUUCGCAGUGAGGGACCGGUCUCCCCAACUAGGGACCGGUCCACGAAAGCUUCUCCCGCGGUCUGCGCAGGCUGCGCGCGAUGCAACCGGUCUCCCUCAAUGGAACCGGUCUCUGGGGACCGGUCUCUCCUCGCAGAGACCGGUUCCCGAGAGCUGGUUUUCCAGGACUUAGCCGAUGUUUUGGCCAUCUCGCUGCCUACACGUUCGGGGACCGGUCUCUCCCACCAGGGACCGGUCCCCGAGAGCACAAAACCUGCAGUUUUGCAUAUUUUAAUUUUCAAAGCUCUCAAAGAUUUUCAGUAAUGCAUUUUUGCAUUAUUUGACGCCUUCGGCCUUUCCGAAGUGUACUAACCUCGCACUUUGGUCAAUUUGACCAAGGUUCGAAUUUGAUUACCGAAGUUUUAGUAUGUUACAUUCUCCACCCCUUAAAUUUAGUUUCGUCCGCGAAACUAAUUAUUUAGAGAUUGAGGUGCAUACCUCAAUCCAGUUCCUCGAAGAGAUGGGGAUAACGCUCCUUCAUCGCGUCCUCAAGCUCCCACGUUUCUUCCCGAUCGCCGUGUUCGCUCCAAUGAAUUUUAACAUACGGGAUAUCGCGGUUCCGUAGUUUUCUCAUUUCCCGAUCCACGAUGUAAGCCAAGAACUCCUCGUAAGUCAUAUCCUCUUGAAGCUCUAUCGGUAUAUACGAGAGAAUAUGCUCCGGAUCAUGGACAUACUUGCGGAGAUUGGAUACAUGAAACACGUCGUGCACCCCCACAAGCCUUGGUGGUAAUGCUAACUUGUAUGCCACCGCGCCGACUCGUUCCAAAAUCUCGAAGGGUCCGAUAUAGCGGAGACUUAGCUUCCCGCGAACACCGAACCGGUUAACUCCUCACAUCGGUGAUACUUUUAAGAAUACACGGUCGCCAACCGCGAACUUAAUAUCCCUCCGCCACUUGUCGGCAUAACUUUUGUGCCUUGAUUGCGCCGUCGCUAAUCUUUGUCGGGCAAGGCGAAUUUUUUCCUCUGCCUCCCACACCACAUCCGGGCCAAGAACAACUUUCUCGCCCACCUCGCUCCAAUGUAUAGGCGAGCGACACUUCCUUCCAUAAAGUGCCUCGAAUGGCGCCACCGCAAUACUUUCUUGAUAGCUAUUGUUGUAUGCGAAUUCCGCCAUCGGCAAAUGAUUGUGCCAUCCGCCCUUAUAAUCGAGUACACACGCUCGAAGCAUGUCCUCAAGUAUUUGAAUAGUUCUCUCCGAUUGACCAUCACUUUGAGGAUGAAAUGCUGUACUAAAGUCGAGCCGUGUGCCCAUUGCAUCCUGCAAGCUCUUUCAAAAAUGAGAUGUGAACCUAGGGUCCCGAUCCGAUACAAUGGAUACCGGAACCCCGUGAACUCUCACCACCUCGUCGAGAUAGACUUGUGCUAGCUUGUCUCCCGACCAAGUAGUGUGGAUCGGCAAAAAGUGUGCCGAUUUUGUCAACCGGUCCACAACUACCCAAAUCGCAUUAUGUCCACCUUGUGAUCUAGGCAAACCCGUCACGAAAUCCAUUGCGAUAUUUUUCAUUUCCACACGGGUAUAGGUAGCCUUUGCAAUUUUCCCGCCGAAAAUCAAUGUUCCGCCUUGACUUGUUGGCACGUGAGACACUGCACCACGAACUCUCCUAUAUCUUUCUUCAUGCUCGGCCACCAAUAAUAUAAUUUCAGAUCUCGAUACUAUAGGAGGAUUGAUGCGCUUCUUGGAUAAUGCCCUCCGAAGGUCAUCAUUCUUGGGUACGCACCAAUUUUCCCGAUAUCGAAGUGCACUAUCGGUUCCAAUGCCAAAAUCGUUGGCACUACUGCUUUCUACCUUGCUCCGCAUCUUUUGGAGAAAUUCAUCGGAAGCUUGCAAUCCUUUUAUCUUCUCCAACAAGGUUGGUUGCACGAUCAGUGUGGCAAGUGUUGCCGGCACUCCCGGCGCCACAACUUCUAGACCAAACCGCUGCAUCACUUUUUGCAGAGCCGGUUGAGGUGUAACUUCCGUCGCCAAAUUUUUCGCCGAUUUUCUACUUAGAGCAUCGGCCACGAUGUUUGCUUUUCCGGGGUGGUAGAGAAUCGUGAAAUCAUAAUCUUUGAGCAACUCUAACCACCGCGUCUGUCGCAGAUUUAACUCCUUCUGGGUGAACAAGUAUUUGAGACUCUUAUGGUCAGUAUAGAUCUCACAACAUUCACCAUACAAGUAAUGCCUCCAUAGUUUUAGCGCGAAGAUAACCGCCGCUAAUUCGAGAUCAUGCAUCGGGUAGUUCUUCUCAUAGCUCUUCAAUUGGCGCGAAGCAUAAGUUAUGACUCAGCCGUUUUGCAUUAAGACACACCCGAGACCAAUGUAUGAAGCAUCACUGUAUAUGACAUAACUCUCUCCCGGUGUCGGCAAGGCAAGCACCGGAGUAGAUGUCAAUCUAUUCUUUAGCUCCUCAAAGCUCCGCUCACACUCGGGGCUCCAAACAUUCUUCACCCCUUUGAGCGUAAGGCGUGUUAGUGGAGUUAUAAUCUUAGCAAACCCCUUCACGAACCGCCGGUAGUAGCCCGCAAGUCCAAGGAAGCUACGAAUUUCCGCCACACUUGUCGGGCGAGGCCAAUCUUUAAUCGCCUCAACUUUCUUUGGGUCUGCCGAGAUGCCAUCCCUGGAUAUAACGUGACCCAAGAAAGUAACCUCCGAAAGCCAAAACUCAAAUUUCUUCAGUUUUGAAUAACGCUUUUCCUUCCAGAGUAUCUCCAACACGAGCCUUAAAUGCUCUUCGUGUUCUUCUUCGGUCCGAGAAUAUACCAAUACGUCGUCAAUGAAUACCACGACGCACCGGUCUAAUAGCGGAUGGAAGACUCUAUUCAUUAGGUCCAUAAAUGCUGCCGGAGCAUUAGUGAGCCCGAAUGGCAUGACUGUAAACUCAUAAUGGCCAUACCGCGUACGGUACGCCGUUUUAUGCACGUCUUUAGGCCGUAUCUUCAACUGAUGAUACCCCGACUGCAGAUCAAUCUUAGAAUAUACCCUUGACCCCUGCAACUGAUCGAACAGAUCAUCAAUCCUCGGCAACGGGUACCUGUUCUUGAUAGUCACCUUGUUCAACUCGCGAUAAUCAACGCAGAGUCGAAGUGUGCCGUCCUUCUUCUUUACAAAUAACACCGGAGCUCUCCACGGAGACACGCUCGGCCGCACGAAGCCUUUAUCGAGCAAGUCUUGCAACUGAGCUUUUAGCUCAUUUAGCUCUACCGGUGCCAUUCUAUACGGAGCCUUCGAAACUGGCGCCGCCCCGGGAAUCAAGUCAAUAACAAACUCGACUUUCCGGUCCGGUGGCAAUCCCGGUAACUCCGCCGGAAAUACAUCCGGGUACUCGCAUACCACCCGAAUCUUUUCCAACUCCGGGUACUCUUUUUGAAGGUCCACAAUGGUCGCCAAAUAAGCCUUGCAACCACCCUUUAUCAUCUUUCUAGCCCUCACCGACGAUAUAGUCGCCGUGAAGCGUGCUCCAUUGCAUGCCUUAUAAACCAUCUCCUCUUGGUUAGGCUCACGAAAAGUGAUCACCUUCCUUUCGCAAUCGAUGACCGUGUAAUACUUGGAAAGCCAAUUGGUACCCAAGAUUGCGUCAAAGCCCCACAGAUGCUUUAACACUAAUAGGUCGAUCGGCAUGAUCCAAUCGCCUAUCUGCACUGGGCAGUCCAAACACUCGCCAUGCACAUGAAACGUAAGUCUAGGUGCUGUCACCGUCCAAUACUCCUCAUUAUGCGUGACCUCUAUGUCAUGAGCAAGUGCAAAUGAUGCUGUUAUGAAUGAUUAAGAUGCACCUGUGUCAAAUAUGGCUCUAGCUCUAGUGCCUCUGACAAGGAUAAUACCUGCCACGACAUCGUCGGGAACGGUAAUCGGCGGCUUCUCCACCUGAGUGGCAAAUACCCGCCCACUAGGUGCUCGAGAAGCCUCCGGCUGACGAAGCCGACGAUCGUCCAGCAGACGUAGCGGGUGGCAGUCCCGCCAGCUGUCGCUAAGUAUACUGAACUGAAGCUGAUGACGGAGCUGGGGAUGUGCCGCCCGGGCACUCUCGUCCUAUGUGUCCCAGUUGGCGGCAUCGGAAACACCGCCCCUCCCGCUGAGGGCAAGUAGUAACUCGGUGGUCUCCGCCACAUAUCACACACAGGUAGGUAGUCUGGCUCUGAGUCUGACUCCUGCCUCCCCACCACUGCCAUCGUUGUUGCCGCGGGGGUCGCUUAGAACUCGAUUGCCCCGCAGAUCCACCAGCUGCCCGCUUCUUGGACUUGUCCUUUUCCUUAUCUUUCUCAAAUGCCUCGCACUCAUCUCGCGCAAUGGCAUUGCCGCGCUCCACCCAAAGCGCGCGAUCUAACACUUCCUCGUAGGUCUUUAAGCGGAAUGCGUGAAUAACCUUGAAUAUUUCGGGUCGCAACCCGCGCUCGAAAACCUCCGCUCGGUCCCUAUCACCAUGAACAAAGCUCGGCACGCAAUUGACGAGGUGCGUGAACUCCCGUUCAUACUCCCGCACCCUGCGACUUCCUUGCCUUAGCUUCCGAAAAUCCUCCUUGAUUUUUCUUUUGUCGCUCUCAAGAAAAUACUCCAUAAGUAGCAUCUCCCGAAACGCCUCCCAAGUAAUAGCAGCGUGCUCCAACGAAUGAUUUUUCUUUGCCUCAGUCCACCACAACCGAGCUGACCCGUCGUGAGCCGCAAGGUGAACUUUAUCCUUCUCGAGGGUGUAGAUAUCCUCGAACAACGCCUCCAUCGCGGCUAGCCAACUCUCCAUCACCCACGGAUCCUUCACAUCACCGUUGAAGGUCGAAGGGUUGAACCGCUUGAAUGCCGUCAGCGCCGCCAACGUGCGCUCCUACUCGGCCUCAAGUACAUCGGGAAUAGGAGCCGAUGAACCCGAUGCCGUCAGAGGAAUAGCCGUCACUGGUGCCGCCGCCACCGCAGGAGGUGGUGCUAUAGGAGCAGCAGGUGCGGGCGGAUCCCUCGGCACAGAUGCCGCCGCCGCCGCCUGUUGCGCCAUCAUCUCGUGGAGCUGUCCAAUCUGCUCCCCUUGUAGCCGCAUAGCCCCGGCCAAAGCCGCUACUUGGGCUCGCAACUCGCGCACUUCAUCCGAUCCCGAUUGUUCAGGCACUUCAUCGAGCAGUGCCGAAGUGGCUCUACGUGUGUAGCGUCUCGGGGACAUUGAUCCUGAAACGCAUCACACGCAUUAGUACUCGACACACGUGACUCUUACACGUUCCAAGUAACUACCCAAUUAAGCGAAAGCAACCAAGCAUAAUUAUUUCCAACUCUCGGUGUUAUGUGGUCGGCCGCCCGACAAAGUCCCUUAAGAAGGCAACAAUUAAGCCUUCUAAUCCAUCUCUACUUCCUUCUAGAGAAGUGUUAUCGCUAACCCAAUCAUUCGCUUUCGCAUAAGCCAAAUCCACGUUGAAACGUUUCCUAAGCUCCUAAGGUCUCCAAUUCCUAGGAUUCUUAGGUCAUUCCUAGACUUUUGCUUUCAACUUCUCUCUGAUACCAUUAUAUCUGUCACGCCCCAAUCCCCGCCAAUUUGGUCAGAUUCGGGUCACGUCAACAGACGCCGAACGGACAGCAUUUCCCCUAUCCGCCCAAGGCUCCAAUAACAUGUAUAAUUAAACAAUGAACAAAGAGAUAUGCAAUUAUACAAGGCUUGCACGAGGGCAAGCAACACGGAAGCGGAAGCUCUAAGCUAGUAUAUACAAACAUACAUAAUACGUGAUUACUUUUGAACCAAAUAAAAGUAAACUACCACUAUUACAUUCUUUUCUAUUCAACAUAAUUCUUUACAUUUAGCCAUUCACCCAAUUACAUAUUUGUUUUCAACUAUACAACUUUCUAAAUCAACAAAGGAAGUUGAUACAUGUAAACCAAAAGAAAAAUGACUACAAAAUGUGAAAUGGUCCCGGUGGCCGCUAUCUACGGUGCUAAACCCUUGCCUCGGUCAUCCACUGCCCCGCUCGUGCUAGGACCUAUAGGGUUAGUGGUGUGAGAACUACAACGAAGUUCCCAGUGGGUUCGGCAACCGACCUCGCCGACUUACCCACUAGGUCUAUUUCAAGCAUAAGCAUUUCAACGGAAAGAAAAUAGUAGCCAAACUAAUGCUAAUACUAUGCCUGCGAGAAAGAUAUCAGCGGAUAUAGAUAUGAAGCAAUAAAUAUGCAUGCAUGCUUGUUCGAUACUUUCCUUUGGCUUUUUACCCAAUCUUACCGGUUAACUUUGUUAACCCCAAUGACUCACAACCCAAAAUCCCUUUUGAUCGAGGAGGCUUCGAGCACUUUCACUCGAGGGACCGUCCUUCGGGGCCAUUAUCCCCGUGGUGACCUACUCCGGAGCGCACCGCUUGAGGGGGAGCUAUCGCCCUCAAGCCAAGACUUAUCGUGAGUAUUGAUCUAAUUCCCAACUCGGGAACGUAUAGCCACUAGUCACAAUGCCACUAUCAUAAUAGGUUUUCUACCUAUUUGUUCAAGCCACUCUUGGUUAAACUAUAUUUAACAAUCACUAUCUCAAUGCCAACUUGUCUCUAUAGUCAAUGUCACAUUUGUUUACUAAAAUCAAGGUCCAAGUCUCCUAUUGAUACAUCUCUAGGGUUCUAGCAUACAUGUCCAUUAUGGUUUUAUCAUUCUUUAUGUCCAACUACAUUAUAAGCAUAUAAAUAAAGUUACACCAAAGUUCACAUGUAAGCAACCCUAAUAUGCAUGAACGACUAUAUACAGUAUGCUCAAAUAAAAGUGACAUAGACAUAAAAGGGAAUCCAACGAUUCCGGAAUGCACCCCCCACCUCGCGUGGUCGUGUAGGUGUAGAAUAUGACGACUCCCGAACUUUACGAAAGCCGAUUCCGCGUCCUAUAACCAAAAUAGUGCCAUAUUAGACCCUUUGUACAUUAACCAUACUUAAACAUUUCGUAACGUCGAACAUAGUUGUCCAACGCAUCGAGGACACCCCCAAUUAGGUUUCUACGAGGUCAAUUCGCCCUCGAAAAAUUCUAGGACAAAAGCCUCAAAUUUGAGCCCUAACAAUGCCCUAUAGCAAUAGCUCCUAGAUUGAUCUCUUCCCUAAGUAAAAGAUAGCUUAGAAUCAUCUAAGAAGUAUUCUAACAAAGUUUCCAAGCCUCUUGGACCAACCUUAGGGCAUCUACUUUGAGCCCUAGUGAUCCACCAUGAGAGCUCUACAAGAAAACCAUGGAUUUCAUAGUUUCUUAGCUCAACAAGAGUUCUAAAGCUAGAAAUAAACUCAAAACCCUACAACUUUGGGUUAAAAUUCAAACCCUAGACUCUUAUGAACCAAAACCUUACCUUUGCCAAAGUUCCACCAAGCUCCUUCUUGUAGGUGAGCUACUUGGACCACCAAAACCCUAAACUCCCUCUUCUCCAAGUUCUUCUUCUUCUUCUCCUUCAAGCCCUAGGUGAGUUCUAGAGAGAGAGAGGAGAGGAAAUAAGAGGAUGGUGAAAAAUGGCUGAGGAAAGGGAGAAGGGUUGAGUAUAUAAGGUGUUAUAACAAUUCCAACAAUGUCCUCCCACUAUUUCCCUUGUGCACUGCCCAAACUGGACAUUUUUCGCAGUGAGGGACCGGUCUCCCCGACCAGGGACCGAUUCCGGAGAGUUUCUCCCGCAGUCUGCGCAGGUUGCGCGCGAUGCAACCAGUCUCCCUCAAUAAAACCGGUCUCUCAGGACCGGUCUCUUCUCGCAGGGACCGAUUCCCGAAAGCUGGUUUUCCAGGACUUAGCCGAUUUUUCGGCCAUCUCGCUGCCUACGCGUUCGGGGACCGGUCUCUCCCACCAGGGACCGGUCCCCGAGAGCACAAAACCUGCAGUUUGAAGAUUUUGAUUUCCAAAGCUCUCGAAGAUCCCCAGUAAUGCAUUUUUGCAUUAUUUGACGCCUUCGGCCUUUCCGAAGUAUACCAAUCUCGCACUUUGGUCAAUUUGACCAAGGCUCAAAUUUGAUUACCGAAGUUUCGGUAUGUUACAAACUUGGUACUUUUAAAAGCAUAGGAGCUCAAUUAUAUAUAUAUAUAUAUAUAUAUAUAUAUAUAUAUAUAUAUAUAUAUAUACACGGAGCGCUCCGUGCGACCAAGUUGUGUAAGAUCAAGCGGCUUCCAAAUCGACGAUCGGCUCCGAUACACAUUGAUCGACACUAUGGAAAAUAGUUAGAAACCAAAGUUCAUAAUUUGGCGAUAUCAGGUACCUAUCAAACAAGUAGUCUAAAAGUGAACGGCUGAAAAUAAAAAUCGGCGUAGCUCCGUAGAUAGAGCCUUACCAUUCUGACCAGAGAUAGCGAUACCCCAAGGUGGUCUAGCUUAGGGGUGUAGAGAUGAAGGAAACAACUUGUAAUAACCUUGUGAUUGUUGAUUGUAUUUGGAAGUCAAAUGUAAAAGAGAAUGUAAUAUAAAGCAUAUGAUGUGAAUGCUUGUAAUAACUUAGUUGUUUUAUGUUUUUGAUACUUCCUUAUGCAAUCUGUGCUUGAAUACUGUUCCUGGUCAGAACCUCGUGUAUUAUAUGAAUUGUGACGCCUAGGACGUAUAGGAAAAACUCUGUCCGUUCGGCAAUCUGUCGGCGGGCCCGAAUCCAACCAAAUAGGCGGGUCUCGGGGUGUGCCAAAGUGAGUUCUAAGAUAUUUGACCAUAAAGUUUUCAAUAAUGCGCAAUAAAAUUUGGAGUGUAGAAAAUCCGUUCAUGGAGUAUGAUUAAUUUGAGACAUGUGGGAGAUUGUUAGUAUUUCCAUAAAUAUGGCCCAAUUAAUCUGUGUUAUCCCUGGAGUACAGCAGGUGAGGUUUGUCGACACGUCGGGAGAGUGUCGGGACAAGUCCGAGUCGCGUUAGCGCGAUAUGGAGGCCGAACGGACUCAGUGGAGAUGCGAGGGCAUGAGUUAGCGCUGGAAUCUGCAAAAUGCAGAUUUUCUGCUUGCUGUACAGGUACAACCAUCAAGGCAUACCGGUACAUCUUGCUGUACCGGUACAACAUCAGAGGUGUACCAGUACACAGCGCAUGUCCCCGCGCAGACUGCUCUCGGGUUGCCAUUUGUACCGGUACAAAUGCCCGUGUACCGGUACACCAGGGUAGGCAAGGGGCUUUUUGGUAAUUCUCUUGCCUUGAUUGUAUUACCACCCCUUCUCCCUCCCUAUAUAGGAUAGAGAGAUCAGAGAGGAGAGGAUUAGUGCGCUCUCUCUCUCUUCCCCUUGUGCUUGACCGUGCGUGGUGGAGGAGCUCGGGUGAAGUUCGGGUGUCGUCGACGUCGCGCCGCGGUGCCGUUCGAGCGUGUUUUCGUCAUCGUAGAGCUGCGGGGAGGCCGGGCGAGGGUGCAUUUUCGCCGUUCUCGACGUCGUGCCGGUUUUUCAGGUGGGUUAAUCGUCGGUUUGUCUUCUAAGUAUAUAGAGAUAGUCGGCAUGUGUCGUUGUAGUUGUUUUUGCAUAUUCUAUUUGCUCGAUUCAUGGAUUUGGUGUUUCUUUUACAAAAAUCUGAAUUCGAGCCUAGUGUUACUAAAUCUACUUGCACAUGUUGUCACGCCCCGCGACCAACCGCCUAUUUGGACCGGGUCGCGGCGCCGACGACAGACCGCCGAACGGACCGAAAAUUCCCUUGUACGCGGACAGAGUCUCCCCAGUACGUCCAAGGCGUCGCAAUCCAAACAAUCAACGAAUGUUCCAACAAGGAACGGAUAUCAAUCCAGAUUGCAUAAGGAAGUAUCAAAUACAUAAUCUACUUGCUAUUACAAGCAUUUAUUUUACAACCACUCUUUACAUCACAGUUUCAGUUUANAUAUAUAUAUAUAUAAUGACUAAUGAGAGGGAGGUCCACCGUGGACCUCCCUCUCAUGCAGUCCACGAGGCCAAAGUGGCCUCGUGGACGGCGCGCCAUCUUCUUCCCCAAACGCCUCGAUAUCCCAAUUCCCAAAUGCCGCGCCAGCGCCAUUUCUAUCGCGAGCUCCCAAGUCCCGAACUCAAUUUUUUUCCCAAAAUUUAUAAAAUAAUUAUUUCAAAAAAAAUUUUAGGGACAACCAUUGUUUGGGAAAAAAAAUUUUCAGCGGAAAUUUUUUUUUCGAAGGGAUUUUACAGUGAUCCAAAGUUCCGCGACGAAAGUAGCGGAGGAGGAGGAGGAGGACGACGACGACGACGAUGGCGCGACGACGCGACCCGCGAGUUCGCGACCACCGUUUUUUUGGACGAGUCAUUCGCAAAUCGUGAAUCGUUCGCGGAUAAUUAUUUUUGAUGAAAAUAAUGCGUUUUUUUACGCAUUUUGUUUGGAAAAAUGCGGAUGCAGGCAUUUAAUUCGGUUUUCUAAAAAUUCGUGAAUAAUUCGCGAAUUAUACGCGAAUUAACUAACUAAGAUAUUACCUAUAUAGUUGUUGAACUUUUCUCAAAGUUCAAUAUCAUUUCUUCUAUUAUUCUUUUGCUUUUUUUUCCUCCCUUUUUUUAAUAGGGAAAAGUAAUUACGAUUAACCAAUAGAAAGAAGGAAUUUGUGCAGCGUUUCUUCUAUAGGUUCUUUUUUCCUACCGACUAAACUAUCACUGCUAAGGCUUUUGAUACUGUGGUUGUUGUUGCUGCUCCUACUACACCUAUUUCUUUUAUUCUUCUUAUGUAUUAACUGUUGCUGGUUCUCUAAUAUAGCUUGAAGUUUAUAUUUCCUCAUGUUAAUACGUGCUUUCUAUUAGAAUUGUAAAAUUUUUUCUUUUCUAUAAAUUUCGCUAUUGGUUUUUAUACAUUUAUUUUUUCUUUUGCUUCAUUUUUCUCUUGAAGUUUGAUUUUUAUCAUUUUUGCUUCAUUUGAUAAAAUUACCGAGUAGGGAAAGUGUUGAAAGUAAUUUGCUUUCUCUAAUAGGUCUGUGUUUUUUGGAUUUUUUUAAGAGAUAAUAUGGAAGAGGAUAAGCUCCUCCAAGAGAGUUCCAGAAGCAUUGCAAACCCUUUAUUGAGUUUGAAAAUGCUCUUGGUUAGAUAUAUAAGAUAUACAUAAAGUUUAGAUCUUAACUGUACUAUACUAUUUCUUCUGUGUUAUGCGAUUUUCAUGGCUCUCUCUUCAAUUUUUUUCUCUCUUCGUAUAUGGAGAAAAGAUUUAUAAUUCUUUUUAAGUCCAAUCUAUUUUUUUUUUACUAUAAAAAUUUAAAAUAUAUAAAUAAUUUUUAAAUAGUUUAGUCAGUUUGUAUUAAAUAUAAAUUUUAAUUUUAUACUAUUGAGAAUUUAGAUAUAGAUUGUACAUUAAAAAAUUUUAAUUUUAUACUAUUGAGCGUUUACGUUAAUUUUAUAUUUUAUAAAAUUUAAUUGCGAGAUUCGCAUAAAAUAUACUAUCUAAAUCUGUAGAACUAAGCGAUGCAUUCAGAUUUUUAAAGCCAAAGUACCAUCGACUGACUCAAAUCUAAUAUAUCGUAAAAUUGGAUAAUCAAAAUAAAAUUUUGAAAGAUUGGAUUUUAAAAAAUUAUAGAAUCAUUUUAACCAGGGAUGCGGUAAAUUGCUUUUUCUAAAAUAUUUAAAAUUAAAUAGUUAAAAUUAAAAAUUGAGUGGGUUUAGAGUUUAUUCCUAAAUUUUUCUGUAAUAUGUUUUGACAUUUUUAUCCCUAUUAUAUUAUACAAUUAUUGUUCUUGAAGGCGCAUUUAUGAUGGCAAAAUUAAAAAUAUAAACAGUUAAAAAUAUUAUACUAUUAUGAUUUAUCCCUAAAUUUAUAGAAGUAUUAUUAUUAUUUUUUUUUUUUUUACAACAAUAGUUGCUUAUUCUUCAAUUGCUUCUUUUUUUAUAUAUAUAAUUCCUUAACUCUUUUUUUACUAUUUUUUAUUUUAUUUAUUUAUUUAUUUCUACAGAAUCAUCCCGCCGCAACGCACGAGUCCUUCGCUAGUAAUUACCAUAUCUGAUAAAACACAACAGAUUAGCUACAAUCAAGCAGUUAAGGAUAACAACAGACGGAAGAGGAACUUCACAGCACACAAAUAGUUGAGAUCAAUAGUUGAGAUCAUCGUCAGCGCCACAAUAUCACACGGGAGAAACAUUAUCUCUUCCUCCACCGAGCAUGAAGAGUGAAAUCUCAAUUCUUAGGCAAUCAUAAUUCUUUGUAUGAUUUAAGAAACUUAUGGUCCUUUCACAUUCCAGCUAUUUGAUAAUCUCAUGCCAUAAAGUUGUCACUAUAUGUAGUUUGCCAAAAUAUAUUUCUAAACCUUACAUGAAUGAAAUGACAGUGAUUAUAAUGACGAUGAGGCUGCUAAUUUCUCAAUGGAUUGCCAUACCUAAGCCGCGUAUUAAUCACGUAGCAAUAAAAUCAAAGAAUUAGCUACACCUAAUAGAUGCCUACAAUGAGCUCCUCCGCAUAUUUGUGCCACCAGGCUUUAUGCCCCUUGCAACAUGCUAUUGAAAUUUGAGUAUUGACCACCAUUGUCGACUGUUGAGCCGCCGCCGCCGCCGCCUAGUAUACUAACUGCCAUCUCGGUAGCAUAUUCGCCUGAGAAGGGUGCAUUACAAGAGCUACAACCAAGAAGCUGUAAGGUGUUGGAGCUGGGACUCGCACUUUCUGUUAAAACAGUGUUGGUAAAAACCAACGAAGAGCCACAAGUUAACUUUCAAGUGCGGACAGCUCAACCUCUCGGGUGCAAGGUCGGUACGCGGCAAAGGUGUUGUCAUUGGAGAAGGAACCAGGAUUGAAACAUGUGAUCCCCGUGUACUUGAAAGCCUUCUGUUCGCUCCUGUCCCCCAAAACUAUCUGCAACAUAGCAAAAAGGAAACGUUCGCUAGGAAUGCAGAAGUUUAGUUAUAUCUAUGUGAUCGAAACCCUAGCAGACAUACAGUGUGUGGAGUUGGAUAUAAUCGGAGGCAGUGGUCAUAGUUCCAAAUAAUAGGUUGCACGGUGAGAGGCAACGGGCAAAGAUGACUCUGAUGAGUAAUGGUUGCAACUAGCUGAAAGAACCCAAAUUAAAAAAGAAAAAACAAUCAGUUGCUUUCUAAGAAUAACAAACUGCCAAUAACAAUGAAGGCUAACGACUAACAUGCUCAAAGGGAUCACUUGUUUCUUCUGUUGACGGUGGAAUCAGACAGGAUCGACGCAUCCUGUAGAGCAGGUCUUGCCGGAAAAAUACGAUUUCUUGGGUGUAAAAUUUAAUUCUGAUGAAUAGCAAACAAGAGGCUUCAAAUUUUGAUUCGCUUUCAAAAAAACAAAACAAGAAAUGCAGAUUUAGUCAUAAUUUCUUUGACCGCAACAGAGGUUAUUAUAAGAUUUAGGCACUCAACCAAGUCAUUUAAACUAUUUCUUUUUUUCGGCGACACCAUUAGGGAUGCGGCAACGAAAUCAAAUUGAGGGCCACAACUUACCUUAUGAUAAUCUAGGUUGUGAACAGAUAUUCGACUAUUCGGUCAGAGAACAUUUUUCUUUUACAUGUUAGUCAUUAGGUCAAAAUUUUCUGGUUGGAGAAAAUAUUUUUUUCCAUAUUUUCAUUUUAACAUAUCUUUACAAGCAUGGAAUUUCAGUAUCACUUUGUCCAACAGACAGAAUUUCAGAUCAUCAUCAAUAGGCACGAAGAGGAGAACUAGCUUCGAGUCGAACCUGCAGGGAUUGCUAGAAAAAAUUGCAUUAGGAAUGUGUUUCUGAAGUUCUUCAGUUAAAUAUUUAGGAAGCGCACACCUCGGUAGAACUUUCGAGGGACCUGCAAUAAUUGAAGUAGCAAAGCAUUUGUUAUAUCGUGGAAAUGAGAAUUUAUAUGUUCAUAUCGCUCCCAGCAUAGUUUGCAGCAUAUCGUCACGGAUAAAUGCCACUGACGCUUCUCAGGUAGUAUAAUGCGUGUUAUGCAACAUAAAACAAAUUUUAUCACCUUGUCACAGAUCAUUGAGCAACUUCAUCAAAGAUUUUAGGAGUUACGAACCAAGCAAUAAACCAACAAACCCACAUAUGGUGGAAUCAUAGGCACCAUGCAACUUCUUAAACGAGUAAUAGUUUGAUUAUCUUAGCAGAUGGAUUCACUACGAAAAAAAUUAAGAAUGGACCACUGGAAGAUACCUGCAUCAUCAGGACCUGGAAUAAACAGGAAACGACUGUGCUCUUUUAGUCUUGAUCGAGCUUCAAUUAUUUCACCAAGCUUUUUAAACUGGGCUCUGCAGUAGCUGACCAAGUUUAGAUAAUUUCUUUUUCGAACAGAAACUAAUCCAUACAAACCUCCUAAGCAAAAUAUUUGGAAUGAACAAAUUCUUUCUGAGUCUGAAAUUAUAGGAGUGUAGGACUGACCUGAGAUUCGAGAAUGCAUUGUAAGAAAGAUUGCAGGGGCGAGAGCAGAAAUUUCCCAUUAAAAUGAAUAAAGAAGGAACAAUCUCUACACUAUCAUAACCAUCCAAUACCACAGCAAGCUUUUCCAUAGUCUUCUCUACGACAUAAAAGACAUGGCCAUUAUGAUAAGAAGCAUCAACAAGAUCGCACAAAACAAAAUCGAGAACUAAGAGAAUGUACCUCUUCAUUAUCUAACCAAACAUCUGAAAGUACAACAAACAUGUCAUUCACUGCCUUCUUCUCCAGUCCUGAUAAUCUGAGCUGUUGGUAUAAAAACCACAACAAACUCAACCUUUUCACUAAGAUACUUUUCUAGUGUUUAGAACAGUUUAUAUAUAGGUAAUGUUUUAUGAAGUUUACAGUUUCUUCGGUUGAUAGAACACCACCACCAAAGAAGUCAAGGCCCAUCAGUAGUGAAAGUGAGGCUUCUCGCUCCUCCAGGGGCGGAAAUCCACAUGUAUUAACCUAUAUAGCAAUCGGAACUCAGCAUUUUUCCAUAAAGCUCUAAAGAUGAUGAGAAUUUUAGAUAGCCAUUUAAAAGGAAUUAUCUGAAUUAUGAUUUCAAGACUAUAACUUCGUGGAUGAUAAAUGGAAUAUUAUAGUGGAAACUUUGAAGCUUGAUGUAUAAGUCUGUUCAGAAAACAAAGAAAAACAUAGACUAAAAUUUAUGAUUUGUUACAAAGAAAAUGGACGAAAAUUGAUGAUUUAAAACAAAUCCUAUUAGACCUUGUUGCUCCCAUCUCACAUUUCUCAAUUUUUAAUUAACAAACACUAUACUUGAAUAUAAUAGUUGAUUUUUGGAGCUACUCUCCAGUCAACAUAGGUCAAUACGUGCCGUAUUUACCUAUAUGUGAUAGUAGCUGCUUGUAUUGAUAAAUAAGAUACUUGUAAGUGGUUUUGGGCAACUAGACACUAAAAAUAAUUUUAUGUUUUGAAGAAAGCGGCGAAUAAUUUGCCGCAUUUAGAACACGAUGAUUCAUUCACCACUUAGGCCUAGUUUUGUAAAUAAAUUUAGUAAAGGACUACUUCUAUAAUUAUAAUGCUUGUUAAGCUUAUUAAUAAAAGAAUUUCUAUUAGUAAUGUUUUCGAAGUUCGUCUGAGUUCCAACAUAUGUUUUCAAAUUAACAUGGUAAAGAGCUAUUUCUUUUUUUCUAGAAACAUUAAUCCUACUAGGAAGAGAGUGAAUUAAAGCAUAACCUAAGAGAAUUGCCGACCGUGAUGAUGUUAUUUAUCCUCAAAUAAAAAACCUAAAUUUCUUGUUAUUUUCUUCUUCCUACUUAUUUGCUUAUACUUUCUUCCUACUUGUUAUUUGCUUAUACUUUCCUGUGAGCAUAAUCUUUUUAUUACUGUAAGAUUAUACCAUUUUUCCUUCAUGAAUGCAAAAUGUCUAGUAAUGUUUCUCCCAUGGAAGAUGCUGGUAAUGUUUUUCGAAAAAAGGAUAAAAAGUUGACAUCCGGUGUAUGGAAAAUUAUGAAAAGAUAGUUGAAAUAAAAAAAAAUUUGAUGGAAAGAAUAUAAAACAUAUGAUCCCUAACAAUAACCCAAAAUCCCCUACACGAUUAGUUACGAAAGCUUUUUGACAAAAGUGGCUAAAGAAAAAUGUAGGCAAAAGAAUAAAGUGUCUGAUGCGAAAAGCUCUCUAGGGACAACACGUUUAUGGAAUCACUAUAAAAGCACCCAUAGCCAACUAACUUAUCAAGAAAUUUUACAAGCAUCAGAAAGUGCGGAGGGGAUAUGUUCUUUUGGCUGCAUAUAAGUACGAUGAAGAGGAUAUAUUAUAAGCUCUGCAUAUAAGUAUGAUGAAGAGGAUUAAUUACAAGCUUUUUGUCAAUGUUUACCAAGCAUGAAUAUCUAUUCGCCAUGGCAGAACAUUAAGGACUUACUCAUUUCAUCAAAUCUUUGCACCUGACAUUUUCUAUAAAAUCUCAUGCUACUAUUUCUAAGGAUGUUGUGGAUCACGAUUGUAAGGUACCGAACUUCUGAAAUUAUGAAGUUGCAGGGUAUGUUGGUUUGGAAAGCCAUUAGAAUGAUUCCGGUGAAGUUCGGAAGCAUUCGGGCGUUUUCGGAGCGGGUAGGCGCGAAAAUGGGACCCGAAAGGCUAUGUUGGACCAUAAACUAAAUCCGGCAUUAGCGCGGAUGAAAAAAUGAUGAAAAUACGCUCGAAAACAUGUUUGGAGAGUCUCGGUUCGAUUUGAAAAGAAUCGGAGGCCAAACGAGCGAAAACGAGUGAAAACAGAGAAGAAACGAAAAAGGCUGAAAUUUGGCUAAGUCCUAAAAAUGCUAAAAUUCUGGACCUACGGGGACCGGUCCCUCAAGUCCAAGGACCGGUCCCUUAUACAAAAAAUUGCCCCGCGGGGGCAGUGCAUAAAAUACAAAGUUGAGGGGCUGUUUUGCAAUUGUUGCAUGAGUUGGGGUAUAUGGGUGAUGUAGGACUCAUUCCCUCUCAUUUCUCUCAUUUGCAACCACCCAAUACACCCUCUCUCUCUCUCUCUCUCUAGAAGCUCUCCCUCUCUCUAGACGUGGAAUCAAGAGGAGGAUUGGUGGAGAUUUAGAGCUUAAAGGAGGAUCACCAUUGUUGUCUUCUUCCUUAGCUUGGAGAAGAAGCUUAGUAGAGGUAAGCUCUUUGCCUUCUCAUGGUAGAAUGCUUGGAUUAGGGUUUUACACUCUAGAAAUGAAACUUAAUGAUGCUCUAGAAGUAAUUAAUCUCAUUUAUUGCUUGGGAUAAUGCUUGUAUGAAGCUAAUUGCAAUAAUUGGGAUUUAGGGCUCCAAAAAGAGGGCUUUUGCUCAUGAGUAGUUUUGAUCUAAAUUGAUCACUCUCUAACCUAAUUGUUAGGCCUACGAACGCGUUCGUGCACUCAGUUUGAGUAUUCAUCGAGCCUACGCGAAGAUAUUGAGGAAAUGGACUGUUAGAGCUUCGUUUCCGCCUGGAGGGCCGACGAGGCAUCUAAAAAUUAUGAGAUAAAGAUCGUAGCAUCGUGGCAUCAAGUUAUAGACCUUUAAUUUCCGGAUUGCAGAUUGGUGGUCGUUCGGUGGUCGAGCGUGAGAUUGAGCCGAACCGGGCGGCGUGUGCCGCGGGAGGCCGAUUGCAAGUGACUAUAAGCAAUCGGAACGCAAUAAAAGGUGGGGGGUGUCCAUCCCGAAGCAACUGGGCUUCCUUUUAUGUCUAAGUUCUAUUUUGAUCAUAUUCAUAUAUUGAUAUUAUGCAUUAUAGGAUUAGUAGAUGAUUACAUUCCAUUUUCUUGCAUUGGGGGCUUGACACUUGAACUUAGGUUGCAUGAGGAUUGGGUCAUGUGACAAGAAUUCUAUAGUGACAAGAAUGAUGAUGAACUUGGACUUGUGAUGAUGAAAACAAGUGGCAUUCAAAUUAGUAUAGUAGAGAUACUAUAAUAUGAACGAGUAGCAUGUCAAUUUAGUGUAUUGAGACACAUACAACCUCAUGACAUAUUGAGUGGCAUUUGGACUAGUGUAAUAGAGACACUAUAAUAUGGACGAGUGGCACCUCAAUUUAGUGUAUCGAGACACAUAUAACAUCAUGACAUAAAUGAGUGGCAACAAAUCUAGUAUAGUGGAACACUAUGGCAUUUGAACCUAGAGAUAGUAGAUUUUCCAAAUUGUCAUGUUGUAGAUAUUAUGCAUUGGCAUUAGUGCAGUUGAGGCAUUGUGACCCUGGUAGAUAGGGUAUCCUCUUGUGAGGAUUUGAUCAUACUCACUAGUCUAUUUUCGCUUGUCGGUGGUCGCUCCACCGAAGCAAUGGUCUCCGGAGUACUUCACAUAAAGGCAGGCGUAGUUGUCCCGCAGACGGUCUCGGUAUGCGAGUGCAGCUUCUCCUCACCUAUAAAAUUGAGAGUGAUCGACAACCUUCGGGUUGGCCAUGAGAUUGGAUAUUAUCGAGGCAUAGUUGCAUGACGCACUAUGUAGUAGCUCGUUCAUUCAUGUGAUUAUUUGAGGCAUAGUAUCAUGUAUAGAUUGUAUACUAUGUAGUAGCUCAUGCAUUUCACUUGGAUAUGGCAUUCGGAUAUUUGAGUCAUAGUAUCAUGUAUAGUUUGCAUACUAUGUAGUAGCUUAUUUCUUUUAUUGUUGAGGCAUAGUAUCAUGUAUAGUUUACAUUACUAUGUAGUAGCUCAUUUUCAUUAUUGUUGAGGUAUAGUAGCAUGUGUAGAUUGCAUACUAUGUAGUUGCUCAUACAUCGAAUCAUUGAGGCAUAAAUCAUAUACUAUGUUGUAGCUCAUAUCCUUGAUUAUUGAAGGCAUAGUAGAUUGUUGCAGAUUACUUUACUAUGUUGCACUUCAAUUUCAUAUCUAUCUAUCUACCUAUCUACUUGUGCCUGCUUGGAUCUAGUGGGAAGAUCGGCGGAGUCGGCGGCCGAACCCACUGGGAACUAUAUUUAUAUAGUUCUCAUCCCACUUUGUUGCAGAGCCUAGCGAGAGCGUACCGGCAGAGGACCGUAGUAAGGGCAUAGCGCCCUAGUAGCUAGUAGCUUCCUUAUGCAUUAGAGUACCCUCGUGUACGUAGAAAUAUGAUGUAUUUGAGAGUUACUUAUGUAUUUGGAGAGCUGUUUUGUAUUAUGAGAAGAAUAUGUAUUCAUUUUGGAAGAUGAAAAUGUAAAUCAAUAUGUAAAGGUUAAAUAUGAUGUAAUAGCUAGAUGUAUCUCUCUUUAUUUCACUUGUAUGAUACUUGUGAUUCUUGCUCUUAAUUGUAUAGCACUUGUGGUGCUUCGUAUUGAUCAUGUAUGUUGAAUGAAUUUUCCUGGGCAAUUCUUGUACAUGAUCUUGUUGUUCUAGCCUUGGACGGACAGGGGAUGUGCUGUCCGUUCGGCGUCUGAUCGACGUGCCCGGAUCCGACCAAAUUGGCGGGUCGCGGGGCAUGACAACGAUGAUGAAGAAAAAAAAACACUAGUACACUACACAACAUUUUUAAUCCAAUUUCUUAUCGAUUAAGUUUUACUAUGGACAGAUGGACAAAACAAGAAAUAUUUCUGCAUGGCAGCCCACUAUACUGAUGAUGACUGGGUCUUUAAAAAAAAAAAUCAACUUUAUGCAUACCGGUGGCCCACAAACCAGACUAAAUUUGUGCAACACAUUCAUAAAAGGGGAUUUUGCUUAUUUACUCCUGACUACUAAAAAUUUUCAAAUUUACCCUAAAAUUACCAAAACACCCUUCUAAACCCCAAAUCCUAUUAGUAAACCCUAGGGGUUUGGGGAUAUUUGAAGGAAUUUUUGGAAAUCAGUGAAGGCAUUUUAGUCGACCAAGGGUAUACUAGAUAUUUUUGAAGUUUUAGAGGGUAUAUUAGAUAUUAUCCCUACAUAAAAAAUAUGGUUGAGUGGAAUCUUGAUUGAAAAAUGAUGGCUUUGACUCUCGAUAAUGAUAGCGCUAACAAUGUAUUUGUUAAAGUAAUUGUCGAUCACUUACAAAACCAAAAUGUUCUUAUAUGUAAUGAUAUGUUUUUCCAUUUUAGAGGUGCACUCAUAUUGUAAAGGGAUAAUAUCUAAUAUACUAUUCGAAAGUACAAUAAUAUCUAAUAUACCCCUGAUUGACUAAAAUGCCCUCAUUGAUUUCCAAAAUUCCUUCAAAUAUCCCCAAAACCUUAGGGUUUACUAAUGGGAUUUGGGUUUGGAAUGGUAUUUUGGCAAUUUCAAGGUAUACUUAAAAAUUUUGAAUAGUGUUCAGGUGUAUAUAAGCAAAAGCCCCCAUCAUAAAUUUGGUUGUAAGAGAAGGCAUGGCAAGGAUGUGUAAUGCAGUUACAAAUAUUAGGGGCAUUAUCAAAGUUGUUAAAGAUUCUCUCCUACAAACAGAAGAAUUUAAUAAAUGGACCAAAGUAUGUAAUUUGGAUGUUCAAGAACAUCUCUCUUCAUUGUAGCACACGUUGAAACUCCACUUAAUUGAUGCUUACAAAUGCUCUUUAUUUGAAGGAAUCAAGCAAAAGACCAUCCAACAACUAUACCUUUUCUUAAUUUUGAACUUCAAAUUUAAUUUAAAUUUUGAGUUUGAAAUUUAAUUUUUUAAUUUUAAAUUCAAUUUGGUUGGGUUUAAGUUGGACUUGGACCACCUCAGCCAGUGCAGCUGACUAUCUGGGCAUGAAGCUUCCUCAACUACUGUAAUUUUGGCAGUUCGAUUUACUAUUGCACUUGUUCUCCAACUCUUUGCUGUCCUACCUGCCACUGCAGCAACUAUGACUCCAGCCAUUAUUGGCGCCUACUGCUAGUGCACCAGCUAUUCCUUCCCCACCUGCUGCACCUUAAUCUGCUACUAAAGGACGACGACCUUGCACUCAAGGUCGUAUCCACGCCAUGGCCGAGCAAGAAGCUAAGGCAAGUCACUUGGUCAUGUCAAGUAUAAUACGACUUACAACUCUCCUUUGGUACGUUGCUAUAUUUGUUCUAAUUGACUAGUAAAUUGUAUGUGAUGAUGUGUUCUACUAUUAGGUAUCAUUCGUAUUUCUUUGUAUUUCAGGCUUGUUUUAUUUGAUCCGAGGUCUACCGAUUCUUUUGUCUUGUCUACGUUCGUUCAAAAGCAUUCUAUUCCUAUAGAGGCCCUUAAUUAUGAGUGGUGUUGACACGCCUGUCGAAAAGGUGGCACACAUGACCUAAGUUGUCGAGGGAUUUCUAUCUAUUUGAUAGUCAUCAAUUGUCAACAGACUUGCACAUCCUAGAUAUGCUCAAUUGUCAACUGACUUGCACAUCCUAAAUAUGCAUGACUUUGAUGUCAUCUUGGGGAUGGAUUGGCUCACUUGGCGAUGGAUUGGCUCACUCGUCACUAUACCUGCGUGGAUUGUUGGGAGAAAAUGGGGACUUUUGGCAUCCUAUUGAGGGCACCAUCUCUUUCUAGUGGAGUGGCACUCACGUACUGCCUCAGCUGCUUUCGUCUAUCUAAGCUAGGCAGUUAUGUCAAAAGGAAUGUAAGGCUUUCUAGGCCUCGAUGGUCGAUGCCUGUUCUUCGGAGCCUCGUUUGGAUACUUUGGUGGUUUCAGGAGUUUCCUAGGGACUUGUCCUGUUUUGUUAGAGCACAUUGUUGCAACCCAGCCUUCGAACCGGUUUUUGCAGAAAAUCUCUAAAAAGCUUGAUAGUGGAUCUCGGUCUGGCUUCCAAUGGUAUGAUAAUGGAUCGUUAAGGUUUCAAGAUCGAGUCUAUGUGCCAGAUAAUGCAGCUGUGAGAGAUUUUUGGAUAAGGCACACUGCUCUCCUUGCUCAGUUCACGCUGGAGGGGUGAAAAUUUAUCAAAAUCUCCAACAGCAUUACCGGUCGCGGAAUAUGAAGAGAAAUUGCCCAGUAUAUUGCUCAGUAUGUUGUCCACUAUCUGACCUAUCAGAAGGUCAAGACUAAGUACUAGAGGAUUGAUGGACUUCUAGAGAGCUUGCCUAUUUCAGAGUAGAAGUGGGAGCACAUCAUUAUGGAUUUCAUCAGUGGACUUCCAAAAACGACAAAGGGACAAUGGCAUUUGGGUUAUAGUAGAUCGGUUUACCAAGUUAGCUUGCUCUCUGUGUGUUCGAGUAGGGAUUACUUUGGACCAACCCACCAAGCUCUACAUCAACACUAUGGUUCAAGCUCCAAGAGUUUCGAUUUCCAUCACCUCCGAUCAGGACAUGUGUUUUGUGUCUCACUUCUAGGCUAGUCUUCAAUUCUUCAUCGAUAUUUGGGCACCUCAUACAUUUUAGCACCCUUUAUCAUCCGCAGAUAGAUGACCAAUCGGAAUUCACUAUUCAGACUUUAAAGAAUAUGCUGCGAGCUUGCGCACUUGACUUUAAGAACUUGUGGAUUCCAAUCUGCCUCGAAUGGAGUUCUUCUAUGACAACAGUUACCAGGCGAGCCAUGAGCUAGUUCAGAGGACUGUUGAGACUGUUCAAGUAGUUCAAGAAAGACUUCAAGCAACUCAGAGUGGAGUCGACAUAAGCACUACACCAACACUCGUCGCCAAGAGUUUUGAGUUUGCAAUAGGAGAUCACAUCUUCCUUCGAGUUUCCCCUCUCCGAGGAGUGAUAAGAUUUGGUCCUGGGAGGAAACUCAAUACAUGCUAUAUUCAAAUUGGGUGUGUAGCUUACAGCAAAGCAUUACCACAAUCCUUGUCACAAAUCCACGGGAUCUUCCACAUGUCGCAGCUACAGAAGUAUGUGCGAGACCCCAAUCAUGCGUAUGACAUCUUCCACCACUACGAGAGGAUUUGACUUAUGAAGAGAGGCUUGCUAGCAUCAUGGAUCGCAAGGAGUAGAAUCUUCGCACACGAUCCAUUCUGUACAUAAAGGUCCAGUGGUGCAGCGACAUUGGCGACCUCACUUGGGAGCUCGAUAAUGAGAUGAAGAAUAAAUAUCCUCAACUUUUCGAGUCAUAGUUAUGAUGUAUGUCUUUCCCACCUUAUUUAAACUUUUGAAGACGAAAUUUUGUAAAAGGGAAAGGAUGUAAUGACUAUACCUUUCCUAAAUUUUAAAUUUUAAAUUUAAUUUAAAUUUACAGUUUGAAAUUUAAAUUUAAUUCAAAUUUAGAGUUUGAAAUUUAAUUUUGAGAUUUUUAAUUUGAUUUGGUUGGGGAUGAAAUUGAAGUUGGCCACCUCUUGGGCCUUAAAUCUCCAAUUGAUUCGAUUUCACCCAAAAUCUCAUAAGUUUUUUUCCUUUCUUCUAUACAGCUGAAGCUAUUUUCUUAAAAGCUGAGUCAAACAAAUUUAAAUUUGGGAUUGAAACUUGCACCGUUGGAUUCAUCUUCAAAAAAUCUUUUCGAUGACACCUUAUUUGUUGAAAACCUAAUUUCGAAGCACAAGUCAUGAUAUUUUUAUUUGAAUAAUUCACCGUGCCACAUCAUCACCACUUAGGCGCCACCCAUGCGCCACAUGGUAGCCCUUUUGCCACGUCAUCCCGGCAAACUAGAAUAUUCUAACCUCUAUCUUAUCUCUAAUUAAUUACGUUUAAAGCCUAAUCCUCCACUACCACUUAUAACUAAUCUAUUAUUCCUCUCUCCAUAGAAACCCACUAAACUAGCCAUAUUCCUCUAUUUUACCCACUUGUAAACCCACUCCUCUACUCUUUCUUCUUCCCCAAGCUUCUCCCGUCUCCAUUCUCUCUCUUCAUUCUCUUCUAUUCUCUCUCACCUAAACCCUAUUUCAUUGGAGAAGAAGCCCUUGGUUUUGGGCAAUGGUGGUGGAGAGGUCUUCUUCCACCAUAAAAACCCACCUCUAUCUUUGCGGUUUCUAACCAUUGGAGAAGACAUUUGAAGCUUUGAGAGAAGAAUCAAGCUCUACCAGAGCUCUUUUCAAACUAGAGUAAAUUCCAACUUCAUAUUUGAAACCCUUGCAAAUUUAAUAUUUGUUUGGUGUUUAAAGGUAAUAUCAUGCUUAGGUUUGUUGAACUUGAUGAUGUUCAUCUUGUAUUUUUGUUUGGAUUUUCAAGUUGGAUUUUGAAGUUUAAUGAUAGUAUUGUACUUGGGUUUGUUGAAUUUGAUAAUGUUCAUUUUGUAUUUUUAUUUGAUUUCAAGUUGGUUUUGGUGACUUUUGAAACCUUUAGAAUGUAUCUUGAUUGAUGAGUAGUGUCUUACUUUUGGCCUCUUUGACCACAGAUUCCUCAUCUUUCCCUCACCUUCUUCGAACCUUGUCAAUCCAUGUAAGUAGAAAUUACCCUCCGAGUUCGCCAUCAAAAUUAAAUUAAAUCCCCUUGCUAAAUAGUUGCAAUAUUCAUUUUAUUCUAUAUAUCUAUUUGCAUGAUAACUUGUGCUUACUUUUACAUGUAUUUAUGAACAUGUGAUUUUUUGCUUACCAUACAUUGCUUCUUACUUAAACCCUUAGAUUGAUGCAUUCCAUUUAGAUAGGGAUAAAGUGAUUAAAUUGCAUGACCUUGAAACUAUAUGCUUACUACCUAUAGUUACUAAUUGUUAUAUAUUGUAGUAGUUAGGAUACAUUUUGAAACAUAAGCUUGUAUUGAAAUUCCACCUAACUUUUUACACUUCGAAAAUAGGAAUCUUGACAUUACGUGAUAUUUUUGUUGAACAAAAUUUGAUGGGAUAGCACAUUGCCAUAAGAGUGCGUUUGGUUCAGAUUAUCCUAGCUGGAUUACAGGCAAACCUGUCAGGAUUACUACGUUUGGUUCAUCUAGUAUGUAAUCUGAUCAAUAAUGUAGUAUUACAAAUGAUGCAAGAUUACACCAAAAAUAUUACCAAACGAGGGAUGGAAAUCUCGUAUUACUGAUGACGGGUUAUCCUGCAUUCAUGUAAAAUUACAAGUUUAUCCCUUCGAACCCACUAACCUUUUCAAUGCUUCACUUUUAAAAUAUUAAUUAAAUUUUUAAAUUGUCAAAUUUUAAAUUUUAAAUUUUAAAUUUCUCGUUUCAAGUUUCAAGUUUCAAGUUUCAAAAUUUUAAAAUUUAAAAUUUUAAACUUCAAAUUUAGAUUUUAAUUCUAAAUUUUAAAUUUAUAUUUAUAUUUUAAAUUUUAAAUUUUAAAAUUUAAAUUUAUAAAUUAUAUAUUUAUAUUUUAAAUUAAAAUAUUAAAUUUUAUGUUUUUGUUCAAAUUUUAAAUUUUAAAUUUUAAAUUUAAAAAUAAAAUUUAAAUUCAAAUUUUAAAUUAUUUAAAAGAAAAUUUACUAGAAAAUUUAUUAUUUGUAAAUAGUAAAAAAUUUUAGCCAAAUAUAAUUACGGGCAACUUUGGAAUAAAUUAUACUUUGUUGUCAGGAUCACUGAAUUUUAUAAACUGAACCAAACAUAAUAAUUCUAUAUACAUUGCAAUCCAACAUUACAUUACUGCAUUAAACUAAAUACGCUAAUGCAGUAUCAGUAGUAACCUCAUUCAGAAAUCCAAGAUACCUGGAUAUGUCGAAAUUAAUCUGCAAUGUUACAUAACGUGAACCAAACGCGCCCUAAUUGACAUCUUAGAUGCAUUAUUUUGAAAACCCUGAACAUUAGUUUCUCCCAAUACUAAAUUACUUGUUACUUUAUUAUUGUUCUCUUAUGCUUGUGAAAUGAUUAUGUUAUGACUGUGGAGAGAGAUUAGAUGUAGAUUUUAUGGUAAUGUGAGAUGUGGAUUCCUAGCGUAGAGAUGUGAUUAUGAUUAUGGCUAUGUGAUAAGGAUUAUGUAGUGGAUCGAGACCGGGGGUCCUAAUUGUAUGUGAGAUAUGUGAUGAUGGUCGAGAUUGAGAGCGAUAUUCUAGAUGGAGGUCAGGUAUAGUUUGUGCUAAUUGAGACUAUAAGACCUAUACUCUAGACGAAUGUUGGAUAUAGUGUUGUGGAGUGGAGCUUAGAUAACUACACUCUGGACGAAUGUCGAAUGUAGCUAGGGCGGUGAGGCAUUGCACGCAAGUGAACUGUCCGGAGACGAGAGUUAAACUGCAGACGGACGAGUACAAACAAAAUGACAGUUCCGCAAAACACGCACUGUGGGGGGGUGAUAUGCUAGACAAAUAUCAUAUAUCACAAGUAGAAUAAAUAAUGUGAGGCUAGACGAAUGUCGUCUUAUAUUAUGACUGUGAUUUUGGAUGGAAAUGUGGUGUUGGAGAUGGAGGUACCAUCUGCAAAUAAAUGAUGGUUUAAUUGCUUUUUGUGGGGAAAUAAGGCAGCUUAGUUGUUAUUUGUGGGGAUAUAAGAGGGUUUUGAUUGCUUUGUGCUGGGAGAUAAUGGAGGACGCAAUAUGUAUUGUGGGGCAUAAUUUUUUUUAUUUUACUAUGAGUUUAAUGUUAAAAUUGCAUUUAUAUUUUAUUAAAAAUUAAAGUUUAUUGAACAAAACAUAUGCAUAUAGGUUGCGUUCUAUUCGAGAACUAAAUUUUGGAAAUAAACUUUGUUCCUUAGAAGAAAGGAUAUCUUGAUAUAACUGUAAAUUUAUAUUUGGAUGCAAUCAAAGGAUAUUCUCGAGGAUAUCUUUAAUUCCAUUUGAAUAAAAAGUCUAGAACAUUGUCUAAAUAUGUUUUAAAAAAUUGAAAAAUACAAUACAUAAGAAAUUCCAACUUUUAUAUUUAUCCAAUAUUGAUAUAAUGAAAAAUAUAAAUAAUUUUAUAAAAGAACUUUUUAAUAUAAGUUAUAUUUUAAUAUAUCUAUAAUAUAUAUAUUAUAUCUAAUAAUUUAUAAUAUAAUAUUAUCAAUUCAAAAUAUUAUACUAUACUAAUAAGAUAGUAUUAAUUUUAAUGAACAAUAAUAUUAAUUUUAAUACAAUUUCAUUAACAUACAUCAGAAAAUAAUAUAAUAUAUACUAAAUACAUAUAUAAUAAAAUAAUAUAAUAAUAAUAUAUAUAAUAUGACUUAAUGAAUAAAAUAAUAUAUCAUGUUUUAAUAAAAUAUAUUAUAGUUAGUAAAAAUUAUUUUAUAACAAAAAUAUUUAUAUUAAUAUAUUUUUUUAUUUAUUUAUAUAUUUAUAAAAGAAAUUGUAUUUAUAUUUAUUAUAUUAAAUUUUAUUGAACAAAACAUAUGUAUAUAGGUUGCGUUCUAUUCGAGAACUAACUUUUGGAAAUAAACUUUGUUCCCUAGAAGAAAAGAUAUCCUGAUAUAACUGUAAAUUUACAUUUGGAUGCAAUCAAAGGAUAUUCUCGAGGAUAUCUUUAAUAGCAUUUCAAUAAAAAGUCUAUAACAUUGUCUAAAUAUGUUUUAAAAAAUUGAAAAAUACAAAUAUUUUUUAUAGAGAAUUAUAAAUUCCAACUUUUAUAUUUAUCCAAUAUUGAUAUAAUGAAAAAUAUAAAUAAUGUUAUAAAAGUACUUUUUAAUAUAUGUUAUAUUUUAAUAUAUCUGUAAUAUAUAUAUAUAUAUAUAUAUAUAUAAUAAUUUAUAAUAUAAUAUUAUCAAUUCAUAAUAUUAUAUUAUACUAGUAAUUUUAAUACAAUUUUAUUAACAUACAUCAGAAAAUAAUAUAAUAUAUACAAAAUACAUAUAUAAUAAAGUAAUAUAAUAAUAUAUAUAAAAUGACUUCCACUUGCAACAUUCCUUUAUUUUUCUAAACCUUCCUAAUUUUGUUUCACAUUAAGCUUUCAAAUGCUUACUAAACACAUAAUUGCCUUAGAAAGGAACAUGUUCUCACUGACAAAAUAUUCAGAUUAAAUUUAUGUCAAUACACGAGACAAUUUAAAGUGUUACCAAAAAUCAAUAAAACAAACUAUAAAGAGUAACACUACUACUAUGUAUAAGAUGGUGGAAAGUUGACAUCAUACAAAGAUUAAAAGAUGCAAUAAGAGCCCAAAAACAAAUGAAAAAGCACUUAUCAAGAAAUCAAAGAUAGCCUAACCUGAAAUAUCCCAUUUGAAAGCAACUCGCCUUCAGCAACAAUAAUGGUGUUCUCGACAAAGAACCCUGAAGUGAUUUUGUACUCUCAUAUUAAGGAAACAAGUUGUUCGAUAGUUCUCCUUAUUGAAGAAAGAAAGACAAAAAGGUUGGAAAUUCACUGCUUGAAGGCAGCUAGCUAUAACUAAGAGACUGCUUGGCCCAACUGGAGAUUUUGCAAGGACUAUUGUGUAAGUGAUGCUGUUUGAAAAAGACUCAGCUUUUUCAGUUGAAAAAAACAAAACAUUCCAAUAACUUCGCAGUUCGCACCAAAGGUGGAAGCAGAAACAUCAAGUCGGACCUGCUUUUGGACAUCAAAAGCUCAUUCUAGUUUCCUUCUCCAGCUGCAAACUCCAAACUUUUGGUUUGUGAUUAUUAGCUUCUACUUCUCCAGUCGAAGUGUUCCAUAAGUUAAGGCCAAAUAGGACUGGUUUUAAGACAGCUUGAUAUAGCAGUUUCGAAAGCAUUCUCAUGAGUAAAUUCAGAUAAAUGUCGUCAUUCUUCCUACCAAUCAACUUCAGAUUGGAAGACUAUUUGCAAGUUUGAAUAGCAUAUUGGACACUUGCUAUCAAUCAGGUUUAGAUUCUCUUAUGCAUGAUAGAAAGAAAUCACAGAAUCAUCAACUUCAUUUAAAAAAAAAAAUAGCAGGAGGACAAUAUAACAAUCAUUAUACGCGGCAGUAAAAGGAAGAAAUCAGAAUACAAGGACAAAAAUGUAAUGUAACACAAUCUUCUAAUAACCACAGAGCGCAGAUAUAUUCAGUAUCUAGGAUUGUCUUUGAUUUCUUUGCUAGAUCGCAACUUAAGUUAAAAUCGAACUUCCUCAAUCGGCUAACUUUUAUGCUUGAAAUUUAGGUAAAAUAUGGAAUUACCCCUCAAACUAUGGCAUUUUAAAAUAGCUCCUUCAACUUCAUUUAUCGACACACCCUCAAUGUUAAUCAAUUCGAUUUAAGUUAUUCCUUUAGAAAAUUAAGGAUCCCAAUAAAGUUAACUGAUCUACCUUGCUUCCAGCUAACAUGAUUGUUAAUUACUUUAGCAAUUAAUGGUUAAAACUUCCAGAUUUACUACAAAGGGCAGAUGAAAUAAUAGAAAGCGAAAUAAACAAAAGCUGAGGGGAUGUCAAUCAACAUAAUGUUACUUUUCUCCAAAAACUAAAAAAAAAUUAAAAAAAAAAAAUAACGUAGCCUUACGGGAUCUAUUUCAAAAUAACCAUUAGUUUAGGGUUAUUUGUACACAAAUUAAUACAAAUAUAUCUUACUCUACUACUUCAUCAACAGUUAGCAUUUUAGCAUGUUUUAUUGCAGAUAAUGUUUAGAAUUAUAACAAAAACUUUGUUAAUCAGCUUCUCCAUACAGAUUAAAUGUAGAACAGAAAUAUUUGCCAUAGACACAAGAACAGCAUAUGAUUUAUUGCCUUCGCCAAAGCCUACUUGAAAACUAGUCAAUGAAUGCUCUACCUAGUUUCAAUGAGGGAAAAGACAAUGGCACUGCAAUUAUUUACCACGAUGUGCGUGUAUCACUGAAUAUGUAGUGAAAUGUUGCAUAGGAUGUGCUGGAUGGUUUAGCACCAUAGGCAUAGUUGGUGUGUCUGCGAAUCAUUUGGAAACAAAUUGUGUAUGACAUGACAUAAUAGAUGGGAACUAUAGUGAGCUAAUGGAAAUCGUGUCAAGACAAUUAAAUUAAACAAAAAAUCGAUAUCGCAAGUAUAAACUAAAAGCCUUUAGGAUAUUGCAUUGGACAAAUCAAUCGGGACUGCAGCGGUCGGAUCUUCCAAGAAGAAUUGGCCUUCCUCCAGCUGAGAAAUCACCCCCAUAAUCCAUCUCCUCCCAGCGCAUCCAAUCAGAGACUGUACUGGGGUUAUCUGCUCAGCGGCAAAACUCAAAAAUAAAAGAAUCAAUCAGACGAAGAGAGAAAAGCAUUUUACCGACCAAAGAUCUUGAACACCGAAAAUUAGCUAGAAUGCACGCAAAUUUCAUAUCGGAGGGUGGUCGGGACACGUAUGCAAAAGGGUUUAAGAAGAAACAAGAAAAGGCCGUAGCAAAAUGUUCACGAAGUACAUAUACCUCACAGCUCUCGGCUUCACUCAUUUCAAAAUCAAACGACGACCUGGAGAAAUACUUAUCGCGGGAAAGCCUCUGGAGAAGCAGUUGGUGCCGGUCCCUGUACAAGUCGGCUUUGUCGCCAGCUUCCCCGUGGAUGGGCAACUGCCCCGUGCGCCUAUUUCGAACGAAAAGCACUCGUUCGUGAUUUUGCUCGAGCGUAAAACCGACCGACCGACGGAAACAUGAAUGAAAUCUAUCUUUGAAGAAGAGGAGGAGGUUCAUACUCACUCGUAGAACACUUUUUUGAUGGGGUCGUAUUGAAAUCGAGGUACGACAAAGGCGUCGAUCACGCGUAAGGCCGAGCGGCUGCUGACGGCGGCGGACGCCGGAUCUACGGCGGCUUCGGCUUCGAGGAGGAGGCUAACCACUCGGCGAACGGCCUCCUUGUCCAGAAUGGACGAUUUUACUGGGGAGGAAAAGAAGAGAAGAGAAGAGAAGAGAAGAGAAGAGGAUCCCUCUGCGGUUAGGGUUGAGAAUGGAAAAUUAAAAUAAAAAUAAGAAUAAGAAUAGAAAAGGAUAGAGAGGGAGAGAAGACACUAGAGAAGCGUGCGCGGAAGGAAGGGAAGGAGGGGGAAUGAAUAAUGAUGUUUUUUUUUAGCGGUGGAGAAUUACGAGACUCCUUGUCGAUCUCGUCGAUCAGGAGGUCGAGGGCGUCGUCCUCGGCGUCGGGGAAGCGGGAGAGGAAGGAGACGACCUCCUCCAAGGCGUCCACCUUCAAGGUGAAGCCUCGGAGUUUAAACCUGCGCUGCACCUUCUUCCGAGUCCCCGCCGCCCCCAUUCCUAACGGGGACGCUCGCUCGCUCGAUAACCCUACCUCGCUCUUCUGGGCGAAGGGCGGGAAGACGAGAAACUUAUACUUAUUAGAUCCCCUUCGGCCUUCGGGGAUGGGAAAAGUAAUAUAUAUUUUUUAUUAUUCUUUCUUGAGCUUAAAGAAGGUCAAUUUGCAAAAAAAAAAUUCGCUUAUUUUGGGCUUUUAUAAAAACGGACCAUCUUUUUCAUUUUUACGGAUUCAAACCACUUUUUCGGUGAACUGAUCAAAAUAUCCUCAUACUUUUUUCUCUAUCCUCUUUUUUUUUCUCUCGUUCUUUUUUUUCUCUCUCCACAGAAGGCAGCAGAGACGGAGGCAAAAACAGCCCGCCUCGCCUCCGCCCCGCACGCCCUCGCCCUCGCCCUCGCCCUCGCCCGUACACCCCGGCUCUCCUCGUCUUCUACCCUGCUGAAGCCACGCCACCACCUUCUUCUCCACUAGGGCACGGCGACAUCGAGACGCGGGCUCUUCUCCUCCACCGCGCGUCGGAACGCCGAGACAUCGUCGGAGGCUGCGAGAUCGUCUUCGACGACGUUUCGGUGGUUGCGACAGAAAGUAAGGAAGAGGUGGUGACAAAAAAAAUUAUAAAAAAAAGAAUAAUAAAAGAUAAAAAUAAAAAUUAUUUUUUUCUUACAGAAAAGGUCAAAAAAUAUAGAAGAGAAAAGAAAAUAAUGAAAUUACACUCUUAAAAUAUAAUUAUACUGUUUUAAAAAAAUUUACACUGUUUUAAUAAAAUUACACUAUUUGAUAUAUAAAUUACACUCUUGUGAAAUAGACUUUACACUCUUUAAGCCAAGCUUGCACCAUUUAGAAAAAUUUUGCACUAUUUCGUUUUUUUUUUUCUUUUUCUCUUCUUCUUCUUCCUCUUCUUCCUGCGGGCGAUGGAUGCUACCUUCCUUCUGCCCUUGCUCCCCCAGGUCAGCAGCAGCUCCAGGGCGUGCCGCAUGUUCAGCGCCCCCACGACGACACCAGCUUCCCCUGCGAGAUGCUCGCCACGAUUGCGUCCCUCAGCAGCGGCGGCGUUGAACUCGACGAGCGACGACGACGCGCCGGAGUUGAGGAGCGGACGACGUCGAGGGCGAACUCGGUGGGGCUCUCGCUGCCGGGGACAGGGCACCCGAAUGCGGCGAGGAAGUUGGCAAGGCGGCACGGGUCGCCGCAGUAGGCGGCGCGGUCGCACGAGAGGAUGAGGAGGCGGUCUACGAGCACUAGCACGCCCCCGCUCUCCUCGUCUUCGACCCUGCCGAGGCCACGCCACCACCUUUUUUCUCCACUAGGGCACGGCGACGUCGAGACACGAGCUCUUCUCCUCCACCACGCGUCGGAACGCCGAGACAUCGUCGGAGGCUGCGAAAUCGUCUCCGACGACGUCGCGGUGGUUGCGACAGAAAGCAAGGAAGAGGUGGUGACAAAAAAAAUUAUAAAAAAAAGAAUAAUAAAAGAUAAAAAUAAAAAUUAUUUUUUUCUUACAGAAAAGGUCAAAAAAUAUAGAAGAGAAAAGAAAAUGAUGAAAUUACACUCUUAAAAUANNUAUAAAAUUCUCACGUUAAAGUAAUAACCGAAAAGCGAAGCUAUAAAAACCUGGAAAAGACCUUCUUUUUUUCUUAAAGCUAGGGCUAGCGCGUGCUACGAAAAAACCUAUUAAAAAACGGAGUGGUGGAGAGGGGAAUGAGAGAUCCCAGUCGUCGUGGUGGUUUUGCAGCGGCUUCUGCUAGUCGCGUCGGCGGGCAAGUCGCGGGACGCAGCGCGGUUGCGGGGAUGGAGGCGGGUGCGGCCCAAGAGCACGCGGUGGUGCGGCGGCGGCGGUGCGGCCCAAGAAGAAGGAAACGAAGGACAGCCUCUACCUACGGAGGAAGGGAAAGGAGAACGAAAGGGCCCAGUCGUUGUCUAGGCGCCGCGCGGCGCGCGACUGUGGUCGAAGGGGGCGCUCUACGAACGGCACUAGCGCAGGAAGUCGCCGUCGCCACAACUUGAGCCGCUCGCUGCUGCUACGCGGCCCGAGCUCCUCGCCUGCCGCAGCUCCCGCUUGAGCCGCCCCCAGAGCGGCCGCCCCUACCCCGUGGGCUUACGCCGCUCCUUCAGCCGCUCCGCCACGCCCAGCGGCGUCAUCCGCCGCACCGGCGCGCUCUCCUAUUCCUCCGCCAGUUGCUCGGGCUCGUGCGUUGCCGAGCCGACCACCUGCCUCCACUGCUGCUGCGAGGGCUGCGCGCGGUACAUCUACGGAGGGAGGGAGAGGGGAACGAGGGGUCCCAGUCGUCGUCGAAGCCCCUCGCGGCACGCAAAUCGCGCGGCGCGCAAGUCGCGGGGCGCGGCGCGGUCGCGGGGAUGGAAUUACACUGUUUUAAAAAAAAUUUACACUAUUUUAAUAAAAUUUCACUAUUUGAUAUAUAAAUUACACUCUUUUGAAAUAGACUUUACACUCUUUAAGCCAAGCUUGCACCAUUUAGAAAAAUUUUGCACUAUUUUGUUUUUUUUUUCUCUAUCUUCUUCUUCUUCUUCCUCUUCUUCUUGCGGGCGAUGGAUGCCACCCUCCUUCUCCCCUUGCUCCCUCAGGUCAACAGCAGCUCUAGGGCGCGCCACAUGUUCAGCACCCCCACGACGACACCAGCUUCCCCUGCGAGAUGCUCGCCGCGAUCGCGUCCCUCAGCAGCGGCGAUGUUGAACUCGAUGAGCGACGAUGACGCGCCGGAGUUAAAGAGCGGACGGCGUCGAGGGCGAACUCGGCGGGGCUCUCGCCAGCGGGGACAGGGCACCCGAAUGCGGCGAGGAAGUUGGCAAGGCGGCGCGGGUCACCGCAGUAGGCGGCGUGAUCGCACGAGAGGAUGAGGAGGCGGUCUAUGAGCACCAGCACUGUCACGCCCCAAGACCGCUACCCAUUUGGUUCGGUUCGGGCGCGUCGAACAGACGCCGGACGGACAGUACCUUCCCUGUCCGCCCAAGGCUCAACAACAAGAUCAUGUACAAGAGUUGCCCAAAAUAAACUCAAUUAACAUACAUGAUUCAACAAGCACCACAAGUGCUAUACCAACAAGAGCAAGAAUCACAAGUAACAUACAAGUGAAAUAAAGAGAGAUACAUCUAGCUAUUACAUCACAUUCAACAUUGAUUUGAUUUACAUUUCCAUCUCCCAAAAAUGAAUACAUGAUCCUCUCACAAACAUAAUGCUAGCUAUCCAAAAUACAUCAUGUCUAUAAACAUGCACACGAGGGUGCUCUAGAACAAAUAGGAAACUCUACUAGCUAGCUAGGGCGCUACGCCCUUACCGCGAUCCUCCCCCGGAACGCUUGCACACGGCCCUGCAACAAAGUGGGGUGAGAACUAUAUAAAUAUAGUUUCCAGUGGGUUCGGCCGCUGACUCCGCCGAUCUUUCCACUAUGUUUAAACAGGUACAGAUAGAUAAAUAAAUAUGAAAUUGCAACUAUGCUCAUCCAUGCCUUCAAAUGCAAGCAAUGCAUGGAAUAUCAUCUAACAACAAGCCUACUAUCAUGCUAGUAUGCUUCAACAAUGUAAUGAAUACAAAUACAAUAUAGUUAUGCAAUUCACUAACAUAUACUAUGUCUAAUCAGGGUAUGAAUGCAAAUCCACUUAUGCUAUUCAUGUCAUUACCCAAUCUACUAGGCUACCCCGCCUCAGAUCUCAAAUCUCAUAGGUACUCACACCACAAAUCUAGUAGGUGAAGAGGUGAAGAACUACCCCGCUCUUCGCCCCGACUGAUAUCUCAAAUCUCACAGGUGAGGAGCUACCCCGCUCUUAUCUCACCCGUCUCACAUCUCAAGCCAUAGGUCUUCAGCUACCCCGCUCUAAUCUCAUAAGUAAUGAGCUACCCCGCUCAAUUCUCAUAAGUAAUGAGCUACCCCGCUCAAUCCUCAUAGGGGAAGGGCUACCCCGCCAUUCACCCCAACUCACUUCCCAGUCCAAUGGGUGAGAAGCUACCCCGCUCGUAUCCCACCCGGUGAGCUACCCCGCUCGUGAGCUACCCGGCUCAUGUGACAACUCCGGAGUGCAUUGCUUGUGUGGAGCGAGCACCACAAGCUCAAAAUAGACUAUGUGAGUAUGAUCCAAUCCUCGCCAACUAAGGAUACCCUGUCAACUAGGUUAACAAAUACUCGAAAAUCCACCUAUCCCUAGGUCCAUGUCAAGUGUCUCAACCACACUAAUCAACUCACACUAGGGAAUUGAACUAUCCCUAUGUUUGAUGCCAUAGUGUCUCAAUUACACUAAUUCUCAUGCAAUAUGCCACGAUUAGGGAAACUCACCUAUUCCCUAUGCUCAAUGCCACAAGUGUUUCUAUUACACUAAGUUCCAAUGCCACUCGUCAUGUUGUUAACAUUAUUUACAUGCCACUCGUCCAAGUCAUAGUGUUUUCUAUACGCUAGUUCGCAUGUCACUAGUUUUCAUCAUCAAGUCCGAGUUCAUCGUUUUCUUAUCACUAUAGGAUCUCAUGUCACAAACCCUAAUCCUCAUGCAUUCUAUAUUUAAGUGUCAAGUCCAUAAUGCUACACAACUAGACAUGCAUGCAAGGAAAUAGAAAUGCAACUAUACAUACAUCCUAUAAUGCAUAAGAACAAUAUGUGUAAUAUGACCAAAAAUCUAACUCGGACAUAGAAGGAAGGCUAGUUGCUUCGGGAUGGACACCCCGCAACUUUUAAUGCUACCAAGAGGCUAGGGUUCCGAUUUCGUGAUUUUUGGAAGCUUUCGCCGCAGCUGCGGCAAUUUGUACCGAAACAGGCCUUUUCUCCAAUAUCUUCGCGUAGCCUCGUCGUAUCGCCGAACCGACUUCGCCAACGCGUCAGAAUACCUAUCAAUUUGGUUUAUACAUGAUCAAUUUAGAUCGAACCCUCACAUAUUUCAAAAUCCCAUUUUUGAGCCCUAACAUGCAAUUACUUCCAAAUAAUCCAAAUUAAAUGGAGCAACAUGCUAAGAAUGCUCAUUAGAGGCUACUAGAACACUUAAGGUUAAGGACUAAGCCAAAUCCCAAAAGUUUACCAAAAUGUGUACGCCGAGACGGAAGCACGCCGCUCCAACGGGCGCACGAAAGCUCGAUCCGUUGCUCCCAACGCGUUCGCAACUUGUUCUCCGCCAACGCCGUGAAUUUGGACGAAAGAUCUAGAGAGAUGAGAGAGUUAUUUAGAGAGAGAAAGUGAGGAUUUCUCUCACUACCACCAUGAACGUGUGGUGUUGUGGGGGUGGUGGUGGCUGUGAAGAAGAAGAAGACUAGAAGCUUCUACUUAUAGUCAACAUCCCAAUAGUAGCAUACACUAUUCACUUUAGGCAGUACGAAAUCUGAUAUCUUUCGUUGGAGCCCUCUGAAUAUCCGUUUGAGCUCAAAUUUGACAGUUAUAUUCGGUUUUGCUUAACUUAACGAAAGAAAUUUUAAUCUUUCAGUUUCGACCCCGCUUGGUCACCGAAAGCUGUACCGAACUGUAAUCUUUAUCAAAUAGCAGUUCGAUUUUAUUCUCCACCUUCCGAGUGUCAGAAUGACAUGAAACUUUAAAUCUAGCCUCAUAAAAAUAAUUCUGACAUACUCUCCAGUUUUCAUAAUUUUCCGACACUGUGCAUUUUCUGCUAAUUUACCAGCACCGCUUUUCAUAGAAAAUUCUAAAUCUUUUGUUUUCGCUCCGAUUUUAGCACAGGUCAUUUUCAACUUAUACCUUACACCCUUAAGUCCAAUAAAAAUAAUAUCUCACACUAUUUUUAUUUACACUUAAUUUUAUAUUAAAUUUCGGUAUACUACAUCCCAUCGUAACUUCAUAAUUUCAGAAGUUCGGUACCUUACAAGCACGCGACGGCUCGGCUGGUGGAUGGAGGCGACGACGACGCUCCCGGCGCGCGCGAUGCGUGCGGGAGAAGAGAGAUUAACAUAUUAAUAUAUAUAUAUACACACACACACACACACACACCCCAUCUUUAAUAACUUUUAAAAGGGAAAGAAAAAAAGAAAAAAGAAGAAAUUACGACACCAAAAACCUAGAACAGAGAAAAAAAAAAGGAAGAGCGUGAGAGAGAGAACAAGGAGAUAUGGGGGACGUGGGAGGAGCUCCUCCUCGCCUGCGCCGUUAGCCGCCACAGCGCGCGGAGCUGGGACUCCGUCGCCAUGGAGGUCCAGGCGCGGAGCCCCUUCGUCCACCUCCUCACCCCACACAACUGCCGCCUCUAUUUCUGCCACCUUCGCCGCCGCUUCUCCGACGCCGAUGCCGACGCCGAUCCAGACCUUGCCGACGCCAUCCCUUAGCUCGAGGAGCUCUGCAAGCUCCGCGUCGUUGAGCUUCGCCGUGAGGUCGAGCGAUACCAUCUCUCGAUUGUGUAUGCCUCAUCUGAAUCACUCCUCGCGUCCUAUUUCAUUUUUUUUUCUCCAUUUAUUUGCACGCGUCGUUAAUAUUUUUUUCAUUUAUUUGUAUGCGCCCACCAGGAAGAAGAGGAAUCCAUCGCCCGCAGGAAGAAGAGGAAGAAGAAGAAGAGAAAGAGAAAAAAAAAAAUGAAAUAGUGCAAACUUUUUCUAAAUGGUGCAAGUUUGGCUUAAAGAGUGUAAAAUGUAAAGUAUCUCGGGCGGUCUCUGUCUAGGGCGCAAUACCCUUACCGCCAUCGUCUGCCGGCUCGCUCGGUUCCAACUCUGUAAAAAAUAGGGUGUGAGAACUACAACAAAAUUUUCAGUGGGUUCGGCAACCAACCUGUCACGCCCCAAUCCCCGCCAAUUUGGUCGGGUUCGGGUUACGUCAACAGACGCCGAACGGACAGCAUCUCCCCUGUCCGCCCAAGGCUCCAACAACUAGUAUAAUUAAGCAAUCAACAAAGAGAUAUGCAAUUAUACAAGGCUUGCACGAGGGCAAGCAACAACGGAAGUGAAAGUUCUAAGCUAAGCAUACAACCAUACACAAUAUUCGAUUACAUUUAAACCAAAUACUUGUAACUAAAACUAUUACAUUCAUUUUGCUUUCAUCCAUAAUUCUUUACAUUUCUGUUAUUCUCCAAAAUACACGAUAUGUUUUCAACUUUACAAAUCUAAAUCAACAAAAUAAAAAUUGAUACAUGUAGGCAAAAGGAAUGACUAAUGCAUAAGUCCCGGUGGCCACUAGCUAUGGCACAAUAGCCUUGCCACGGUCCUCCGCCGCCCCGCUCGCGCUCGGACCUGUAGGGUUAGUGGUGUGAGAACUACAACGAAGUUUUCAGUGGGUUCGGCAACUGACCUCGCCGACUUACCCACUAGGCCUAUUCAGGCAUAAGUAUUUCAAAGAAACGGAAACUGUAACCAAUACUAAUGCUAAUACUAUGCCUGCAAGAAAAAUGUUAGUGGAUAUAUAAUCGAAUAAUGAAUGCUCAUGUUUGCAUGCUUGUUCCAUAACUUUACUUUGGCUUUUACCGAAUCAUGCCGGUUAACCUUGUUAACCCCAAUAACUCACAACCCGAAAUUCCUUAAUAACGGGGGACUUGAACCACCCUAGGGACCGUCCUCUGGGGGGACUUUACCACGCUCAAUGGUGACCAACUCCGGAGCGCACCGCUCGAGGAGGAGCUACCUCCCUCAAGCCAAGACUUGUCGUGAGUGUCGAUCCAAUUCUCAACUUAAGGAUACAUAGCCACUAGUCACAAUGCCAUUGUCAUAAUAGGUUUCUACCUAUUUAUUCAUGCUACUUUCCAAGUCAUACUUGUCACAAUGUCACUAUGGUUAAACUAUGUUUAACAACUCAUUUCUCAAUGCCAAUCAUCUCUCUAUUGUCAAUGUCACCUUUGUUUACUAUUAUCCAAGUCCAAGUCUCACAUUUAUACAACUUUAGGGUUCAACCAUAUAUGUCCAUUGUGGUUCUAUCAUUCUCAAUGUUCAACUACGUUAGAAAUAUGUAAAUGAAAUCAAACCAAGGUUCACAUGUAAUUUAACCCUACUAUGCAUGAAUGACUAUACAUCAAUAUGCUCAACAAAAAGGUGAAAUAGACAUAAAGGGGAAUCCGAUGAUUCCGGUGUACACCCCCCACCUCAAAUAGUGUAGAAGGGUUGUAGUUCGACUCCUGGGAUUUUAGGACGCCUCUCCCGCAACCUAAACCCAAAAUAAAGCAAAAUUAGGCCCUAUAUACAAAAUCUCAUACUAAACCUUUUCGUAACGUUAAACCGAGUGCACGAACGCGUCGGGAAUACCCCCAAUUAGGUUUCUACAUGAUAAAUUUUGAUCUAAACCCCUCCAAUACAAAAGCCCCAAUUUGGGUGCCCUAACAAUGCCAUAUUCAAAUUUCUCCUAGAUUGAUUUCAUCUCUAAGCAAAUGAUAGGUUAGAAUCACCUAGGAAGCUCUCUAAUAUCAUUUCCAAGCUAUUGGAACCAUUCCUAGAGCAUCUAACAUGAUCCCUAAUUAACCACCAUGAGAGCACCUUAAGAAACCAUGGAUUUUCAUGGGUUCAAGGUUCUACUAUACCUCUAAAGCCUCUAAAGAGACCAAAACUCCAAACCUAAGGUUUAAAUCCUAACCCUAGCGGAGUUCGUGCACAAAAUUUACCUUAGCCACGAACUCACCCAAGAUCCUUCUUGUUGCAGAGCCCCAAGAACCACCAAAGCCUCCAAAACCCACUUCUCCAAGCUUCUUCUUCUUCUCUCCUUCUUCUUCUCCUUCUAGAGAAAGAGAGAGAGAGAAAUAUGAGAGAGUGUGAGAGGGAGAGAAUGAGAGAAAAGAGCUCUCAUCACCCUAUAUAUAACCUCACCAUGGCAUAUUUGCAUUUAGGCCCCUCAACAUUGCAUCCUGUGCACUGCCCAGACUGGGCCCUUUUCGGGCACGGGGACCGGUCUCUCUAGCAGGGGACCGGUCCCCGAGAGCACCCUUUGCAGUUUAUGCAGCCGGGGUUCGGUCUCACCCUGAGGGACCGGUCUCACGAGGACCGGUCUCUUCCCGCAGGGACCGGUCCUCGAGAGCAAAACUUCCAGGACUUAGCCGAUUUUUUUCCUCUUCUCGCUGGCCGCGCGUACGGGAACCGGUCUCUCCUUCAGGGACCGAUCUCCAAGAGCACAAAAUUUGCAAUGGUGCAUAUUUGCUCCAGGUUGCUCUUCGAGACCUCCUAUAAUGUACUUUUGCUCUUUUUGACGCCUUCGGCCUUUCCGAAGUGUACCCACCUCGCAUUUUGGUUAUUUUGACUAAAGUUCGAUAUUCGUUUACUGAGGUUUCGGUAUAUUACACAACCACGUCGACUUUCCCACUAAGUCUAAAUCAGGCAUAAUAGAAGAAAAGAGAUAUAGAUAGUAACCAAACUAUACAAAUGCAGCUAAUAUGACUGAACAAUAAUCAAUGCAAUGCUCAAUAGUAUGCUCAUGAUGAAUACAAGAUCACAAUCUCAUUGCCCAAUCUUUUGGCUAACCCGUAGGUUUCGACCUCAACAACUCACAAACCAAAUCCCUACUAUCGGGAAGAUACCCGCUACUACCCGACGGGACCGUCCUCUGGGGAGAUACUCGCUACGACCCAGUGAUGACAACUCCGGAGCACAUCGCCCGAGGGGGAGCUACCACCCUCGAGCAAGGAUUUACAGGUGAGUAUGAUCCAAUCCUUAACUAUAAGGAUGCCGAGUUCAAUCAAUUCCUUAACUAUAAGGAAACAAUGUACAUAUGACCCUUAACUUCAAGGUUGUUAUGUCAUAAUGUUACUACCUUUGUAUACUUGUAUUCGUUAAACUUUACUAGUGUCGUAUACACUACUUGUUCUUUGUACUCAUACAAUGAUGCCACACUUGUUCUCUAAGUGUUCAAAACUAGUAGAUGCCACUCUCUACGACUCAUGUCCACAUGUCAUAUUUGUUUACUAAGGCUGUGUUUGGUUCCGGUAUAAGUAAGAACUACUAGUUCCAGGGAUAGGUACAAGUUCAGGUAUAAGCAGGAACUAGAUCAAUUUUGCGUUUGGAUGAAAAUUGGGUUGUUUUUAGGAAUAAGGUAAAUAGUAUUUGGAUGGUUAGAUUGGAGCAAGAGGAAUAAGAGUUAUAAUUUGAAAUUAAAAUUAUAUUAUAUAAUUAAUUAACAUCAAAAUAUUAUUUAAAAAUAAAUAAUAAAUUAAUUAUUAAUAAUUAAUUAUAAAUAAUAAUAAUUAUCAGUAAUUAAUUAUAAAUAAUAAAUUAAUAAUAUCGAUUAUCUAAUUAAUAAUAAUAAUUAUUAAUAAAUAAUAAUAAUUAUUAAUUAUUCUUAUUAAUUAAUUAUAAAUAAUAAAUUAAUAAUAAUAUUGAUUAUCUAAUUAUUAAUAAUAAUUAAUAUUAAUAUUUAUUAAUAAAUAAUAAUAAUUAUUAUUAUUUAAUUAUAAAUAAUAAAUUAAUAAUAAUAUCCAUUAUCUAAUUAUUAAGAAUAAGAAUUAUUAAUUAAUUAUUAAUAAAUAAUAAUUAUUAUUAAUUAUUAAUUAUUAAUUAUAAAUAAUAAAUUAAUAAUAAUAUCGAUUAUCUAAUUAUUAAGAAUAAAAAUUAUUAAUAAUUAUUAAUAAAUAAUAAUUAUUAUUAAUUAUAAAUAAUUAAUUAUAAAUAAUAAAUUAAUAAUAAUAUCGAUUAUCUAAUUAUUAAGAAUAAAAAUUAUUAAUAAUUAAUAAUAAAUAAUAAUAAUUAUUAAUUAUUAAUAAUUAAUUAUAAAUAAUAAAUUAAUAAUAAUAAUUAUCUAAUUAUUAACAAUUAAUUAUAACUAAUAAAAUAAUAAUAAUAAUUUUCUAAUUAUUAAUAAUUAAUUAUAAAUAAUAAAUUAAUUAAUUAUUUAAUUAUUGAAGCAAUAAAUAAUGAUUUAAAUAUAUUAAUUAGAUUAAUUAAUAAUUUACUGCUAUUAAAAUUAAAUUUAGAUUUUAAUUAACCUUGUUCUCAUCAAGGAACAAGCUAGUUCCAGGAAAUGGGUGGAACAGCAGUUCCAGCCUUAUACCAGUUUGUUCCAGAAACCCGGGAACUACUGUUCCCGGGAACCAAACAUACCGUUUGGGAACAAAGGGAGGAACAAGGGCUUAUUCCCCCCCUUGUUCCCGAACCAAACGCUACCUAAGUCUACUAGGUUCCUGUCACUUGUUAUGCAUACAUAGGGUUUAUAAAUUCUCAUUUGUUCACUAGCAUGUCACAUAUAUUUGAACCCACAACAUGCGAUAAGAAGCUCACAAUUAUCCCUACUACGCAAUAUGCUUAAUACAUACAUAUGCUUAAAUAUGACACUUUAGACAUAAAAGGAAUUCUGAGGUUCUUGGUAUGCACCACCCAUCUUGUAUGUUUGUAAAGAUGCUACGGUAAAUUUCUUGGAAUUUUUGAAGUCCUACUUUAUCGCCUGCGGCAAAACGAAGUCAAAUUAGGCUUAAUACUUAGAACUCCUACAUAGGCUUUUCGUAACGUCAAACCGAGUUGCCCAACGUGUCGGGAAUACCCUGAAUUAAAUUUCUAUAAGGUCAAUUUGUCUUAGAAACUCUCUAGGGCAAACGUCCUAAAUUUGGUGCCAUAACAAUACCAUUUACUCAAACCUGGGUUUGAUCUCUAAAGUAAGUAAAAGAGAGCUUGUCUAACAUCUAGAAGCUUAUUUAGAACCAUCUAAACCAUUUCUAGGGCAUAAUAAGCAAACCCUAGGAAUUCACCAUUAGAGCACUGAAGAAAACUAGGGUUUUCAUGUGUUCUAAGCCAUUACUAGGUUUCUAUAUACGAGAGAAGAUCAAAACCUAGUUUUCUAGGGUAUAAAAUCAAACCUUAUACCUAUUGUUACAAAACACCUCACCUUAACCCAAAGCUCUCCAAUGUCCACCUUGUAGGAGAGAUCCCAAGCCUUCAAAACCACCAAAAAUCCCUCCAAAGCCUUCUUCUCCUUCACCUCCUAGCUCUUGGAAGUGAUCUCUAAAGAGAGAAAGAGAGAAAUGAGAGAAUAGGUGUGUGUUGGCUGUGGAAGAGGGAGAGAGAGGUGUUGGGGUGUUUUAUAAGGUGCUACAAUUGCGUCUAGGUCCCCAAUUUCUUUUUAUUUGCAGCAGACCAAAUUGGUGCUGUUAGACCAAAGUGUACCGGUACACUUUGUUCUGUCACUGAUUACACGAUCACGCAAAGGCAAACCCGAGCGCACGUUUCUCGGUUACGCAAGAUUUGUACCGGUACACUUUCAAAGGUACCAGUACACUUCGGAUUUUUCUCUCAAACCCGAGAGCAAGCUCUUCUUGGUCUGCAGGGCUGUACCGGUGACAACUCAAUCGUUGUACCGGUACACUUUGCCCAGAAUGCUGGUUUUGCGUCGUUUUCGAUUCUAUUUCGCGCCGGUCGAUGUUAAAAUCCUUUUAACUCUUUUAGAACUCCUUUUCAACCCUUCCAACAUUGUUGGAAUGUCAACCAGACUUUGUCCAUCCAUUUCUCUCGGCAUUUUAACCAAUUUGGCUAAAGUUCGAUAAUCGCUAUCGAGCUUUCGAUACAUUACAUAUUUUGUAUUUGAAACUAAUCCAAAUCAUCCUAUGUAAUAUUUAUUUUCCAUUUCAACUUGGUUUAACAUAGAAUACAAAUUAGUUUAACUAGAAUGUAGUUAGAUAUGUAGUCAAGGCAAUUAAACUGAUUACAUUCAUAAACUGUUUAUGUUUUGUAGUGUUUGGUUUGAAGAAAAAAAAAUAGUUUUUCAUCAAUAUUUAUUUUCUUUGAAAGAAAAAAAAUAAAUGAAAAGUGCUCUAUAUGCAAGAAUUUUUAACUUUUUUGGUUGGUCCCUAACUGAAAGAUGUUUUAGAAGUCUUUUGAUUUUAUUGUCUGACUAACCUGAUUUUUUUUUUUUUUUUUGCAGAAAUUUCAAAAAAAGGAAGAAUUGGUGUUUAAUUCUGAGUGAAUUCAUAAAAUAAGUUGAAGAACUCGUAGAAAACUUUGAUUUCAUAUGGAUUUUAUUUCUGUUAGAUUGAAAACUUCUUUGAAUAAAAUUUUUAAUUGACAAUUCUGUUUACUCUGCAAAUUCCUAUUUGAUUAAAUGAUUUGGCUUGUCUUGUUUGACAAUUGUCGUAUGUAAUCAAAUUUAAAUUUGUUUGAAUGAUGAAUUUGUUCUUAUAUCUCAAUUUAAAGAGUAUUAAAUUUUUGUCUAGUUUUUUUUUUUAAUUGUAUGUUUUAUAUUUUGUAUUAGAUUCACAACAAUUACGAAACCGAUGGUAUAAAUUUACUAAUUUAUACUAGCGCUUUUUACUAUAUUUAGUAGCGGUCGGAGAAGCGUUACUAAAAUUAUUUUCUCCAAUGGUUGUAUAAACUGUCGGUAAAGACUUUUAGCGACAGAGAUCUAACAGCGGUUAUAGAACUUUUCUCGGCGGUUUUACAAAUGUCGGGAAAUAUUUUUCCAGCGAUCCUAGACACUUUUCCCAGCGGUUUCGACCGCUUCUAAAACCUAUUUUUUUUGUAGUGUGUGAAAGCCAAACCUUUAUCUCCACCCUCUCUUUUUUUAGUGGCUUCAUCUUUCUCCAAGCUUAGAAUUGGACAAGAGCACUUGAAGAAGGAGCACUCCAAGGGUGAGAUCAAGUUCUUCGACAAUUAUUGAUCCACCUAAUGGUAAGUGAGAUGAGUUUCUCGUAUUUUGGAUGUGAUUUUAGGGUUUUCUUAGAUAAAGACUUUCAAAAGUUCUAACUUGAUUAGAACUUCUUCUUUAGGCUUGAUUAGAAGCCUCAACAACAAAAAUCCACUUUACGAUGAGGCUCUAGUGACUUGAGGUGGGUUAUGCUUUUCGAAAUGGUUGGAUCCUUUCCUCUAUCUCUAAAUCCCUGUUUCUCUAACUUAUGGUUGCAUGAUUUGAAUAGUAAGGUUUUUUGAUAUUCCUCCUCCUUUUAUUUGAUAUGCAUGCAUAGUAGAUGAUAGCUACAUCCCAUCUUUGGAAACUUAUGAUUUAGCAUACAUGAGUAGAGAAUGACAAUAUUGUGUCCUCAUAACCCUAUCACUUGUAUGAUUAGCAGUAAAAGUUAUCUUAUCAUGAGAUGCUUGAUUAGCAUAGUUGCCAUGCAUGAUUACCAUAAGGGGCCGUUUGGUUCCCACUAUAAAAUAUUACUAGGAGUAAAAAGAUGUUCGAGAAUCUUAUUUCUAUUCAUUCUAUUACUAAGAAUAUGACAUUCCGGUGUUUGGUUCGCACGGUCAUAUUAUUUAGUCAUGUUAUUUAAGAUUACGAAAAAUAUACAAUUAAUUUAUUUAUUUUGUUAAUAAAGUUUAGAUAAUAUUAUAAAAAAUUUCAACAUCUUUUUAGAAAAAAAGGAGAGAAAAUAUUGGUUAGAGAGAGAGCAUAAUUAAAGAAAAUAUGAAGAGAAAUAGAGUCGAGGUUAGAGGGAGUGAGAAAAUUGAGACUUUAGAAAAAGAGGGGGAGAGAGAGCUUUGUUUAGAGAGAGAAAAAGAGUUGAAGUUGAGAGAGAAAAAGAUAAGUUUGAAGAGAGAUAUGAGGUUAGAGUGUAAAAAAAAAAAUACUAACUAACCGGCAGGUAGGAAAAAAGAAAGAGAUUAGACAUAUUAUAAUUACUCUAAUCCAUUAAUAUGAGGAUAUCCACCCUCCUUCAAAGGAAUGAGAUUAGUACUUUGGGAUGAAUCUCAUUCCCAAGUAAAUCCAAUAUUACAAAUUAGAUUACUUAGUGCGUUUAGCCAAACACUGUUAUAUUUUUUUAUUCCUAUUAGAUUAAUAGGAAUCUUAAAAAGAUAGCGCGAACCAAACGCACCCUAAAGAUUUAUGAAUUUGUAAACCUAGUAUGGUUAAUAAACGAUGAUGACAAUUAUCCAUUUUGGUACCUUCUAGUAGCAUGCUGUAUUUACCAUUGUGAUACUUUCUUCAUGAGAAAAGCAUGCUAGGAUAGCAGGUACCACUAUUUUAGAAUAGGCGCUCUUCAUUGUGAGAUUUUUGACCAAGCUUGCGCUAGUUGUUUAUUAGCUUGUAGAGUUUGCGACUACACGGGCAGCGUCCCUCCGAAGGUGAUUAUACAAAUUGGGGGAUAGACUGCCGAGGUGGGCGUAGUGCCCAUAAAGCCGUGACGAGCAAGCUUGGAACGGACCAUGUGGUCGGUUGAUGGUAAAAUUGGAUCCUUGUGACAAAUGUCACAUUGCUAGGAUUUGAGACAUAUAUCGGCAAAGUUGAUCAUGUUGGACCUACAUGUACCCUGUACUUUGUAGAGGCAUUGUAGCGACAUCUUUACUUAUACUCCGUUAUCCUAUUAUUUAGUUGCUUUAUAUCUCGCUUAUUCAAUCCUAUUAACUCAUUUAGACCUAGUGUGGACAUUUGGCCAGGUUUGGCGGUCGUACCCACUAGAAACUUAUUGCAGUUCUCACACCCUCUUAUUGAUAUUUUUAUUACAGAAACAUCUAUCAACAGUGAGGCGCAUGAUCACGUCAAGGGUGUCGUGAACUAGUUAGAAGGCUACCCUUCACGUGUUGUAGGCGACCCAUUUCGUGACAUGAUAUCAUGUAUUUAUAACAUUAUGAGAGAAGAAGAAAUGUGUUUCGUUUUGGUGAUGGAAUUGUAUAAGGAAUAAAGAUUAGCUUGUAAAAGUUUAUAGUAUACUAGUUUCACUCUAAUGCUAGAUGGUACAUGAUCUCGUAUGUGAUGUACAAGUUGAAAGUUUUUAUCCGUUUUGUGCGGGCAAAGGAGACUCUGUGCAUUCAGCGGGUCCAUCGCACAUGCACGAGAGAGAGCCUCGGGUGGUCCGGUGUGAAGGAAACAAAUAAAAAGGAUACAAGGGAUGGUUGGUGCUAUCCAAAAGAAUUAUUAACAUUACAAUACGGAGGAGGAGGUGAAUGUUAGGUCAGCUAAUUUGGUAAAUUUUGAGAUUUACUAACUAGUCAUGCAAUAGUCAUUGGCUGUUCUUGAUAUAGUUCGAUCAUAAAUUUAAUGAAACAUUGAAAUAAAUUGAAAAAAGUAAACUUUCAGGCAAAACAGUAGUCUACAGUUUUACAUUUCACUCGAUAUGACAAUAACUGUUAGAUUAUCCAUCUAUGACUACAAUUCUAAGUGCAUCAAUGAGUCAAUCAAGACGAGAUAUUAUUUAAAGUUGUCCAAAUUUUCCGAAAGAUGAAGAAUUAUAUCAUUGAUGUUUAUAAUAGACAGUGCAUCUAAUAGAUCAAUUUGACAACCAUCCACAAUAUAGCGGAGCUAAUUCACAUAAAAUGCCAGUUCAAGAAAGUAACAAGAAAGACAUAUACAUGGAUUCCACUCAAAUCUAGUAUUAAAUUUUACGAGGAAGAACUCAUCAACCAAAAGAUAACAAUCGAUACACAGUAAUAGUCAUAACUGAAGACCGAUCAUCAAUAGUAACAGCAAAAUGGGAAUAAAUCCCAAAACCGAGAUGAAUUAAAAAUGAAAACAUCUAUGUUGUGUUUUUACCCAAUGUAAAUAAGCAUUAGGGUCUGUUUUGCAAUUAUUGAAAAAUAAAAUAGAGUUUUAUUUUACACUGUAUUUUGACAUUUUGAAAACUCCAUAAAAAAAAAAUUUACUUAGUAUUUUAUUAUUUGGAUUGUUUCUUAAAAAAAAUACUCGGAUUUUAUUCUUAUAUAAAGUAAAUUAAGAAAAAUUGUAUUAAUUAAAACAAAACUUCUUCGUUUAUGAAUCAAAGCAUGAAAAAAAUAUAUAAUUCAUUUGUAGAUUGUAUUUGUUGAGCCAAUAAGGUGCGGACAUAUGGUAUACCGGUACUCCAUUCAAUUAUAUAGAUUCACAGUGCACCGGGAGUAUCGGAAGGAUCUAAAACCGCAUGAUUUAAAAGAAGUUACAGUAACCGCAAGCAGUUGCAAGCAGUUCCGAUCGACUAGAUGUGACGCCCCGACUUCCCAGGGGGUCACCCAUCCUAGGACUACUCCCGUCCUAGCACGCUUAACUCUCUUAACCUCUUGGGUCUAGCCACCACCCAAAAUGCUUAAGCCGGGUUAAGAGUUUAGCCCUAUUAUAUCUUAUAUAUAGGACUAUCUGGGGUCUCACAAUCUCCCCUCCUUUAAGCCCUGACGUCCUCGUCAGGCUCAGACUCACAAGUACCAGGCGAUGUGAGACUCGUCUCGCUAGCCCGUCAUCCAGACCCUGGCUCAGCCGAGACUCAUCUCACACUUCCGGCUGGUAAUUGGCUCUGAUACCAUCUGUGACGCCCCGACUUCCCAGGGGGUCACCCAUCCUAGGACUACUCCCGUCCUAGCACGCUUAACUCUCUUAACCUCUUGGGUCUAGCCACCACCCAAAAUGCUUAAGCCGGGUUAAGAGUUUAGCCCUAUUAUAUCUUAUAUAUAGGACUAUCUGGGGUCUCACACUAGAAGUGGUCCGGAAAAUUAGGAAAUAAUGGCCGAUCGUGUAAAAGCAAUAACUGAUCAAUAGGGCAAUCUAUAAAUAGAAAAAUAACGUCCUAAAAAGGGGUCUUUUUCCUGUGAACAAAUGACCGCCUUUAUUUCCUUAUAAUUUUCUGCAUUUUUUAGGAGUAGUCUACUUGUAACUUUUAUUUUUCCGCAUUUACUGUUCUUCCUAGGAGUAGUUCAUUAAAUAGAUCAACUGAGUCUGCAUGCCAUCCGGCACACUUAACCCCUGUACUUCUUACCAAUUAAUAUAAAGGCAUUCGGUUUUUCAAGCUGACCAAUUCCUGUGUUCGUUAGUCAUUCGGCUCUUCGGCCGACUUCAGUUCUUGCUUGGUUCGUGCAUUCGGCUCAUCCAGCCGAACCGAAUUUACUGUAGAGGUUUCGAACCCGGCUGAUCCGAUCCCUCGUCAGCUGAAUCGCUUGAUCAAUCGAAGGGCGCAAACUUCGAGGAUCACCAUUCGAAGCUGUUUUCAUCCUGACACGCUCCCCGAAGAGGAUCUUUGACCGGGUCAAGAGUCAGGGAAUUCGGCUCGCAACAGUAUCAAAUUGAGAACUUUUAAAAAAAUAAUUAAAAACAAAAUAAUUAAACAAGUAUCAUAGUAAGCGUAAUUCUUCUUCAUCACAAAUUUCAAAACAUAACAAAUUUCAUCACAAAUGUCGAAAAAUCACAAAUUUUGUCGUCUUCUUUAUGGUCGCCAGGCACUCCCUCAUUGCUCGAGUUUUUUACCGGCUGUGAUCAUGUUCUUGCCUUAAUGAUUAAAUAAAAAAAAAAAAAUCAGUUGGGAUCCAAAUCGCACGUCAUCCCUUUCCCGCAGAGAGACUCCCCCUUCCCACCCCUUUCUCUGCGAUUCCUAAGGCAGCGGCGGUAGCAGUGAUCAUCUCCGUCUCCUUUUCCAGCCCCAUCUCCACAACCCCAUCUCCACUGCUAGUCCGCUACUGCUGCUUGCAUCCAUCUCUUCCUACGAUUAUUCCUCCUGCAGUCGUGGCCGUUAGCAUCCAUCUCUUCCUACGAUUAUUCCUCCUGCAUCAUGGCUGUUAGCAGGAGCGCAUUGUCAUUGUAGUCUGCAGAGUCAUUGGCAGUGGCACCAGGGAAGGCGAUGACAUCAUUGUUAUCAUCGUCGUCGGAGCGAGUAGAGGAGGGAGGAGGAGAGAGAGGAUGGGGAGGAAGGAUGAGAGGGAGUGAAGGGAGCGGUGAGGGAGACGACUUCUAACCAAACUUUUUUUAUCCCUAAAUUACUCUGUAAAAUAUAUAUUAUAAAGUAAUUUUUUUACUUUAUUAAACCUUCCAAAAUUACUCUGUAAAAUAUAUAUUAUAAUAUCUUAAGAAGCAUCUAUAUUAUAAAGAUAUUAUAUAGAUGCGUAAUAGGAUUACAUUUCAAGUGAACAGGCAAGCUGUAACACACAUUUGAAUAUAUUGACUACAAUUUUUGCACCAAUUACAAACUAUGAGGAACAGAUUAUUAUUUGUAAUGAAUUAACAUAUCUGGUAAGUGGGCCAAGCCGCCAAAGUAUUGUGCCCAGGAUUUUGUCAAUCGAUAACUGUUUAAUAAAUGUUGUCUAAAAGAAAGGAUUUGUCUUUUCACCCACCUAUGACAAGAAACGAUGGACAAACGGCCAGACAAAUGAAAAAGUUCAAAAGGGAGAAGGGAGGAGGGAGAAAAGUUUUGUUCAACCCUCAAACAACAUCUUUUCCUGAACAACGACCUCCAUAUAUACCCACCUAGAAAAGAAUGAGAUCAGAUCGAAAAGCAAGUAGCACAAACAAGUAAGCAACUAAGUUUGCUUGGGAAAACAAAUGCUUCCGAGCAAGUUAUACCCUCAAUACGGCAGAUGAUGGAUUUCUCUAAAGUGAUGAUAUUAAGGAACCAAAGAUUCCUCUUUUGUAAUGGAGAAAAGAUGACACUCAAAUGCUCUAAGGGACUAGUUAGCAGGCAACAUCUCCAACUACAUAGGAACCCAAAACUUUUCUUUGGUGUAUAGCAGUUAAAUCCAGUUCCAGGAACUUGAGUCGUAAAUCAACGUGCAGAAGUUGCAUCUCAACCUACACCCAUUGAGAAUACAAGAGGAAAAGUAGUAGUUAUGAUUUCGUUUCACUGAUUUAAAACAUUUCAGAAAUGUUCUGCAUUUUCUUUUCAAUUGAUUAGAUUGCUGACAAGCAACUCGUAACAGUAGGCAUAUUGACAAGGGAUGAAAUCAUACAAGCUUCUCUAGCAGGAGGAAUUCUAUACUGUCACACUUGCACUACGUCAUCAAUAACAAGCCAAUUACAUUUCUUUUUUCAAACAAAAGUACAAUAAAAAUAUUUUUUUAUAAUCAUGAUGGGGCAUAUACUCCUAAAAGGAGACAUUUGAUUAGUUUGUUACGCCACGUCACCAAUAUAUCCGUUGCAUUCUAGAAUUUUUCCUCUAGUAGGUAUCUUAAAUCAACAUGAGGGGGGAACUUUUUCUUAUCGGCAUACCCAGUUGGAUGAGAUUUAUUCCUCGCUAACAAGAAUUCACAAUUGCCUUGUGUUCUUCCAGCCCAAGUUGCGAGCUAACAAUAUUACCAAUUGCAAUAGAAAAUGUGAAGCAUUCCCAAAGUGAUCCAAAUUAGUGAAACAAAUUGGUGAAACAAGCACCCCGUAGGGAAUAAAUGUCACCCCUCUGCCCAAUGCUCAAAGAAAAAAGAGUAAUAACUAAGGAAUAGACUCACUACCCAAUAAAUAAAGGGAGAAAAUUGACAAAUCCAACAUCAACUGCACACAACCAAACCAAAAGGCAAAAAAGAAAGUUACAGUUACAGCGAGAAAGAGAAGACGCAGCUGCAAACGUGCCUAUCCAACUAGAAGCAUCUCUAGCGACACAGCAUUUUAUAACUCCAUCAAGCUAAUCAAACUCUCAAUCUAGUGACAAUUCGCACCAGAAAUUAACAUGUAAAAACAACUCUAUUGUGACAAUCAAUCAAACAUGUGCGGUAAGAAGAUACCAUAAUACAGACUAUGCCAUUCUUAAAUCAGUUAGAGAUAGCAAGCAGACAGCAAUCAUGAAGUUCUAUUGACUCGGGACCGUAGAGAGAGCGAUCUAGGCAUGAGAAUAUUUAAACUACCGCGACAAAAUAACAAAGGAGCAAAACUGAAAGGCAUUAGAUAAUGAUUGUUCUUAAGCAGUAAGUUGCAAUAAUUAAAUCAACUAUCUUAGAGUAUAAAUAGAAAUAAAUUUAGCAUGAUAUAUCAAUCAUUUGCUACUUAAACACUCAGACUAUCAAUUAUGAUAUGCAUGAUAUUGAAAAUUUAUUUUGAUUAUCGUUCAUCGGUUCAUGUGGUACUUCGUUUAUUUUUCUCUCAGUAUUUUUCUUAAAUAAACUAGAAAUUUCAAUGAAUAUAACAUUGCAAUGCCAAAAAAAUAUUUUUCUUAAAUAAACAGCAUGUGGACUGCUCAAUUCAUAAUUGUCCACAUCCUACAUUUUCAUUAUGCGAUGGAUCGACCGCUUGUACGCUAAAUUCAGCUCUUUCAGAACAAAAGUUCUUACAUUCUACUAGAAGAUGCUCAACAGGAACUUCUAUGGAAAAAAAAAAAGAAAAAAAAAAAACAUAAUAUUAAGGGAAUGAAUUCAAAAGAUCCAAAGUUAAGGGCUCUUUUCGAAAUUAUCUUGAAAGCCAGCAGCUUGGAAACAGAUUUUCCUUCUAUAAUUUCGAUGUGAUAGUCAACACUUCAAUGCCCAACUUAGCCAAACUUAUUAAUUUAACUUCUAUUACAUGUCUCUAAUGUAAUCAUAGUCACAUAUUUACAAGUUUAAUAAAGAAAAUAAAGCACUAAAAUAAACAAGCAAAACUAGAAUUUCCAGCAAAACCAGUGUUCCAAUAGUGUUCACGUAUUCACAAAUUCAAUGAAUCACUAAACUGUAGCAUUUGAAUAGUUUAAAGAUCCUAUGGAUUUGAUUAUGAUGUACACAAAAAAAAUAGCCACUGACUCCAAUAUUCUAAAUUCAGUCUGCAAGAAAAAUAUUUAUAAUUUGAUUAUCAAAGGUCUUCAAAAGAUGAAGACUUGCACCAUGCCACCAUUAAUGCUUAGUAGUGUAGGGCCCACAUUUCGCGGCGAGAGGUAGUAUUUCAGCCAAUUAAUUGGGAUUGAAAAAAAAUUAUAACAAAAAAGAAAUACAAAAAGAAAAAAAAAAAAUAAAGUACCCUUUUAUGUACAUUAUAAAAAGGGAUAAUAUCUGAUACGCCCUUCAAAAUAUCAAAAAUAUCUUAAAUAUCCCUGGAGGACCAAAAUAUUCUUGUUGAUUUUAAAAAAUUCCUUCAAAUAUCGCCAUUUCCCAUAGGGUUUUCUAAUGGGAUUUGGUUUUAAAAGGAUAUUUUUGUAAUUUAAGGGUAAAUUUGAACAAUUUGAAUAGUAAUGGGCAAAUACUAAUAAAAAUUAACCAUAACUUUCAGUAUUUCUAGAGUUAAAUACUUAAAGUAUUCUAAUAACUACUAGUUAACUUCUUGGAGAUUAUCUAACUACUGAUUUACCUGUCGAACAACUUCUUCGAUGUGAUGCCAUAGUUGAAUAAUAAUAAUUUUGAGAUGUUAUAACAGAUGAAAUGCUAGCAAUCAGUUUUUGAUAGCUAAACCAGCCGUCACAUCAUAAUUUCAUUAAAAAAAAUAAUUUAAAUUUGCGAAAUAAUCUAAGGCAAAAUAUUUAAAGUUCAAUAUCUCUACUGAAAUAAAGUAAAGUUCACCGACCUAAAUGAAAUUUCACUAAAAGUUUGGCGACCAACAGUGAAAUUUACUUAAAUAAAUAUUAACAAUGCUACGUACACGUAAAACAAAAAAAAUUCCACGACAAUUAUAUAUAUGAAAAUCGAGAAAGCAAUCAUCAAAUGAUCGAAGUCACAAUUACUGACCUCUAAACUUGAUAACUGUGUACAACUCGCUCAUGGUCCAUCAAGGGACGAGGAACUUGAGAACUCAAAUAUUUUCCAAACUACUUCCAAACUUGCACCGCAUAAAUCCAUAAACAAUACUCUCCUAAGUCCUAACAAUGGCAAAUCGCACUUUUCGCGAGGAGAAGGCAUUCUGUUAGACGCCAACUUCAAACAACUAGAUUUUGCCCCAAAAGCCUAGAUGUUCAUGAGGGUGAGGAAAAGGUCUAUAAAAUUGUAAGGCGCAUGCUAAGAUAGUAGUUCUACUACACAGACAUACAAAGCGUUAUCGAACAAUUUAGUUAAAGAAGUGCUGCCCAGGGCAACAUAUUAUAAUUUUUAAGAAACUGUAAAAUACGCAGAUCCCGUAUGCGAGUUAGAGCUAGCAAUAACACGGGAAACUAAACUCUCUCAUGAGUCAUGAUAACACAAAAUUUAAAGGAGGAUAAGGUUGAUCGGGUUUCACCAAGGGACAUUUCGCUAGUCCUCGUUCUUCUUCUUCUUCUUCUUGUCCUUCUUGCUCAGCAGCUCAUCGGGGACCACUUUCAGGAGCUUCCUGUCCUUGGACUUGGCAAUCUUCUUGAGGGUCUUGGGGUUGGUGAUUUUCUGCAACUUGGUGCCGGAUCUGAGGAUGUUCUCCUGCUUCCUCUUCUCCCUCUCCUCCCUCGCCUUCCUCUUACUCUCCUUGCUCUGGCGGAUUUUCUCCUUGAGCUCGGCCAUGCGCUCCCGAUACGCCCGCUUCGUCUCCUUCUCGAUGGUGCGCAGCUCCAGCGACUUGCCGCGGCGGGAGGCGGCGACGGCGGAAGCGCGGUGGGCGCGCGCCUGCUUCCACUUGCGGCCGGAGACCCUGCCGGCGAUGACGCCGUCGUACGUGGGGCGGCCGAAGGAGGCAGGCUUGUCCGGGUCCUCCAGAGAGGGCAGAGCGGCCCGCUUCCACGGCGGCGGCCCGCCAGCGUCGAGGUCCAUGGACGAGGAGGCUCGGCCGUCGUCGUCGCGGUCCUGGCCGACCUCGGAUUCCACCCGCUUCCGCUUGUUCUUCGCACCGCCGACGCCUUCGUCCAAGAAGCGGAAGUCCAGGCCGGACGCCAUGCUGAUUAGUUAUUAGCGUUUCUUUCUUUUUUUCCUUUUGGAGGGCGCCGCGCGGCGGAGAUGAUCGCGCGGGGGUCCAAAAAGAAAGGAAGCAGUAGCCGCGAGCGACGGUCUUGUUAUUAGGGUUUUGAGUCACACGAUUGCUUUUGUAACAGAGGGUGGUGUGUUUACAAGUUUAGGGGGAAAAAAAUUAUAAGAGAGUAUUUGGCCAAGCUUUUUAAAAGUAAUUCUGUGCCUAAAAAUAAUUUUCGGCUCAGUAGAAUAUUUGAUAAUGGAGAUUUUAAAAUCUAAUUCUGCUUCUGAGAAUCAGAAAACUGAUUUUUCAUCCUCUAUAAGCAGAGGCAGAAAAAAACUGCUUCUCAAAACUAAUUCCCGCAAAAAUAGUUUUCUCACUUAAAAAAUUUUAUGAAAAUACCGAAAUUACCCCUAAACAAACAAUAUAAUUAUACUCUAACCUUUUAUCACUUAAUACUUUCAACUACCCUCCUCUCUCUCCCAUUUUACCACAGCCAACCUCUCUCUCCAAAAAAAUUCCCCUUUCCUUUCUUCUCUCCUCCAUCUCUUUCCUUUCUUCCUCUCCGGUGACACCUCUCUCCGGUGAAUCUUUUCUUUCCGGCGAACCUCCUCUCCGGCGAACCUCCAAAGAAGGUACUCUGUCACGCCCUGGACUUUAGUGGAAGCUCAUCAGUCACGUGUACAGACCCGCCGUAUACACCUCAACCCUCAAGUGUACACCAGGCGUCUACAAAUCAAUAUAGCAGAAAGGAUAAUAUCUUGACCAGGUAAUCAGAGCGAAACUAAAAGUUCAUAAACUUAUACAAAAUAAAACUUUAUUACAACUUAAAAAAAGUACAAAGUACAUUCUACAUAGUUCUAGUAUACAACACUGAAAUAAACUAGAAAAGCUGAUAUGGUUUCAUCUAUUUAACAUCGAGGAGGCUCUAACUAUCCGUUGACCCCUUGCUAGGAACUCUAGCCUUCCCCGCUAUGGAAGGCUCUGUAUAAAAACAAUCAACAAAAGGGCGUGAGAACUAUUAAACAAUAGUUCCCAGUAGGUAAGCCACCGAGAGUGGCGAAGUACACCACUAGGUUAACUGAGGCAUAAAUAACUGUAACAAGUAUGAAAAGUAAAUGCAACAAGCAAAGUAAUUCAAUCAUAACAUGCCUCAAUAAGAUCUAUUUUCUAACAUGUCUUAUAUGCUACUCGUCAUAAAUACAAGUUCAGUAAGUUAGGCUAAUUAUCAAUUUAAUCACCUAUAUGUCAUGCUGAAUAUCAACAUUAUCAUUGAACUGACUAAUGGCAUCAUAUAGUUAUUUCCUACACUAGCAAGAGUGUAAACAUUUCGGAACUGUUACUAAACUAUUGACUGAUAGGGAUGUCAACCUUCUAGUAUACUCAUUACUAGGUAUAUUCAACUAAUGACAUAAAGUAUCUUUAUUACUAUGUCCAUCUAAGGUUAAAGUCUUUAACAUUAAACCAAUUAAUAAGAGACUUACAUAUGGUAAAGUCCCAGCCCGUGCCGUGCCCAAUGGUCCCGUGGAAGUCAAUACUACCCACGGCAAUCCACCUCGGCGUUCAGUCUCGUACAAAAGCGAGUAAUCUGUCGCUAGGCUAACUCCAGAGUGCCGGCUUGUGGGGCGCGACUCUCACAAGCAUGUGCGAAUGAGCACAUUGGCAAGCAAGCAUAAUCCAUAACAUAGGUAUCACAAGUUCAUCAUGUCUCUAAUAUGGAAUCUCAACUCGAUACAAGGUCGACACUGUAAUAGUAAGUCAUAAUCCACUAUCAAUUACUUGGUGACAUAAUUUUACCAAUAGAUAGUAUGACUUAAACAAGUACAUGCUUUACAUCAUAUUGAUGAUUCUAACGGGCUAUACCUACAUACUCACAUAUAGCUCUCUCACUACUUCCUAUACAUAAGGAAAGUGGUUUACUAAGAUCAUACUUAAUAACUCAUUCUAGUGUUCAUAUAACUCAUGGCACAUAUUCUAUAGUUCUACAUAAACCUCCACUACCUGGAGUAAAGGAGUAUUAGGCAAGUACUUCUACUUGACUACACAGGUAUAUCCUCAUAUCCAAUUCUAGUUAUUUAACUAGAUCAUAUUCAUAGUAUAACAUUCAGGUUAUGUUACAAUGCCCAGUUCUAGUUACUUGACUAGAUCAUAUAUAUAUAUAAGAACAUGAAAUUCAUGCUAUUUGUAUUCUGUGAAAGCAAUAACCAACUUGUCAAUACAAGUAUGCGAAGCAUCCUCAACUGUACUCUUAACAUGAUUUUCGUAUAAUUAUAUAAGCAUGUAACUUCACUAUACAUGAUAUGCUAAGAGUUCUAUUAACAUGUCUACAACAUGGAAUUGCAUGAAUUUAACGCAAAGAUACAUCAUCACAAUACAUCAUUCACUUAGUUGUCCAACUGAACUAAAUAUCAUGUUCUUGGCUUAACAGCUAUUUCAUAUUGAAUGAUGUUGUACUUAACUUGUCCACACAGGUGUACUAAUAACAUGAAUACAUGCUAACCAAGCAAGCAGUCUAUGUAGACCAGGCAAUUUCACAACCCUUCCUCUACUGCAUAGAGGUUCCAUUUUAUGCGAUAUAAUAUGCAUAUUGAUGCAUGUCCCAAUUCAUUCAAAUAUCCAUAUAUUCAUGUGAAUAUGCCACAAUUCCAAUUUCAUAAUGUCAAAGAAGACAUAGAGGGAAUUCACCCAUUUCGGUAAGGUCAAACCACCAAGUAGUCGACGCCUCGUUGAUUCCGCCAUUGAAGGUAAUCCGAAGCCUCCGAGGACCAUAACAAUGAUUCUAAAAUCAGCUAGGAGUUUAACCAAGCUUCCACAUAAUAAACCCCACAUAAUCACAUAGUCUAGGUUAGAAUCUCACCUAGAAUAAAAUCCAGCUUUAAUUCUACUUCAAUUCAGGUUGGAGCACCUCAAAUUUACCCCUUUAAAGCUCACAAAUUUGAGCUAACGGGGUUCAACAACUUACUGCGAAUCUGCUUUGAACAUACCCCAAGAAUUCCAUCAAUACUCUACCAAUACAUCUCAAUUUAGUAAGAAGUUAAAUUGCUCACCUUGCACGGCUCUAACUCGGGUUAAAGCACAUCAAAAUCAGUCCAUAAGAGACACUAAACUCAUCUCAAAGGAGUCCAAUUCCCUGCUGUGGACUGCAUUAAAACUGUUUCAAAGCUACAACCAAUACAACUAUUAUAGCAUCAGGAUAAGGAAAGGUAGUUAGCUAAUCACCUUGUACAGCUUCAACUCAGGUUCGACUGAGUUGGGAGUGAAGAAUCACAACAAAAACACCCUUUCUUCAGCUGCUACAAGCAUCCCCAACUCUGCUGGCAGCAAAAACAAAGAACAAGCUCAACUUCCCUACUACAACUAUCAAUACCUCAAACUAGAGAGGAAAGUUAGAUUACUAACCUCACUAAGCUUUAACUCAGUUCCCAACUAAGUUAGAACAGAGAAACACCUCUUCUAUAGCUGUUUAGUUCAUCCCAAAACCAGCUGAUAACAAAAAACCAACAACCAACUCAACUUCACUAGUAUAGCACUAAUCUAGAGAGAAGUUGAAUUAUUUACCUUACCCAGUCUCAACUCAGCUUCUCAACUCAGCUUCUUGCUGAGUUAGGGCCACGAAAUACCUCCCAAAAUCUCCUUCUCCAACAACAAAACACAGCUCCAAGCCUUCCAACCAGCUAACAAUCAAAGAGGAGGAAGAACUAAACUCAAAUCCACUAGUUUUCCACUUCAAAAUGGAAAACCUAGAGAGAGAAAGGGAAAGAGAGAAGCUCCUACCUUAUCCUCAGCUCCAGAGGGAUAAGGAUAAGCUGAGGGGUCGACCAGAGCUGAUAAGAACAUGUUUUGGAAGUGAAAAGAGCAAAACAACCUUGCUGCCACGCAGCUACAAUGCUGGUACCGGUACCCCAUCAUUUUGUCACCAGUACACAGUGCCAAAAUACAGAUUUUUGCAUUUUGUAAUGCACUUUUGCUCUUCCGGCCACUUGUUCGCUCCAGUAACUUGUCGAAAAUCUCUCGACAACUAUUCAAAAAAUGUAGACUAGCUCCAAUUACCAUUCUAACACUCGAACUUCGCAACAUGCCAAAGUUCAGUGUACUACAUACUCUCUUCUCUCUUUUUUUUUUUUCUUUUUUUUUUUUUUACAGCUUUCUCUCUCUCCCUCUCUGUCUUUGUCGGAUCUGGGGUCGAAUCCCCUUAUGGAAGCCAUGAGCAUUGGCCACGCCGAAUUCGUUGCCGGCCCGGCGUGAGUCCAGCCGCGCCGGGGCUGGAUUCGGCAAAGACGGAUCCCGCAGGAUCCAAGCCGACGGGAUCCGUUCUUGCCGAAUUCGGGAUCCGCAUCUGGUGAAAAUUGAAUUUCUCACUUAUCCAUCAACUCAACUCCUAUUUAACUAUGCUUUUUUGACAUUAAAGUUGAAGCCAUUGAUGAGAUUUUUAUGGCACUUCUCUUUGCAUUUCUCACUUAUCCAUCAACUCAACGGAAGCGGUUUUUUCUUCAUGUAUUUCUGAGGCAAUUGUUCUACUGAUUUCAAAACUCUGGUAACCUUCUUAUGUUUACUUUGAUGUGCUAGAUUUGUCAUUACAGUAGAAAGCUAUCAAAGUCGCUUUUUUUUUUAUAUGAAGAGAAGAUAUAGAGGCUAAUGACUUCUGUCAUUUAUGAAAGAGAUUGUCAUUAACCUUUUCUUUUCCCCACGAAAAACUAUACUGGAGCAUGAUACUUGUGGUCUGUUGUAGCCAAACUGGUUGAUUAAUCACUUCAAGUUGCUUAUUAUUCCAAGCCUUUCAUAUUUCAAGUAGUGACACUUGAAUUUUCACCGGAUGCACAUAAACUGAAUUUUCAAUUACUUUCAUAAAAAUUAAGUUGCAAGAAGACCAAGCAUUGUUGCAACCUUUUUUGAUGUCUAAACUUAGCAUGUGUGUUUGAUUGUUUGAUUAGUUUGUAGUGUGUAAUGUUUUAAAAUUUUAUUUAAUUUGUACUAUUGUGUACUUUGUAUCCGAUAUUUCGAUUAUUUGUUGUGCAUUUGUGUUGCUUGUAUUUUUUAAUACAUAAUUUAUUUACUAGAAAGUUGAAAGAUGAAUCAAUCACAAGGAGAACCAUCUACCCAGAAAGAAAGAAAAAUUAAACCUACAUGGGAUGCAUCAUUGCUCAAAAUUUUUUGCAAAAUAUGUGUUGUAGAGGUCAAUGCCGAGAACCGACCUAAUACUCAUUUUAAUAGAAUUAGAUGGCAAAAUGUGGUUAAUAAGUUUAGAGAGAAAACAAAUAGAGCGUACGACAAAAUACAAUUGAAAAAUAAAUAGGAUUCUCUUAGAAGGGAUUAGGUUUUAUAGAUGCAAUUAGUUGGUAAUUAAAGAGACAGAAUUAGGAUGGAAUCAUGUAAGGGGUAUCAUUGAUGCAAGCCCUGAAUGGUAGGAGGAGAAAUUAAAGGUCAGUAUAUAAUUUAAUUUUUCACUUAUUCAUACUGUAUGUUUUCUUUACAAUAUAAUGUAACCAUAUGAUAUAUAUAGGUACUUCCUGAAGCUGCGAAGUUCCGUGACACGGGGUUGGAGAAUGCUACACUACUACAAGUUAUGUUUUCAAAAACCGUCGCUUUAGGUGACACGGCAUGGACACCGGCUUUAGGGACAAUGCCUCCCGAUCCAUAUCGUUCACAUGAUUUAGAGGAAGGUAGUGGAGACUCGGAUGAAGAUGUUAAUGUGGCAGGCAUAAAUCUUGAAUCCGGUGAUUCUGAGGUUACUUGUAACAUACCACAUCCCUCGUAAAUCGUGUCGAGUUCCGUCAACACGAGCGGAACGCGAAGUUGAACGGGUUAAAGUGGACCCAAAGUGCGUUGGAGUUCUUAAACGGAGUAAAAAGGGACCCGGAGAGCAAAUUUGGAAAUUUGGCUAAGUCCCAGAUUUUGAGCUCUCGGGGACCGGUCCCUGAAGGAGAGACCGGUCCCCGUGCGCGUAGCCUACCAGGAAAUCCUGAGGCAUCUGGUCCCUGGUGGUGAGACCGGUCCUCGGGAGACCGGUCCCUGACGGGCAGACCGGUCCCUCGCUGCGCAACAGCGGAAAAACUCGAAAAUUGGGCUAAGUCCUGGAAAACCCCCGUUCGGGAACCGGUCCCUGGUCGGGGAGACCGGUCCCAGAAGGCGAAAAAUGCCCAGUCUGGGCAGUUCAAGAGGAAACAUGUGGAGGGGCUUAAGUGCAAUUGUUACAACACUAUAUAUGGCCCAACCCCUCUCUCCCACAGCCAUUCUCCUCCUCCUCUCUUAUUUCCUCACUUUCUCUCUCUAGAAUCCCUCUAGGGCUUGGAGAAGAAGAAGAAGAAGAACUUGGGGAAGAAAGUGGAUUUGAUGCUUUGGAGGUUCUAGGAGCUCUCCAACAANGCCUGGAUGGACCUAGUGGGUAAGUCGGCGAGGUCGGAUGCCGAGCCCACUGGGAACUUCGUUGUAGUUCUCACACCACUAACCCUACAGGUCCUAGCACGAGCGGGGCGGCGGAGGACCGAGGCAAGGGUUUGGCGCCAUAGGUAGCGGCCACCGGGACCUUAUACAUUUUGUAGUCAUUCCCUUUUGUUACAUGUAUCAACUUUAUUUUGUUGAAUUAGAGAUGUAAAGUUGCAAACAAUCAUGUAUUUGGUGGAUGACUAAAUGUAAAAGAUAAGAUGAUUGAAUGGAAUGUAAUAGAUUUGUUUACUUGAAUUUGGUUUAAAUGAAAUCAAAUAUCAUGUGUGAUAUAUAUUUAGCUUAGAGCUUUCGCUUCCGUUGUUGCUUGCCCUCGUGCGAGCCCUCUAUUAUAUAUGCAAUUCUCUUAUUGAUUGCCUAUUUAUACAUGUUGUUAGAGCCUUGGGCGGACAGGGGAGGCUCUGUCCGUUCGGCGUCUGAUGACGUGACCUGAGCCCGACCAAAUUGGCGGGGAUUGGGGCGUGACAUUACUCCUUUAAGUGAUAAAGGAAAGAACAGAGCACGAGAUAGUCAAGGAAAAAAAAAUGCAAGAAAGAUAAAAUUGGGACGGCUACUUAUAUGCAACGACAAUUAUCAUGUAUAUGCGAUGCAAUUAAGAGCUUUAAUUCUCAAAGUAGCCGUUCAGUUACAUCUAGGAGCUCGACCUAUAGUUUUAAAGAUUGUAUAGAUUUGCUAAUGACGAUGAGUGAAAUUACAAGAAUGAGUGCACUUUAUAUGUUUGCCAUUCGCUUAUUUAAAAAAUCAAUUAAUCGAGAGUUAUUCAUAGACUUGAAGGAACCGGAAGUGUGACUUGUGUGGCUAAAGGAUGAAUUUGAGGAAUAUAUCGCGGCAAAAAAGUCGACAACUUAGGAUAUUUUCCAUUAGUAUUAUGUUCUUGUACUAGUAAUACUGAUUUAACUUUAAAUUUAAAUGUGUGUUGUUGUGUGUUUGUUGUGCUCUAAUGCUAUGUUGUCUUUCUUGGUACUUUUAUGUUAUGUUGUUUAUAUAAUGCUAUGUUGCUUUAAGUAUUAUGUUCCUUAAGGAUGAAUGUACUAGUAACAUUAAUGUGUGUAUUAUUUUCCUUCAGCAAAAUCAUUUUUAUAUCAGACUCACCAAACGCUCUACAGCUUUUAACAGAAAUCACUUUUCCAAACCAAAAUCACUUUUUCAAAAUUACUUUUUCAGAAGCUAGGCCAAACAGGCCCUAAGAACUGUUUACAAGUUUAGGGGCAAAGGUAUAAGUAACAAUUGAUCAAGGUUUAGUUUGGUAUUGAGACCCUAGUUAGUUAAUUUACGAAUUAUUCACGAAUUAUUUGCGAAUUAUUGAAAAUCCGAAUUAAAUGAUCCGUUUAUGAAUUUUUUCCAAAGAAAUAAAAUUAUUCGUGAAUUUUUGGGCCAGCCGAAUUAUUUGCGAAUUAUUCCCGAAUUAUUGAAAAUAUGAAUAAAAAACUUAUAAUUUUUAUUUUUAAAUAUAGAUUAUCUUAUAUUUUAUAUAUUAUACCGAAUUCGUUUUUUGAGCCGAAUUUUUCAACGAAUUUAAAAAUUAGAAAACAAAUUUUAUGCGUAUUAUAUCCGUACCAAUUUUUUGCCAAAUCCGAAUUAACUAACUAUGAUUGAGACCCAUUUUGUGCUAUUAGAUAAAAUAAAAUUAAAAUAAAAGUAUAUAUGAAUAUAUUUCAGCGUUCUCCAGUGGUGUCGCAAAAAAUAUAUCGCAACCGACUCAUCGUGAUAUGAAAACGUAAUAUUACGUAAAGAAACAAAGUAACAAAAAGAGUAUUUUACUUUCUCACCAUAAGGCAAUCUCCCCGCAAUCCGGAAGCUCAAUUUUGCAUUUGGAUGAAAAUUGGGUUGUUUUCGAAAAUAAGAAAAAUAACAUUUGGAUAGGUAAGGUUGAAUAAAAAGAAUAGUUUGUAGUUAUAAAUAGAAAAUAAUGAUAUUACUCCUCUAAUUACAUUUUAUUUUAAUUUUUAAAUAUUACAUUUAUAUUCUUAAAUUUAAAAUUUUAACUUUUAAAUUUAAAUUUUAACUUUUAAAUUUCAAAAUUUGAAAUUAAAAUUUAAAAUUUAAAAUUUAAAAUCUCAAAUUUUAAAUUUCAAAAUUUUAAAUUUUAAAUUUCAAAUUUUAAAUUUAAGAUAAAAUUUAAAUUUCAAAAUUUUAAAAUAUCAAAUUUAAAAUUAUAAAUUAUAAUUUUUAAUUUAGAAUUUAAAACUAUAAACUUUAAUUUAAAGAUUACAAAUUAUAAAUUUUAAAAAUUUAAAAUUUAAAAUUUAAAAUUUAAAAUUUAAAAAAUACAAAUAGGGGUGGGAACAAAUGUCCCCAACAGCUGUUUCCGCCCUUAGCGAGUUAUCCUGAUAAAUUAUUUAAUAUUAAUUAUAUUAAUUAAUAAUUUAAAUAUAUUAAAUAGAUUAAUUAAUAAUUUAAGUAUAUUAAAUAGAUUAAUUACCAAGUUAAAUAUAUUAAUUCGAUUAAUUAAUAAUUUAAUACUAUAAUUAAAGUUAAUUAGUGUUUAACUAACUUUGUUCUCACUUUUUACAGGGAUAAAGGUGGAAUAGUAAUUCCAGACUUAUACCAGGUUAUACCAGCUUGUUCCAGCUACUCGAGAACUACUGUCCUUGGGUACGAAAUUUCGGUUUGGGUAUAAAGGGUGGGAUAAUCCCUUAACCCACCCUCUAUACUUAAACCAAAUGGGGUGUUAAAGAGAUAGCGACCGAGAGCUAUUCCGCAUCCCGUCGCUUGUGGGGUCCGCUUGUAAUUGUGGGCCUUGCAAGUUGUCAUGUAAUGCGUAGCUACGAGAUCCGCUAUUUAUUAAAUGUCAUUUAAUGUGUACAGUUUUCCCACUCACUAAUGUGAGUUACGCAGUUUGGGGAUUCAUUAUUUUCGCUUUCUUCUAUUGUUCCGCAUUCGCCCUCUCUUGCUCCGUCUCCGCCAUUGCAGUUCGCCGUUACCUCCAUCCUUUCCAUGACAGGUGCGGGGUGGGGGUGUCAUUGUCUUUGUCGUGCCCAGACGAGUCGGUUGGUACGAUCCCCCCUCCUUUUUUCCUUCUAUUGGUUUCCUGUCUUUGUUACCUCGGAUGUUGGACCCGCUAUGCUCCUCUUCAAUGUAUCUUUCUGCAACUCAACGAAGCGCCAUGGAGCAUGACCACCAUUGUAGAUAACUCGAAGGGUGUGCCGGUCCCUGACAAGUUGUAUGGUCCCCCUACCUCGACCAUAUACCCACUCUUUGUUGGGAACCGGAUGGAUCGUCCGUCAUGUGCUACCAACAAAGAUGCACGAAAAAUAGAGAAAAUCGACCGAACGGUAAAAAAAAUAAAUGCAGAAAGAAGAAACCAAGAUUUACGUGGUUCGGCAAUCGCCUACGUCCACGGGGAGAGCGAGAGAGAUGUAUUCCACUAUAUGAAGAAAUAGAAGUACAAGCUUACACCUUAUGUCUUCUCCGGAUAAAAAAUCAAGAACCUUAUGGUGAAUCCCACUUANAGAGCGAGAGAGAUGUAUUCCACUAUAUGAAGAAAUAGAAGUACAAGCUUACACCUUAUGUCUUCUUCGGAUAAAAAACCAAAAACCUUAUGGUGAAUCCCACCUAUCUUGUUCCAACGAAAACUCCAAGAAAAUACCGAAAAAGCUUUUCAUAAAACCGAGAAAACCAAAUUAGAGAAGUAUAGAAACUCUAACCAAAUUCCUUUAUGCCGUUGCUUCGAAGAAUCCGAACCGCUCAGGCAAUUGGUUGAGAACCGCCGCUCCGCCGCCAACGUCAAUCCGUCGCAUGCGUGCUACCGCGCAUCUCCUUCUCUUGCUACCGUCGUACGGCUCCCGGAACCAUGAAUUAAUUAGCCAACAAAGCUAAUUAAUUUUUUCCAUGACUUACCGUACAGUUCGAAGAGGGCCCGAAUAGGGCACGCAUAUAUAUAUAUAUAUAUAUAUAUAUAUAUAUAUAUAUAUAUAUAUAUAUAUAUAUAUAUAUAUAUAUAUAUAUGCGUGGUUGGCCGGUCAACAAGUCAAAUUAGGAAUUGAAAAUCCUAAUUCAAUUCCUAGUCCAUCCAGAUUACUACAGAGCCAAAUCAAAGUCUAUUCAAUUUUAAAAAAUUAAUAUAUUCCGUAGACCCGGUGCAUGGACCAAACCAAUAAAAGAAGGCAUAUCUUUAACACUCUUCUCCAUUCCUUCAUUCUUAAACCGCUUACUCUCUUCCUCAGUGUGGCGGUUGUUUUGUCAAAAAUAAUGGGUUGUGUUCGGUUUGUUUCUUUGUUUCUACUGCUUUACUUCUCUCUUUGGUUCCCUCUUGAUAUUUGUCUGGUCUUCGCCCCUCCUAUGGGUGACCGUUUGGCCCGAUUUGCUUUCUACUCGUAGUUGAUAAUUUUGGUUGUGCUAGGUCUACUUUAUUAUUAUGUCAUCUUUUCAUGUGCGCGCGUAGGGACUGUGGUUUGCAAAUAUGCUACUGUCUGCUUAUUGUGAUCUAUUCUUGGUUAAAAUACAGGUUAGUAUUUUGUGGUUUGCUUUUUUGUUGCAAUAAAGUGUGCGUCUUGAACUAACUGGCUAUUUCAUACUGAUACAUGCUUCCUUAUUUAUUGCUUGGUUCUGACAAUAUGGUUAAAGUUGUUUUGCUUCAUUCUGUGACUAGCUGAGGACUAAUUAUGCUGUAUGGUAAAAAAGCAAUGUCUGUUUGGUAUUGUCUUUCUCUCUGGUUGUUUUUGUGUCUACUUCAUGUUGGAUUGGAUUUUGUAUUAGUUACAUGCUUUUGAUGUUUAGCAUUCAGUUUUGAAUGCAGUUAUGGCAGCAAUUUUUGUUAUCUUCUGCUUCUAUGAAUUGCUCCAUGAUGUAUGCCAGCAUUUUUCUCUGGCGAUCCGAGAUACGGUGUCUAGAUCGAAAAUGAAUAAGGGUUGGUUAGUGUUUAUAUUGAUUUGCAUGUUGGUGGAGAAGAUACUAUUAUGGAGUAUAAGGUGUUGGAGUGCGUUGUUUGCGCAUAUUGAUUAGUAUGAGGAAGAUGCUGUGCACCGGUUUGUUGGAAGCUGCAUGAUGACUUGCUUUUUGAAAUUAAAGAUUUCGAUGCUGUUACUUGCUUGCCGUGAUCUAUUUCUAAUUAAAAUACAGGUUAGUAUUUUGUGGUUUGCUUUUUGGUUGUGAUGAAGUAGAGGCUUACAAUGUGUACUUGUGCAUUAAAUGACACUUCAUGAUAAAUUUCUCUUGUGUAAGCGUAGGAAGCAUGUUAGAGAUGAAGGAAUCAAAGAUGAGAAGGAAUCAAAAAUGGAGAAGGAAUCAAAGAUGAGAAAGCUUAUCUUGAUCUCCACAGGUUAGGGCUCAAAAGAGCUCUCUAAGGGGGCUGGGGUGUUAUAUAUAGAGUUGCAACAAUUGCAAAUACAACCCCCAACUAAAACAGCCCUCUCUGCAAAGUGUAUCGGUACACGGGAAAGUGUAUCGGUACAAACCCAGUGUACGCGCGAACUCGAGGCUCGGGUUGGCAGAAAAUUUCAUUUGUACCGGUACAACCAUCAAGGUGUAACCGGUACACUUUCUGUACCGGUACAACCAUCAAGGUGUACCGGUACACAGCCCAGCAAAAUGCAACCUGAGAGCAGCCUAAGUCCAUGUAAUAUACCGAAACUUCGGUAAAUAAAUGUCGAACUUUAGUCAAAUUGACCAAAGUGCGAGGUUGGUACGCUUUGGAAAGGCCGAAGGCGUCAAAAUGGGUAAAAGUGCAUUGUUGGGGGUUUUCGAGAGCUAAAGAAUCAAAAAUCUGCUUACUGCAGUUUUUGAGCUCUCGGGGACCGGUCCCUGGAGGGAUAGACCGGUCCCCGAAUGUGAAAAAUCUCAUAGAUGGAAAAUCGGCUAAGUCUCAGAAAACCAGCUUUCGGGAAUCGGUCCCUACGGGGAGAGACCAGUCGCCGAGAGACCGGUCCCUCAGGAGAGACCGGUUGCAUUGUGCGAGAGCCUUGCUGAGCUGCGGGAGUGCUCUCUGGGACCGGUCCCAUGCUUGAGAGACCGGUCCCCGGGCGCGAAAACUGCCCAGUCAGGGCUAUUCAAUGAGAUCAAAGUUGAGGGGCUUAUUUGCAUUUAUGCACUAAGUGGGCUAUGUAUGAGGGGGUAUGAGAUAUUUCUCUCAUUUCUCUCUCUCACACUCUCUCAUAUCUCUCUUUCUCUCUCUAGAAGGCAAGGAGAAGAAGAAAGAAAGGAGAAAAAGGAGAAAGUAGAAGAAAUAAAGGAAAAGAAAGAGAAGGAAGGGUGAAGAAGAAGGCAAGGGAGUGGAGCUACUUCCUCUUCUUCCUCCUUGGUGCAAGAAAGUGAAGCUUUUAGAGGUAACCUUCAACCUCUUUCAUGGUAGAACCUAAGUAGGGUUUUGAUAGAGCUAAGAAUGGUUUUGAUGGAAUCUCUUGAGUAGAUUAAGCUUUCUUUUGUUUAUCUUUAAGAUCAAAACCUAGGGUUUUGGUAUAUGUUGGAGCUAGGGCACCCCAAAUUGGAGCUUUUGCUUGUGAGGGUUCCAAAGUUAAAUCGACCCUCUAGAAACCUAAUUGGGGGUAUUUCCGACGCGUUGGUGCGCUCGGUUUAACGUUACAAAAAGCCUAUGUAGAGAUAUAAGCAAAAAGGGCCUAAUUUGGCUUCGUUUUGCCGCAGAUAGCGAUCUAGGCGACUAAAAAUUCUAAGAAAAUCACCGUAGCACCCUAGCAAACCUAUGUGGUGGGUGGUGCUUUCCAAACUUAUUAAAAUUCCUUUUAUGUCUAAUGUAUCACUUUCUUGAGCAUAUGAGCAAAUGUUUGUGCAUGCAUUGUAGGGUAAUUGAGAUAAUGUUAUUGGAUUGUUUGCAUGUUGUGAGUACAAAUGCAUUAUGAGACGGUUGAGAACCAAUAAGAAUGUAAUAACCCUAUAUGUUCAUGUAAAGAGACAAGAAUUGAGAAUAAUUAAAGAACAAGUGACAUGUGACAUGAGGACAAUGUAAUGUUAAGAACAAAAGCUAGAGUUAGCAUCAAAAGUGUGGUAUUAAAGAAUGAAAGCUAGAGUUAGCAACAAAUGUGGCAUAAAGAACACUAGAGUUAGUGUAAUGACAUGGUUGAAAACAAAAAAUGCAAAGAACUUGAGAUUGAGACACAAUGACAGAUAACCUUAGAGCUAAGGGUCAUUUGUGCAUGAUUUCCUUAGAGUUAAGGAACGGAUUGAAUUGAAUAUCCUUUGAGUUAAGGAUUUGAUCAUACUCGCUAUAAGUCCUUACUCGAGGGUGGUCGCUCCCCCUCGGGCGAUGCGCUCCGGAGUUUGUCAUCACUGGGUUGGUGCUGUUCCCUAGAGGACGGUUCCAACGGGAGGAAGCUGAGGGCCCGUUUAAAUGGGAUUUUGAGUGGGCGAGUUAUUAACGUGAAUGUAGUGUACCGAAUUUUUAAUAUAGAAAUAAGUGUAAAUAAAAAAUAGUGUUAUGAGAUGGGCUAAGGUGUAAUUGUGCAAAUGAGAGGGGCUAAGGUGUAAUGGUGCAAGUAAUUGAGUUUACUUGUUGGGCAAGUUUCCUAUGUACCUAUGUAAUUGAGUUAACUUGUGGGGCAAGUUUCCUAUGUAAUUGAGUGAAUUCUUGACCUUUUACCCCAAACCGUAGGAGAAAGAGAGGGUGGGUUUUCUCUCUUUUUCUCUUUGACUUUAUGACCUCUCUUUCUCUUUGCUUCUCUUUACCAAAGAGAGGAUUAGAGAAGAAAGAAAAAUUAGAAUUUGCUUGGUGGUGAAGCAAGCUUGGUGGAGAAGAAGGCUUGGAAUUGAGUUACUUUCUUCAUCUUCUUCAUCACUUGGAUUAGAGAAGAAAGCUUGUUUAAGGUAAGCUUCAUGGGCUCUAAUGGCAUAUAGCUAGAGAUGGGUUUAAAUCNCGGCCAGUGAAUUGUAAUACGACUCACUAUAGGGCGAAUUCGAGCUCGGUACCCGGGGAUCCUCUAGAGUCGACCUGCAGGCAUGCAAGCUUGGUGGAGAAGAAGGCUUGGAAUUGAGUUACUUUCUUCAUCUUCUUCAUCACUUGGAUUAGAGAAGAAAGCUUGUUUAAGGUAAGCUUCAUGGGCUCUAAUGGCAUAUAGCUAGAGAUGGGUUUAAAUCUCUUAGAAUCUAGCUAGAUGGAAAUCCUAGUUGAUGUUAGGUUGCUAUUUGCUUGAAUCAUGAAUUUAUAUAGUGUAUUAUUGCAAUAGUGACCUCUAGGAUUUUGGAAGAGAGCUCUUGAUCAUGAGAGGUUUUAAUCUCAAUUGAUCAUAUGUUUCCGCAAUUGAAGGUGAAACCGACGCGGAGGAUCAUUCGGAUUGAGAUUCCGUUGAGCCGGUGGUGGUCAAAGUGAAGAAAAUUCUAUUUUUGCUUCAUUUGUCGCAGUUGGAAGAAAACAACGGCCGUAAAUCGCGCUGCUAGGCUACUCGCUUCGUGUCGACAUCACGAGGUGGGGGGUGCUAUCCGAAAUAGCCGGGUUUCAUUCUAUGUCUGAGUUCUACUAUUAUUGAUCAUAUAUCAUCAUGCAUAGAAUAGUGCGAAUCCUAUGAGUUGUGGUAAUUUCAUGCUUAGUGUAAGGGAUAAUGAUCCAUGAUUGCAUGAUACUUGUAGGAAUAUCUAUUUGCAUGAUGUUGAGAUAGAUGUGGACAUGUAUGUUGUAUGAGAACUUUUAUAUGAUGCCAAUAUAAAUAUUGUACAUGUUGUAUGAAUUGCUAGUGGACAUAUGCAUGUGAAUAUGAUGUAAGAAUAGACUAGAUUCAUGAGGAACUAGUAUGUAAACCAAUGACAUUGUGAGAAUUGGAAACUAAUGCAUAUGUGGCCGACCUGAGCAAAGCAUGCCUUGUGAGGAUAGGGAUAUGGUACCCCUGUGGCCCUCGAAUGAGAGGACUUGAUCAUAUUCGCAUUGUUUGUUAUAGCUUGUGGAUGGUCGCUCCUCCCAAGCAGUGAGCUCCGGAGUUGAAUCACAUUGAGAUUGGAACGGGGGAGAGAGUCACUACGGUGCGCCCUCGGCAGACGGUCACGGUCGCGUGACAGUAUGUGUGGCGAGUGAUUCGACCUUCGGGCGAAUCGUUUGGAUUUGACACAGGCAUGAUCAUGGCAUUUCGUAUAUAGUUUGCAUACAUGACAGAACUUAAACAUGUACUUGUUGACAUGAUUUGUAAAGGCAUAGCUACACAUUUGAAGCAUGAUAUAGAUGUAUAUGAGCAGGUUAGGCUUAUUGUUUAUCUAUUAUCUCCUUGACAUAUUAUCAUUCUAUUGUUUCUAUGCCUUUCUUGGACCUAGUGGGAAAAUCGGCGGGGUCGGCGGCCGAACCCACUGGGAACUAUGGAUAAUAGUUCUCUCACCCUGUUUUGCAGAGCCUAGUUCGAGCGCGUGUGUCGAGGAUCGCGGCAAGGGCGUCGCGCAGUAGAUAGCGUGGACCACCGGCGUUAGCUCACUACCCUCGAGUAUAAAAAGGAAAGAAUGAUAUGUAAAACCCUUUUGUGAAGAAAUGUAAUGUAUUUGAGAGAUGGUAUUUUGGUUGUAUGUAUGAGAAGUAAAGUGAAAUAUGUGAUGGUUCAUGUGUGUGAACAAGUGAUGUAAUAGAUAGUUUAAAUUCUCUUGUAUCUGUGAUUGCCUCUCUCAAUGUUGAAUGCUAAUAUCACUUGUUGGAUAUGUAUGCAUAGACUUUGUUACAAUUCGAUCCAUGUUCAAAGAAUAAUGUUCAAUGACAUUGUUCACUAUUCUUUUACCCAAUCUGUAGCGAAGCCCUAGAGUUCGCCAAUAACUCACCUUUCAAUCCCAAAGUGGGGAGGGAGCUCCAAGUGCACCCAAGCCCGGGACCGUCUGCGGACCUCCAUGUGGUCCGGACCUCCAAGUGGUCCUAGUCGCACGACACUCCGGAGUACUUGACGACAAUCCCCUCCAUGUGGGGAUAUGGAUGGCUAUACCAUCCCAAAAGCAGACUGUGAGCUAGAUCUAUCCUCUCCAAGUGAGGAUACCCUACAACUUGGGUCAACAACCCAAUCCAAUCCUCUCCAAGUGAGGAUGCUCUAUAACUAGAGUCAACAACCCAAUCCAAUCCUCUCCAAGUGAGGAUGCUCUUCAACUAGAGUCAACAACCCAAUCCAAUCCUCUUCAAGUGAGGAUGCCCUACAACUAGGGUCAAUAUCUCAAUAACUCAUCGACAACCUCUCCAUGUGAGGGUACUUAGGUUUACUAAGUUCUUUAUCCACAAGGCAUUUUCUAAGGGAUUCACCUAUCCCUAGGUUCUCAAACCUCUAGUGUCAAAUACACUACAUUAAUGCCACUCGAUGUGUUCUUGUUUUCCAAUGUCAAUUUCUCUAAUCGACCAAGUUCAACAUGCAUAAUUCAUCCACUAUGUUCCACAAUAUGGCAACAUGUAUAAUUCUUCUAUCAUAUGCAAUAUAUGUCAUCAUGUAUAUGUUUCUAUUUAACAUAAUCCACAAUAUGUUAAUUCACAACAUGUCAUCAUGCACAUAUAUUACUAGCAUCACAUGAUAUGUCAACAUACAUAUAAUCAUCAUCCAAAGUAGUCUAUACUUAGCAUCUCAUGCAUUCUUUUAGCAUUUAAUUCAUUAUACAUUUCAUCUCAUUGGUAGGUAAUAUCAACUACAUAAUAUGUUUCAAGCAUUCAUAUUAUCAUGUAAGCCUACCAAUACAACUAUAUGCAUCAAUGUGAAUUCAUAUGUUUCUUAAACAUAAAGGGCGACCUAGUCGCUUCGGUAAGCACAACCCACCUCAAAUCGCUUUCCGAUUGCUUGUCGACAUUUGCAAUCGGCCUCCCGCGGCACCCGUGACCCGGUUCGGCCCGAACUCUCACGCGACCACCCGAACGGCCACCAAUCCGCGAUACGUCUGUUCUGGAGUUUAUUCCUCGAUACAACGAUGCUCCAGAUCCGUUUUCGUGAUUUUUGGGCGUCUAUUCCGUGUGCUGCUGCUAUCUGUACCAAAACAGACUAUUUCGUCAAUAUCUUUGCGUACACUCGUCGGAUUGUCGAACCGAGCGCACCAACGCGUUCGUUAUACCCCCAAUUAGGUUUGUAUAGGGUCAAUUGAUAUCAAAACCCCUCAUGAGCAAAAGCCCUCUUUUUGGAGUCCUAAAACCUCACUAUUGCAAUUAGCUUCAUACAAGCAUUAACCCGAGCAAUAAAUGAGAUUAAUUACUUCUAGAGCAUCAUUAAGUUCCAUUUCUAGAGUAUAAAACCCUAAUCCAAGCAUUCUUCUAUGAGAAGGCAAAGAGCUUACCUCUACUAAGCUCUUUCUCUAAGCUAAGGAAGAAGACAACAAUGGUGAUCCUCCUUCAAGCUCCAAAUCUCCACCAAUCCUCCUCUUGAUUCCACUUCUAGAGAGAGGGAGAGCUUCUAGAGAGAGAGAGGGAGAGUGUUCGGUGGUUGCAAAUGAGAGAAAUGAGAGGGGAUGAGUUCUACACCCCUCUAUAAUAGCUUAACUCAUGCAACAAUUACAAAACAGCCCCUCAACUUUGUGUUUUAUGCACUGCCCGCGCGGGGUCAUUUUUUGUAUAAGGGACCGGCCCUCUAUACAAAUGGGGGACCGGUCCCCGUAAGUCCAGAAUUUCAGCAUUUUUAGGACUUAGCCAAAUUUCAGCCUUUUUCGUUUUUUUUCUGUUUUCGCUCGUUUGACCUCCGAUUCUUUUCAAAUCGAACCGAGACUCUCCAAACAUGUUUUUGAGCGUGUUUUCAUCAUCUUUUCAUCCACGCUAAUGCCGGAUUCAGUUCAUGGUCAAACAUAGCCUUUCGGGUUCCGUUUUCGCGCCUACGCGCACCAAAACGCCCGUAUGCUCCCGAACUUCACCGAACUUCACCGGAACCAUUCAAAUGGUUUUUCAAACCAAUGUACACCGUAACUUCAUAAUUUUAGAAGUCCGGUACCUUACAAUUGCACAAAUCGGAAGAUAGACGGUCGCAAUCCUCACUCGAAGAUGCCGGCCUUGUCCUCGUCGUCCCGCACGAUGAAGGGCACGCAGUGUAGAAGCCGAGAAAACUCCCUCUCAAACUCGGCUACGGUCCGGUCUCCCUGGCGCAAGUUGCGCAAGUCCUGCUCCAUCUUUCUUUUGACACCGUCAAGGAAGUAGUGCGCCAAAAGAAGCUCCUUGAACGUCUUCCAAGAGAUAGCCACGACGUCCGUGCUGGUGUUCUCCUGAAUGUCCAACCACCAGAGGUAGGCCUCGCCGUCCAAGUGGUGUGUGGCGAGCCAAACUCAAUCCCUCUCCUCCAUGAAGGUGUCGCGGAAGAGCUUCUCCAUGUGCAUCAACCACUUCUCCACGAUCCAGUGGUCGACCUUCUCUCCGUCGAAGAUCCGGGGACUGCACCUCCUGAACUCAUUAAGGCGAUCCAUGAGCCGAUCCCGCUUUGCUCCCUCAACUAAUGCGGGAAAAACUGCCCCCGCCGGAGGCACCUGAGCUGGUGGUGCCACACAAUCUCUUCCCGAGGUGCGACUGCAGGUGUCGUCCGAGAUGUGUCGAGGACGGGGGACGACCCCCUGGGUGCGACCACAUCCACAGGCGCCGGUGGUGUAGGAAUCUUAUAGGUUGCUUCAUACAAUGCCAACCGGAGUUGGCAACUCGAAGUUGAGUUGAUCACCGCCCCCCGGGUUUGUUCUCGGUGAUCAACAUACGAUAAAAUUAGGCUUCGCCGCUUGAGAACAUCUGUGGCAUAGCAACCGGGGGGAGAGACCGAAUGUGUAACACACUGGACCUUUGCAAAUUGCGAGGCUCGAGUGAUUGGAUGUGUUUCGAGCUUCUCCACACUUGGUGGAGGGUCGUAGAAUAUUUUCCGACCUAAGAAGUUCGAAAACUUGAGUUCCGGACGAGUCCUGAGAGUUUUCACUCUCGGGGACCGGUCCCUGAAAGGAAAGACCGGUCCCCCAGUGAGCAGUGUUGUGCUGUCGGCGAGGCAACCGGUCCCUGGCGGGCGAAACCGGUCCUCGAGCGCGCCUUCGCAGUGAGAGACCGGUCCCGCGUAGGGAGAGACCAGUUCCCGAACGUUGGUUUUUCGGAUUCACAGCGAGAGACCGGUCCCUGCUGGGGAGAGACCGGUCCCUCUGGGCGAAAACUGCCCAAACCGGGCUGAUGUAAUAUUGGUUUUUUUGAGGGGCCUCUUGGGAUUUUGUUGCAAUAGAUGGUCUAUAUGACCCAUCCACCCUCUCUUCUCCUCAUUUCCCUCCUCACACUCUCCCCACACCCUUGCUAGAGAGAGAAGAAGGAGAAGAAGAGGAAGGAGAAGAAGAGGAGAAGGAUCUAGCUUGGGCUUGAAGCAUUCCUUUGCCUUUCUUCCUCUUCCCACCUUGUUGGUGCUUGAAGGCUUGGACUUGGAGCUUGCAAAGGAGAAGAUCUUCACCCUUGGAGCUUGGAUUGGAGUUCUCUUGAGGUUGGUUGUUUGUUUCUUCCCUCUAGACCUAGCUUUGAUGGAUUUUAGGGGAUGAAACCCUAAAAUGGGAAAUCUAGGGUUUAUUUGGGGCUUUUUGAUUGAAGGCUUUUUGGGCUAAUCUAAUGAGAUUAGAACCUUGGUUUAGGUUGCUUUGGAAGGAUCCUAGCCUUCUUUUGGAGCUUGAGAGAGAGAUUCUACUCCUUAGGUGAGUUUUUGCUCUAUUCUUGUGAUUGUUAAUGUUUGAGCUAGAGUUGCUCGUAAUGCUUGUAUAUCUCUUCACUGAUCACUUUUAGGGUAUUUUGAGACUCGUGAACAACUUCGUUCGGCGAAACGAAGCCUUACGCGACGGUUUGGUGGGUUUGACCUAGCCUUUAAUAUGAGAAAUUCUCAUAUAUGGUGAUAAAUGCUUCGUAAAUUGGAAAAGCAUGCAUAUUCACACUAAAUGUAUUUAUUAUGAUUUUUGGAAGGCUUAAGAUGCCUAUGUUACAUGUGAUGAAAUUUUGAGUCUCCUUGUAGUAGAGGAUAGCAUAUAAGGCUUAUGCGGGAUUUUUGGCAUUCUUAUAUGGAAUCAUGUUCCUUGUAGUAUAAAUGAGCUUGGAUUCAUGUAUCUAAACCUAAUUUUAAUUGAGACAUGAAAGAUAACAAAAUUUGCCAUAAAGAGGCACCGAACUUGAAUGUCAUAUGAUUUAGAGAGCUAAUGUCAUCAAGCGGCGUUGAGCUCGGGACAUGGUUGAACCUAGUGAAUAGGGCCAUUGAGGGAUUGGAAACAUGUUGAACAUUAAAUUGUCUAAGUGUCAUCAAGGGGCACUAGGCGUAAUAAAUGUUGGAACUUCACUUUGUGACUUAGAACUAGAUCUUCGGGAUGCUAGUGACUAUACCAUGUUAGAGACAUGAUGAUUGGAUACUUGAGACGUUGACUACGCUUGCUUGCCAUUUGUGCUCAUUCGCACAUGCUUGUGAGGGUCGCUCCCUACAAGCCGGCACUCCGGAGUUAGCCUACGCGACUUAUGUUCGCUCGUGCGGUAUUGAGAAGCCUACGGGGUCGAGUGGGACAGACACAUUCCAAGAGUAGGGAUGUUGGGCUACCAUAGGCACUUAGGCGACACAAGCUGGACUACCUUUCGUAGGUCCUUAAUUGGAAAUGAAAAUCGACACAGGGUUGAGAAUGAAUAAUCACUACUAGAUAGGAUUAGUAGUUGGAUUACUAUGACAUGCUUGUAGCAUAGUGUUGAGACAGGUAGUAUACUUGAUAGUCUUAUUUAUUGCAUCAUAGUAUACUCACUACCAUGAUAGAGCAUAUUCUUCGUACAUUGUCAUAGUAGAUCAUGUUACCUACUUGCUCGUUAUGUUGGGAUAUAUUAUUCAUGCUUUGAUAUACUUCAUUUGGAUAUAGUAAAUGUACAACCAUUUGACAUCUUGCUUAUGUGCAACAUAGUAGUUUAGCAUUUUAUUUUGCUUUCUUAAAUGCAAACCGUUUAUUAUCAUUAUAAUUAUCAUAGCUUUUGGACUUACCCUUUUCUUUUGGGGCCUAGUGGUGCAUUGUGCUGAGGUCAGUAAUUGCCCACUGGGAACUAUAAAUUAUAGUUCUCACGCCCUCGUUUUCUUGAUGUUUUUCAGAGCCUUCCACGCCGGGAGAGGCUAGGAACCGCGGGAAGAGAGUUGCUUCGAUCUAGCUUCCUUCGGGGACGAUUUGAUAGGUGGUCUACCUCUCGUUAUUUUAUUUUGUGAGAGGUUGAGAGUUGUACCCGUAUAUGUAUAGAGACCACCCUUCUUUUGGAUUUAUGUAUUUUUUUUGAGGAGUUUGCUUUGUAUCACCCUUGUGCUUUACUAUUAUGGAUUAGUAUGUUUCCUUUCUUUUUGUUUUAGAUGAUAGAACUUUACUCGCUCUGAUAUCAUUAGAUGUUAUUCAUUCCUAAUCGUUGUGAUUCUUGCUUUUACUUUCGCUUUUAUUUUAGACGCCUUAUGUCACGCCCCGCGACCUGCCAAUUUGGCCAGAUCCGGGCACGUCGAUCAGACGCCGAACGGACAGCACCUCUCCUGUCCGCCCAAGGCUCAACGACAAUAUCAUGUACAAGAAUUUCCAGGAGAAAUUCAUUCAACAUACAUGAUACGACAAAGCACCACUAGUGCUAUACAAUUAAGAGCAAGGAUCACAAGUAACAUACAAGUGAAAUAAAGAGAGAUACAUCUAGCUAUUACAUUCAUUCAACCUCAUUUUUCAUAUUGAUUUACAUUUUCAUCUUCCCAAAUGAAUACAUAUUCUUCUCAUAAUACAAAAUGGCUCUCCAAAUGCAUAAGUAACUUCCAAAUACAUUUACAUCUCUAUGUACACGAGGGUACUCUAAUGCAUAAGGAAAGCUACUAGCUACUAGGGCGCUGUGCCCUUACCACGGUCCUCUGCCGGUACGCUCUCGUGUGUACCUAUACCCCAAAACCACACGGGGUGAGAACUAUAAUGCGUUGAUAUGCAAGUUUAUCCUACGACGAUAAGAAGAGAAAGACGAAGAUCAUAAAAGGAAUGAAUACAAUAUUGUUGAUUAUGAUAAGACAAAAUUGGUGCUGAAAAAUGAUUUUUUCCUCGUUAAACUCUGAUUGUAUUUAUUUUGUUUCCUGCUGCACUUCUUUGUAUUGAGGCAUAGAAUAUUAGUAGCAAUGUAUUUCUAAUGUUACGGUCCCCUAUCUAUCUACUGUGCCAGCUUUGGAACCGUGAAAGUGAUCGGCCGGGUCGCGGCGCGACCACUGGAACGUAUAUUUGANNNNNNNNNNNNNNNNNNNNNNNNNNNNNNNNNNNNNNNNNNNNNNNNNNNNNNNNNNNNNNNNNNNNNNNNNNNNNNNNNNNNNNNNNNNNNNNNNNNNCAUAUCAAUUUGCUAAAGUUUUUUGAAUCACAAAUCGAUUGUUCUUAUGUUCAAAAUAUAUAAAUCGUUGUGUUUGACAGGGGUUUUCUUCGAAAAUGUACUCAUGGCUACUUGUUCUUGUGGUUCUUAUGGCUGGUGGUGGUCGUGGAAGUAAGCGACAGCGCUCGAAAGCUAAAAAGCCGAUUGAGUAUCAACCGGAGGAUGAAGAGAGCGAAUAUGCUCCUGGCGACGAUUCUGAGGAGGACGAGCAGGAUUGGGAGACUUUUGUUCCUGAAGUUUUAGCUAAGGAUAAGGACGCUGGGAAAGGCAAGGGAAAAGGAAAAGCCGUGGAUAAAGGCAAAGGAAAGGCAAUUGAGCGUCCCAGUCGUCGUAAGUCCGGGGGUGUUGAAAUUCGUGAACCGGGCUCUGAACCACCACGUCACAGUCUACAGGAUGUUCCAUCUAAUCGACGGUCGAUGUACUCGUCGAAACACUGUAUUGGUGAGCGAGAUGUUGGGGUGGCCAGUAUCAUUAGUUGUGUGCCGGGUUUUCAGGAGUUAUUUGAACAGGGAAAUCUUCAUCAGAUUUGUGAUUUUCCGGAGCAAACCGGUUAUUGCUUGGAGUUGAUCAGAGAAUUUUACAUGAGAGCAGGUCACCUCCGUGACUCCGACGGCGGUCCGUACGUGUUUAAGACUUCCGUACGUGGUGUUGAGUUAUCCAUCACUCCUGAGACAAUAGCUUCGGUGCUAGAGAUGGAAGCUAAGACUGACGGAGUGGAGUAUCUGCAGGCCGGGUUCGACUCACUUCGAGAUUGGAACCGUGUCGUGAACACUAUCUGCAUGCCGGGUACUGAAUCAAACGGAAUUAUGGUUAUGUCCAAAGAUUUCAAAAUGGAGUACAGAUUUUUGCACUUCGUGGUUUGCUAUAACAUCAUGCCUCUCGCAAACACGAAAAUUUUGAGAUGGGAUCGUAUUUUGUAUAUGUAUCUUUUGGGACGGCCUGAUAUUGUGAGUGCGAAAAACAUUAACAUGAAUAUUCCGUUUCUGAUCUGGCGGCGGAUGGCGAAAGACAUCAAAACCUCUGGACAAAAUGAGAGGUUACCAUUUCCUUUAAUCAUUAUGCGGAUUUUGCGACUUCGUGAGGUGGAUGUUCGGUGUACAUCAUAUGAGCACAGUUUGGGUCGGAUCAAUGUGUUAAGGAUUUUAUAGGUUGGCGAAUUUCGUAUAGUUGUUUGGAGUCUUGAAGAGUUGGUCGCAGAAGUUUUUGAGAAGAGAUUCAAAUUGGAGGACAAAGACUCAUUCGGAAAGAUCGACACCUAAGGUAUGAAUAAAAGAUCAUUUGUGGUGAAGAUACAUAAUUAGAAUAAGUUCAGAAGGCUUAGAUCGAUUUAAAACAACUUUUCUGAACUUUCAUGUGUUCUGGGACCGGUCUCUGAGAUGGAGAGACCGGUUCCCCCAAGGUCCUCACUGCGUAAACCAUGAUGGAACCGGUCCCCUGUGAUGAGAGACCGGUUCCCGAACCUUGGUGGUUCUGUCGCACAGCGAGGGACCGGUCUCAAGUUUGAGAGACCGGUUCCCGAACGUUGGGUUUCUGGUCACGCAGAGAGGGACCGGUUCCUCACUUGAGAGACCGGUCUCUCACAGACCGGUCUCCUCAAAAGGACCGGUCUCUGAGGACGACACAGGUUUUUGAAAACGACUUUUUGCAAUCCUAGUCUACUUCUAAGUCUUCUAAACAUAUAAAUAAGCUAUGUGGGUCAUCUAAAAUUAAGGCUUUGAAUAUUUUACCAAUUCUAAACUCUAGAAACUUGUUUCUUCCCGUUUCAAUGCUUAGAUUUACAUGAUGAGUUUCUAGUAAUCAACAUCGGCUUGAUUCUUCGUUUUUACUCGAUACUUCUUACGAGAAUCAAGUAGAUGGUUGAUUAAAGGUGAACCCUCAUAGCUUAUGGUUUUCAAAAGUUAAAUCACCACAAAUCUUCAAUUCUACAAGCUCCGGAAGGAGGUUCGGCGCGUGGAUCUCGCGUGAAGCCGAGGAUUCGGUGGACGCUUCGAGGAGUUGAGGCGUUGACGCUGCGAGGAGUUGCAGCAAGGUCGAUUGGUGGAUUCCUAUCGAUCGAGGACCGGCAAAGAUCACCGUCAACGAGAAAUCGGUAAAUUGAGUCGUGUGUUUUUGUCGAAAUCACUUGUACUCAAGUUUUCUUAGUGGAUUUUCUUUGCGUGAUCGGUCCCGUGGGUUUUUCACUCCGAAUUGGAGUUUUCCCACGUUAAAUUCUCGGUGUGCUAUUUUAAUUUCCGCUAUUGUGUUUUGUUUGCAUCGAGAUUUUUCGAGUUUGCCGGAUUUACACCUAUUCACCCCCCUCUAGGUGUUACUUACCUUUUAGAUCCUCGGGAUCCAUAUCUUACAAGUGGUAUCAGAGCGGGUAUAGGUUGUAAUUCAUGGCUGAGGGCGGUAACAUCAAUCGACCCCCGCUCUUCGAUGGCACUAACUAUGCUUAUUGGAAAGUCCGUAUGAGGGCGUUUCUUAUUGCUAUCGACGAGCGGGUUUGGCAAGCCAUUGAAUUCGGAUGGAAAAAUCCUACCGAAGUUGUCGAGAAUGUUACCGUGCCGAAACCUAGGAAUAAAUGGACGAAAGAGGAAAAUGAACUAUCUUCGUUCAACGGGAAAGGUAUCAAUGCUUUAUUCAAUGCUUUAAACCAAACUGAAUUUUCUCGCGUCUCGGCGUGCGAAACCGCCAAAGAGAUUUGGGACACUUUGCGAGUUACACACGAGGGUACAAGUUUGGUUAAGAUUCAAAAAUUGCAAAUGCUUACUAGCAGAUUUGAUUCCAUUCGUAUGGAAGAACAUGAAUCUUUUACCGAGUACUAUACUCGUUUGCAAGACAUUGUAAACACGUGUGCUAACUUGGGCGAGAAAAUUCCCGAUUCCAAAAUUGUUCGAAAAAUUUUGAGAACCCUUCCCGAACGAUUCCGUCCUAAGGUUGCGGCUAUCGAAACGGUUAAACAUCCUGAUGAACUCAAGGUAGAAGAACUAGUAGGUGCUCUUCAAACUUAUGAAAUGACUUUUCCAUCUAAUUCAUCUUCUUCCAAGUCUUUCUCUAAAGCCUCAGGGAUGGCUCUAAAAUCAACAAAAGGAGAUGCUUCUUCAACCUCAUCAGAUUCAGAGUCGGAGCAAAGCUUGGAGGACUUUGAGAAACAACUCGCACUUCUAACAAAGAAGUUCCGUCGGAACUUUAGAAAGAAGUUUCCUCCCAAGUCUACUUCAUCAAAGACAAACAAAUCAAAUGGGGGUCCGUCUUCUUCUUCCUCGUCAAAAUACAGAAAAUCUGAUAACUCUCAAAAGGACUCCACAAAAGAGAGGAAAAGCGGUGAAGGUCAAAUCCAAUGCUACAAGUGUAGGGGCUUUGGCCAUAUAGCGUCUGACUGUCCUAAUAAAAAGUCAUUGAAGAAGAAAGCUAUGCAAGCUAUGACUUGGGACGACUCCUCAUCUGAAGAUUCUACUUCGAGUGAAGAGGAUGUGAAUGCCACAGCACUGUUUGCACAGGAUUCAACUUUCAUGUGUCUAGCAUCUGCUGACUCGAUUUCUACGACAUCUAUACAAGAGAGGUCAUCUUCGGAGAACUCAUCGGAUGAAGAAUCGGACGAAGACGAUAUGGUCGCAGCAUAUCAACAAUUGGUUGUUGAAUCAAAGAAGAUGGCUAAACAUAACAAGAAACUGCGGCGUAGCCUACAUGAGUUGGAACAAGAAAAUUCAAAGUUGGCCUCUCUAACAAAGGAUUUAGAACAAGAGAGAGAUGGGUUGACCAAGGCUUACAAUUCUUUGCUUGAGAAGUGUUCGUUACUUGAAAAAGAAAAGGAGACUCAGGCGGAGAACAUCAAGUAUCUUACCAAGCAAAACUCAGAAGCUAGAGAAGCAAAUAUGGAAUUCACCAAGACGAUCAUUCAACUGAAGUCGGAUUUGAACCAAUUUUCAUCUGGCUCGAGCAAACUAGACAAGAUGCUUGGACUUGGUCAAACAAGUAAACUUGGACUUGGUUAUGAACGGACUUAUCUUGAUCAAGCUAUGAAGAAAGACGAUGGAAAUUCGUCAACGGCCGUUCCUAAACAUUAUGGUAAGUUUGUCUCUCCUAAAAACAAUGUGGCUAACAAAACUUGUCAUAUUUGUGGUCUUUUAGGACAUAUAAAGAAAUUCUGCUACCAAAUGGGAAAGAGCUCAAUAGCUUCUUUGAAGAGUGAUCCUAAAACGACAACGAAGUCAACUGUGAUUCCAAGGAAGAUAGAACAUAAGAAGAGACAAACUUGGACGCCAAAUACUCCAAAGCCAAAGGCAAAACAAGCGUGGAAACCAAAGAAGGAGGAUAUGAAGAAGAAGUCAAUUCAAAUCGUCGACAAGCCACGAUCAACAAAAGCAAGCGAACUGUCACAACCCAAAACACGUAAGGUUUGGGUGCGCAAAGGUGAACUCUUCCCAUGCCUAGUCAUUCACACUUCACUUCAUGCUUACGAUAACUCAUCUUGGUAUCUAGAUAGUGGCUGUUCCCGUCACAUGACCGGAGAUAAAAAUUGGUUUGCUUCUUUGACCAAAAUCUCCGGAGGACUUGUUGUCUUUGGGGACGGUCGAUCGUCAAAAAUCGUUGGAAAAGGAACAGUGGCUAUCUCAGAUGGCCCUACUUUGAACGAUGUUUUUUAUGUUGAGGGGCUUAAAUCUAAUCUCGUAAGCAUAAGCCAACUGUGUGAUGAUGGGUACUCUGUGAACUUUUCUGAUAAAGAAUGCCAUGUUACUCGUGAUGACAAUCUAUUCUUAAAGGGCAUUAGAUCUCAGAAUAAUUGUUAUGUAGUUCCUAGUUCGGCCACUGAACAUUGUAACCUAGCGUCAUUAGAAACUGAAACUUUAUGGCAUGAACGACUAGGUCACAUCAAUUUUAAAGAGCUAUCAAAGAUAACCAAGAAGGAAGUAGUUAGAGUUGUACCUAAGAUUGAUUUUAAAGAGAACACUGUGUGUGGGGGUUGCCAAUUAGGGAAACAAACUAGAUCCACACAUAAGAACUUGAACCACUUAGGGACAACUAAACCUCUAGAGUUACUUCACAUGGAUUUGAUGGGACCAUCUAGGAUUCAAAGUUUGGGUGGUAAACGUUAUAUUCUGCUUAUUGUUGAUGAUUUUACUCGAUAUGUAUGGAGUGCUUUCUUACGAGAAAAAGCUGAUACUUUUAAUUCUUUUUCUGAAAUCUGUCUUCGUCUUAUGACUGAACGAAAUGAGAAAAUCGUACGCAUUCGAAGCGAUCAAGGGGGAGAAUU
Molecule: long non-coding RNA, 99529 nt
Filed under: Ananas comosus (pineapple)
Lineage: Eukaryota; Viridiplantae; Streptophyta; Magnoliopsida; Poales; Bromeliaceae
Description: long non-coding RNA (ACOM_LNC030641)
Source: RNAcentral